AUCAUCAUCAGCCACUUCCCUUAUAACGAAAUAUAGAUUACAACACUUAUCAAGAAGGACAAUAAAUUCUUGUACCACCAACAACAUUCUCAAAUACAAAAUCUAUAAAUUUUUCAACGCCAUCAGUAUAUGACUUGGAUAUCUAUUUGGCAAACCAACCCAACACUUGUCCAUGACUAUCUCCUUUUAAUGCGCUAAAAAAAUUAGUUCUUCAUUUCUACUACUAAACAAGAUAUUUUCGUGUGUGCACAGUUUUGCAAUAUAAUAAAAAGAUCAUUUUACAAUUUUAUGGUUAAUUUCAUUAGAAUUUACAUAUAUGAAAGCAAACAAAGCCACAAGAAUCAGAGAAAAAGAUGUGACAAUCAAAGUAUAUAAUCAACGAUAAUUAAUGUAAAAAACAGUUUCCAAUACCUUCUGUAAAGAAAUAUCCUUGCCAAGUGCUGAGAACUUCACUUGGCUAUCAAUUACAGAUAUAUAAAGCCUGUAACCUAGAAACAAAAAAUUAGGUCAGCAAGUCCUGAAACAUUUUUAUAAACCAACAUUGGAGAUAGCACUCCAUUUACAAACAAAAUUACAAGCUCAAAACCAAGGUCAACUCAGCAAAAUCAUCACCAAUUACAUUCAUCCAACUCAGCUCCUACACUACCCUCAAUAUAUCCAACAUUCCCUUCAUAUUUACCAACCGUAAGUAAUCCUACAUAUCCCACUCAAGAAUGCGUAAGUAUUUUCAAUCUCAAGUACCUAAAGUUUUAUUCUACAUUUAUAAAAAUUUCAGCACCAUCUCCCUAUAAUUCUCCAAGCACGCGACAUAGCUAUAUAAGUGUUUAUGCGUUAUGCCAAAACAACACAACACCCAUUCACCUAGUACGUUCCCAGAGAACACGAGGAGCAGCUACUGAAAAACCCAUUUUUACGUGGGAAGAAACUUCAGCUACUAGCUACCAGAGAGAAGUAUGCAUUCCCAAACUGUCCAAGCCCGGACAAUUCAAGAAUUAUUAAUAGACAUAUGAUCCUCACUAUCAUCCAAAUAUGACACUAAUAAAACAUGUGUCUAUUAAUAAUUUCUUAAACAAGUCUAAGCUUUUAAUGCACGUAUCAAAAGUUUAAAAUUGAAUCUGAAAUUUGAAUAACACAUAAAUAUCAUAAAUCUUUUCAAGUUAUUCCUGAUACAAUGUAGGCAUGUAGCAUUAUUUCACAUAUCAUUUCUUAAGCAAAACCAUAAAAAAAUACAAAUGAUAAAUACAUUUUCGUACUGAUGCAGAUUAUGUUUACUGAGCAAUAAGUUUUAAGUCAUUCAUGUUGAAAUACUUCUUCCUAUUCUUUCAACAUAUAACUAGUACGUACACACAAUUAAUAAAUAAAUAAAUAACCUGGUGGUGAAUCUUGCAAAAUCUUCCUUUUUUUUGUGGGGGGGGGGGGGGGGGGGGGGGGGGGGGGGGGGGGGGGGGGGGGGGGGGGGGGGUGGGGGCGCUAUGAAUCUUGCAAAUCCUCGGGAAGCCAUGUUAAGACAAGGCCAGCUUACUAUUAGGGUAUGAAAGAUAAAACCUUUUAUUUCCUUUUCAGAAUAAAAAGGACAUUGACAGUGUUAAAAAAAAUCUAGAGGAUUUCAGGCCUCCAGAUCCUUACAAAUCAAGGAUAUUAAAAAAAAUUACUUAGAGGAGAAAGGUUAUGCUCAUUUGUAUCUUGUUAGAAGAAAUUGAUCCAAAGCCUCAGUUUUAAUUUGCUUCAUACAGCCAAUGACUAGGUGUUUAAAAACCAAUGAAUAUUUUUAUAAGAAAUCAACAAUAUUGUUGAAAGAAAAACCAAAUAAAAAUAAUAAAGCCAAUGAAUAGAUCAAGGCUCUUUAUGGUCUAAUAACUAAUCAAACUAAGUUGUGGGCAAAGGCGAAUAUGUUUGUUUGGUCGAAAAUAAGCUCAACAAAUCACUAAUAAUCACCUAAUCACUAUUCUUUAUGCUAUGCAAUAUAAUGGCCUGGGUAAUGGCGCCAAGGCAGAAAAUAACUAGCUAGCCAGUUAUGAUAGUUGAUUAACUUAACCUACUGGAAAUCCGAAGACCAAAACGAAGAAGCUUUGCCUAGAACUAGAAUAGGAACAUUCAUACCCAAAACUAAUAUACACGAUUAAGAAACUUGAUUAUAUGUAUAUUUCUGUUGGCCACACUGAAAGAGAAUUUUCAAAAGAUGCUAAGGUACACCAAAUCCCACUAUUUCAUACUCAUAAACACAAAAAACCAAGGAAAAAAUUAAUGACUAUAUAAAAUAAAAUCGGUCAUAGGACAUUGAGAUUAGGACAACUUGAUUUGUAUACCGUAAAAUAACUAUAUCUGCAUAGUGAACUAUAUUUCUGUUAGAACUCUGAAGUUUUCUAUUAAAUUUUUUUCUCUGUUAGGUAAACCACUUAACUGAAAUGCUUAAGCCAAUAUUGACAAUCAUAGACAUAAAAGUAUUAAUAGGCUCAUUCAAGUGAAAUGAGCAUUAUUUUACACAUCCUUUAGGAUUUUAAGUCAUUUAGAAGUCAUUCAUGUUAAAAAAAAAAAAAAUUCAUAUACUUUCAAUAUAAUUAGUACAUACACAAUUAAUUAAUUAAAUAAAUCUGUUUCAGCUAGUAUAGGAACUUAAUUAAUCAAAGCUAGUAGUUAUAGCUAGGACUUGAACGAGGCACCUUUCAAAGUUCAAGAAGAGCAUCUGAACAGAAUGAAAGCACUUUGUAGAAAUGAUAAUGAUGCUUUACACAAUAUGAACUUUCAUUUAUUCAAGAACAUAACACUACUCCAAGCUCUUAUUCUACGAGUCAAUCCAGUUUGUAGAUGCACGCCAUUGUAAAAGCUUUUGUAUUAUAAUUUCUGAAAAUAGAACAUAACAUUAUUAAUAUAGAAUCAGCAAUGUAUAUAACUUAUCAGACAAUAUAACAAGCACUUGGUGAGCAUACAAGAUAAACCAAAACAAGUUAUCUAGAAAAUGAAACUAAAACCCAAGCUCCGCUAUUCAUUGUAGAUGCUUUAAACAUAAAAUUAAACUAAAUCUAAUAGCAAAACAUUAGAAUGGAUGUUGGAAUUAAAGCUAAAUUCAAUAGUAAUUCAAAUGAAUCCAUUUGAACUUUGUAAAUUCCGCAGAACAAAAUUAAUUUGAGUGAGCAAACUCACCAAUGGAACAAGAACGCAGGGGCUUCAACUUGUACGAAUAAAAAAAUAUUGCUGGCGGGACAAAAAUUGACAAUAACGGCUACAAUACGAAUUAAAAAAAAUCAAAGUCUAUAAUUACAAGUUAAGUAAGAGAAGAAACUCAUAAUCACAAGCUUACCUCAAAAGAUGAAGGGAGAAUACGAUGAAGAAGAAGAUGCCCGGCGUUUUACGCCGUUCGCUGGCAACCAGUUAUGUUUACGAUGGUGGCCAGUAACACGGACUCCAGCGAAUACUUUUCUAACUGGAAAUAAAUUUAAAAUUCUAAAAUAUUAGUAUACCGAACGGCUCUUCACCGUCACGCAGUUCGUAACAUAUGUGACAGCAGUGUGGCCGUCACAUAAAGGGUAACAAAAGCAACUCGGGGUUACAGAGUUAGAAGUUAGUGAUAUGCGUAAUGGCUGCUUUUGCAUUCACAUUAGGGGUCACAUAUACCCUAUUUUCUUGUAGUACAUGGUAAAUUCUAUUUGAAAAUUGCUCAGUAUUUUAGAUUUGUACGAAAUCAUUUUUGUGUGCUCGUUGGAUAAUAAUAUAUAAUAAAUUAAAAUUUUAGUGUAAUUUUCACAAUAUUGUAUUAGAAAUAUGUCUCGUUGAAAGGUUUUGAAAUCGUUUGAUUGAUCAUAAUUGUUAUUUCGACAGUUGCAAAAGAUGCCAGAGAAAAUUUGAUUAUCUUAAGAAAUGAGUGCAUGAGAUAUGAAAUCAACCAUACCAUAAAAUCAAAUUUUAUCGUUUCAUUCUUCCUGGUUCAAAUUUAUGGAAACAAUAAUCAAAUGCACCCAUGAACUAGUAUAUUCCGACAUAUGUACCAUCAAAUUUUUGCUAUAUCAUACUUAUAUAUGUAUAUUGAAAUUUUAAUAACAACAAUUGGGCCAAGCGUAUGUUGGUACUUGAAGAUUUAUAAGCUCCAUCCUUGAAAAAAUAAGGCUUGAUUGUUCUCAAUCUAAUUCUUUUUGUUUUAAGUUCUUAAUUAAGCUUUCUUGCUUGUUUUCAAGAGCCAGUUUUGUAGUGAUCGAAAAACAUGAUUUGCAUGUAAUGCACUUGGCAUUUAUGCGUCACUUAUUAAUUAGAUUUAAAUUUUAUAAAUUAGUUAAGCUGAUUAAUACUGUGCAUGUGCACUAAAUGAUAAAUACUACAUAAAUUGGUAGGAGUGGGCAAAACCGGGUUCGGGUCGGGUCGGGUUCGGAUCAACCCGAUCGGAUUUCGGGUUGUUCGGGUUUAACAAAAAUUAAUCCGAAUACAACCCGAACUUCCCACCCGACCCGAUCCGAUCCGAUUUAUAUUCGGAUUGGGUCAGGUCGGGUUGUGAAUUCAGGUUGAAAUCGGGUAGGAUCGGGUUGACCAAUUUCCUUGAUUUUGUUACUACCAUUUAAAAACACAUAAUUACAACAAUUAAAUACUAAAUAUUAAUUGUUUAAUUUAACCAUAUGCACCAUCAAUUCAAAUCUUUAAAAAAAAAAGCUUAAAAAAAGCGUGAAAACUCAAGAUUCAAAGUCAAAGGUGAGAAGCUCGGGUUGAAGGAUUGGAGCAGCAGAAGCACCUUGCAGCAGAUUCGCGGCACUUGCAGUAGAUCGGUGGCCGCGGCACUUGUAGCAGCAGACCGACGGACGCGUAGUAGCAUAUUGGCGGCACUUGCAGCAAAUCGGGCAUGGAGACGCGCGGCAAAUCGGCCAUGGAGAUGCGGGUGAGGCUGUGACUUGUGCAACGACCUCCGUUGGCAGCUUGGCGUUGGCCCAACGCCGUUGGGGGUGACUGUGUAUGUGUUUUGUGUAUUGAGAUUGGGGAUUGUGUAAUGAGAUUGGGGAUUGAGGAGAGUUGUGAGUGUUUGUGUAAGUAACCGUGUGUUGUGAAAAUGGGAAUUGUGAUUUGUGUGUGCUGCGUGUGUGUGGCUGUUUGCUUUAGGUUUAGUUUUUUUUUUUUAUAGCAACCCGAUCGGGUUUCGGAUCGGAUCGAACCCAAUCCGAUCAUAACCCGAUCGGGUUUCAUUGUUUUGAUCCGAUCGGGUUUUCUGCACAACCCCAUCCGAUCCGAACCUGAAAUUUUUCGGGUCGGGUCGGGUCGGAUCGGGUAAUUUGCCCACCCCUAUAAAUUGGGACACUAGUAACUAUGCAUCCCAACCAUGUAAUAUUUAUUUGUCACGAAACCAACCACGACAUGAUAUUCUUAAUAUUAUUUAGGAUACCAUUUCAAGCCCCAUGAGGGCUCCUUCCGUUAAAUAAAAAAAAAAGGUAUGAAAUAGGUGUAGAUUUUACUUUAGAUAUUAUUAGUGAGAGUACCUUUGGUGGCAAUGGUCCGAGAUGAUUUGGGAUUUGACCAUUCUACUCUCAUCUUAAUUAUCAAAUGGAAUGUAAGUAUGGAUAAACUCGUCCUGUUUAUAUAUUUGUGAUCAAAAUUAGGACCAAUCUCAAACCCCUCACAAUCAUUUAUAUUAUUGCACCAGUUUAACAAUAAGAUUUACGAAACACAUACGACUGUUUUUAUAACUAAAAGUAUUUUUAAGCUACAAGAUUACCAAAAUGACCCUAAAUCAAACCAAUAAAAAUGUUUUAAAGUAAUAAUAAUAAACCAGAGUAAACGUACAAAAAUUCAUGCAUAAAUUGAUAAUCAACAAAAACAUCCAAAAGUUUAACUCCAAGUUUUCUAUUCAAUUGACAUAACCCUUAAAUUUCAAAAGGUAUAAUCAAUUUUGUGUCUAAUCCUAUAAAAUUAGAAAAUUAAAGAAUAUUAUAUAUUGAUAAUUAAAUAAUAUGCAAUUAAUAAUGUUUAAAAAAAUAAUGUUAAACAUAUUGUCAACUAAAAUAAUUGGGAGAAUUGGAGUUCCAAGAUAAAUUCUUAUCUAGUCCCAAAUCAACAAUUGUGAUUAAUUUCAAUCUUAAACUUUGAAACUCGGACUGCUUUUAAAAUUGGUCCUAAUAAUAUGGACAAAUCCCAUUCUGAUCAAUAUGGAAUCCCAAUCCAUACCUUUGGAUUUCGAUGGUGUUUAGUUGGAGGGAGGAGAGGAAGGAAAUGAAUUCAAAUUCCUUUCACUUUCCUGUUGUUUGGUUUUCACUAAUAAAUGGGAAUUCAAUUUCUAUUGAAAUUUAAUUUUCAUCAAAUUGUGCAUUUUGGAUUCCUCACCGAAGGCUGUAAAAUUCAAAUUCCCUUUCUAUUAGAAAUCGAAUCUUCCAAAAUUGCUCCAAUCAAAUUUUUAUCAAUUAUUUUAAUUAUUAUCAAAUAAUUCUUAUUUAUGAUUUUAUUUUUUCAAUUUAAAUUGUCACUAAGGAGUCGGACUUACUACCACAGAAAAGAAAAAAAAUAAUUUAGUCAGCUGAACUAAUUUUUGUUUUUUUUUUUUUUUAUUAACUUUGAAAUAUUGCAUACAUAACGAGCUGCUAUUGAAAUUAGUGUUAAAAAAAAAAUAGAUGCAAAAGGAGAAACAAGCAUCAUGUGCAGUACCCACUGUGAAAUAUUCACAUUGGAAUAAGUCGUUGGCAGCUGGUCUGUUUGGCCAUUAAUAUUUUGACAUUCAAUGUUCAUUAUGAUCCUAGUAAAUUAAGCCAUAAAAAAUCUAUUGAAAUUACUCACCGUACAAUGAUGGUUGGAGCUGCAUGUAUCAUUUAUUGUUAACAACAAACUUAUGAAAUGCUUUGAAUGUACCUCCGAGGUUGUAUUUACUAUACUAGUUAGGAGAAAUUACGAAGUUAAAUUAUUUGAUAAAUACUUAUUAUAAUUUGAAAAAUAUGUUAAUUUUGUCCUCCACUUUAUGAUAAAAAAUUUAUAAUAUAUAUAAAUCAUUCAUUCUAUAAUCUUGAAUUUUAUUAAAGUUAGAAAAACUAUUACUCUACAUGAUAUAAUAGUGUGAUGUUAUUACACUAUUAUACCAUAUAAAAUAUAUUUACUUUCUUAAAUUUUAAUAAAGUCUAGGUCUUGGAGAGAAGCACUUUAUAUAUAUAUGUAUAUAUGAUUAUUGUCUAGUGACAACAUUCUCAUUUUAACAAAGUGAUGAUAUAUCUAACUAAAAAACGCAUAUUUCAAUACACCAAUAGAUUAAAAAAAAUACAGUUUUUAAUAUGUUAAAAUCUAUAUAUUUUGUAUUAUUAAUAUUUUCACUUUAACAAAGUGGGGUCUCCUCACUAUAGAAGUACUUUAUAAAUAUUCUUUAUAUUUUUGUGAAAAUUAUUAUUUAAAAGUCAUAUUUUCCUAAAAACUAAUAACUUUUAUUUUAUUACUAUGCUGUACUUUUCAAGACAUAACACCUCAAUACCAUGACGUUAAUUAUUGAACUCUGCUGUACAAAGUUGUUGGCUGGUCUAUUUAGCUUAGUCUUUCAAUUAUUUGUCGUUUGAACUGAGAUGAUUCGAAUAAAGCUGUAUAUCAAUAAUUUCCUAGUGAAACUUCGAGAAAAAAUAAAAAUCAUGUCAUACAGUAGCAUUAUUUUUAUUUUCAGCUUGAUUAUGUUUUGAGUUAACUUAUAGAUUAUUUGAAAUAAAAAGAAUAUAAUUUAUUUUUUCUAACUAAAUAUUUUUAAAUAAUUUUGUUAAUUUAAUGAGUAAUUAUACACUUACAAAGUUAUGAUAUAAAAUUAUAUCCCUGAAUCCCAAUCAUAUGACACCAAUUAACUACUGCUAUGUGUUUCUUAGUAUUUAACUUUUUAUACUAUUAUUAAUGAGAUAAUUAUCUUCAACACCAAUAAAUAAAUUUUAUAUUAAUACAUCCUCUGACUUUAUUAUCAAAUGAUUAUAAAUCAUAAUCAAACCAAGCUACCAAAGCCUACUACUAAGAGAUUGAUUAAAGGGUUUUCCAAGAUUUCAAAUUGGAUGAAACUAUGGUGCAACGGUUGCACCGUACUACUCAAUUUUGUCUUUUUCAAUUAAUUACAUCUCAAUACCUAUAUUUUAUAAAAAAGUUGAAUAGACACUAGAAGUUACAAUUUUUUAUAUAUGAGUCCUCUUUUGGGAUAAAAAUGGAUUUUAAAAAAAUUUAACUGUUACUAUUAUUAAUAUUUAUAAAUUUCAUUAUUAUUAUAUUAAUAUUAUUGUUAUUAUUAUUAAAAUUUAUUAUUUUAAUUAUUGUCAUGUAUUAUUAUUACUACCAUAAAUGUCAUCAUUAUUAAUAUUAUUAUUAUCAUUAAAAUUUAUUAUUUUAUUAUUUUAAUUAUUAUGUAUUAUUAUUACUGUCAUUAAUUAUUAUUAUUAUGAAAUUAAUUUAUUUUAUUAUUUUAUUGUUACAAUUACUUUAAUUAAGUCAUUAUUAUUAUUUUAUUAAUUUUAUUACUAUUAUUAAAUAUAUUAACUUUAUUAUUUUAAUCAUGAUUAAUUAUUGUUAUUAUUAUUUUAUUAAUAGUAAUAUUAUUAAAAUUAUUAAUUUUAAUAUUUUAAUUAUUGUCAUGUAUUAUUAUUACUACCAUAAAUGUCAUCAUUAUUAAUAUUAAUAAUAAUAUUAUUAUUAUCAUUAAAAUUUAUUAUUUUAUUAUUUUAAUUAUUAUGUAUUAUUACUAGGGGUGGGCACGGUUCGGUUCGGUUUGGUUCGGUUCGGAUCGAAAUUAAGUAGAACCGAUUUAAAUCGGUUAUUUUAUAAAAAGAACCGAAUAAGAACCGAACUCAAACGGAUCUUUUCGGAUCGGUUCGGUUCGGUUCGGUUUUUUGGUUCUAGGUCUAUUAGGCCUAUUUUAAAAUUUCAAAUUUUUAGCCCAUUGGACCUCAUAAAUGUAAUAAUUGUUUUCAACAAUUAGUUCAUCCUAAUUUCAUUACAAAUAUUAACAAUAAAUACAAAGUAUUCAAAACACAUUUUAUCACUAAUAUCUUAUUAACUACUAAUAAGGUACUCACAAAAUAUGAAAUAUUAAAAUUUCAAAAUACAUAACCAAACUCCAAUACUCCAUCUACAUAAACAUAAUCAUAAUGUUGUAAAGACAAAUAAAAAUAACAACAAUUACAACUUACAACACAAAAUAAAAAGAAAAUUUAGAAACAAACGCCAACAACAUUCUCCCAUCUUCACCCAAAAAAAAAAAUUGCAAACAAAUGCCAACAACAUUCUCCCAUCUUCAUGAAUAUCAACAUCAACUUUAGGCAUUUUCGACUCAAUAUUUGGAUUUAUAAAAAAAAAUUUAACACAUGUCGAUUUGAAUAAAAUAUAAAAUUAAUUCGGUUUUUCGGUUCAGCUAAGUGAACCGAAUACCGAACCGACAUUUCGGUUUUUUUUUACAAAUGAUAUAUUUCGGUUUUUUUUAAAAUAAAAACCGAUCCAAAUUCGAAAAAACCACCGGUUCGGUUCGGUGUUUUUAAGACCACGGUUUUUUUGCCCACCCCUAAUUAUUACUGUCAUUAAUUAUUAUUAUUAUUAUGAAAUUAAUUAAUUUUAUUAUUUUAUUGUUACAAUUACUUUAAUUAAGUCAUUAUUAAUUAUUAAUUUUAUUACUAUUAUUAAAAAUAUAUUGGCUUUAUUAUUUUAAUCAUUAUUAAUUAUUGUUAUUAUUAUUUUAUUAAUAGUAAUAUUAUUAAAAUUAUUUAAUUUUAAUAUUUUAAUUAUUGUCAUGUAUUAUUAUUACUACCAUAAAUGUCAUCAUUAUUAAUAUUAUUAUGAAAUUACUUAUUUUACUCAUUAUUAAUUAUUAUUAUCAUUAAAAUUUAUUAUUUAUUAUUUUAAUUAUUAUGCAUUAUUAUUGCUGUCAUUAAUUAUUAUUAUUAUGAAAUUAAUUAAUUUUAUUAUUUUAAUUGUUACAAUUACUUUAAUUAAGUUAUUAUUAUUUAUUAAUUUUAUUACUAUUAUUAAAAUAUAUUAACUUUAUUAUUAUUAUUAUUAUUAUUAUUAUUAUUAUUAUUAUUAUUAUUAUCAUUAAAAUUUAUUAUUUAUUAUUUUAAUUAUUAUGCAUUAUUAUUGCUGUCAUUAAUUAAUAUUAUUAUUAUUAUAAAAUUAAUUAAUUUUAUUAUUUUAAUUGUUACAAUUAUUUUAAUUAAGUUAUUAUUAUUUAUUAAUUUUAUUACUAUUAUUAAAAUAUAUUAACUUUAUUAUUAUUAUUAUUAUUAUCAUUAAAAUUUAUUAUUUAUUAUUUUAAUUAUUAUGCAUUAUUAUUGCUGUCAUUAAUUAAUAUUAUUAUUAUUAUAAAAUUAAUUAAUUUUAUUAUUUUAAUUGUUACAAUUACUUUAAUUAAGUUAUUUUUAUUUAUUAAUUUUAUUACUAUUAUUAAAAUAUAUUAACUUUAUCAUUUUAAUUAUUAUUAUUAUUUUAUUAAUAGUAAUAUUAUUAAAAUUUAUUAUUCUAAUUAUUAUAUUAUUAUUAAUGUUGUCAACAUCAUCAUCAUCAACAUUAUUAAAGUUUACAUAUUUUUUUGUUUUAAGUAAUAUUAUUGUCAUUAUUAUUAUUUUACCUUAAGUAAAUAUUUAAAAACUUUUAGUUUUUAUGAUUUUGUAACUUACGGUCAGACUGUGAAAUAGUUAGAUAAUCAUUAAUUAUUAUUAUUAUUAACAAUUUAAUAAAAAUAUUAUUAAUUAUUGUUAAUAGAUUAAUUAAUUAUAAUGUUUUUUAUUCUUGUAUUAAUAAUAAAAAUAAUCUAUUUAAAAAAUAUUUAUGAUUAUAAUAAAAUAACAAUUAUAAUUAUAAUUCAUUUAACAAUAAUUAUAUUUUUUAAAUAAUGGAGGUUAUUUGGAAAAUUUAAAAUUAUAGGGGCAAAUUCAUACUCUAGGGUUUUAAUAAAAUAAAAUUGAGUAUAAGGGGUUAAACGAAAUUUUAUAUUUCAAAAAGUUUAUAAUAUUCAUGAAUAAAAUAUAAAUAACAUAGAAUAUGGGGGGUUAUAUAAAAUUUCACAGGCUGACCGUAAGUUACGUUAAAUGUAUAACUUAGGCGGACCUUUAGUGAAAUGCACAAAUGGCACAAGGGACCCCGCCAACCGUUAAGUCACAUCAUUUAUUUAUUUGUGAAUGAAAAAUAAGGUCCUUAUGCUAGUUUGACGAUUAUAAGUUAUCAUCACAAGGUUGUUGGGCGCAUGCAUACUGAGUCACAGCACUGAGAUUCAACUUUUCUGUACAAUAAGAGUUUAUUUGUCUUUUUGUAUUGGGAUAAAAUGGAUCUCCCUCCAACUUUAAGUAAGGCUUAAUAUUCAGGCUGUGCUGUAAUAGAAUUAUUGAGGAGAGUUUCAUUUUUUAUUGUAAAUAUCAGUAGAGCUCUCAUUGUAAUAUAUCAGUCUAUCAAAAAAAAGUUAUCAUCCCAAUAACUUUGGACUUUGAUAUUAAUUUUACUAAUUAUGAAAUUCAUUAUCUAAUAAAAAAAAUAACACAUAACAAUUGGGUCUCAAAUUAGAAUUCUACUAUCGAAAUUCCUAGCAUUAUUCUAAUAUUAAAAAUUCAUCAAAAUAAUAUCUAUUAUCUAAAAAAAUAAAAUAAAAAUCUAAAGCCAUAGAUUUACUUUUCAAUCUUCCUGAUUUGGCUGAUUUCUUUUAAAGCUUUGGUUUCUUUAUAUUUUUAUCGAUCAUUUUAGCGGUGCUGGCAUUUGAUUUUUUUGACUAAGCUACUGUUUAGUUCUAAGUUUUGGCAAUUGCCCGGACUGCUCUGUUUUGUGUAUCUUCGACACAACAAGGCUUAGCAUCUAAAUGUCGGCAGCCACGCAACUUCUUGGAAUCUUCGUGCAAGUGUUGGAUAUCGACUGUUCGAUAAUGAUGGCAGCAUGGGACUGGAGUGUAAUUGACGCAGUGGAAUAAAGAUCACAUGUCUCAAACUUUUGGCGAAGAUAUUGUCAGAUAUUUUAUUGAUUAAGGAUCACAAAUAAUGGAUAUUGGAUGAGAAUCACAUGCUUUACCACAAUCGUAAUGUUACUAAUGUAAGUCAAGCAAUUAUUUUUAAAUAAUGAUAUUAUAAUUAAAAAAUAAAUAAAUAUUUAUAAUAUUUAAAAGAGUAAUUCCGAUUAUUAAUUUUUUUAUAUUACUUAAUUAUUAGCUGACAAAUAAUUAAAAGGUUAUAGAACAGGACUCAGCUACCUUACAACAGUUGCAAGGUACCACCAAAUUUUGACUUUUCUUAAUUUCAGUUUUUUAUCAUUAGAUUUAAUGAAAAGGUGGUUUCAAUGGUAGAGAUUUGUUCAUUUAAAUAUUAACAUUACACUCCUUGAUAUUUAUUAAAGACACAAACAAGUUAAAGAGUUUAAAAUUUUAACACAUAAGUCCGGAUUGUUUACAAUUUAUAUUGUUUAAUUAGUAGUGAGUAUUAAAAAAUAAAUAUUAUUUUUAAUAUUAUAUAUUUUAUUUAAAAGAAUAAAUAAAUAUUAUUUAAUAUUAUUUAUUCCAUUUUAUUUAAUAUUAUUUAGUCAUAUACUUAUUAUUAUAUUUAUUCUUUCAAAAAACUAAAUAACAUUAAAUAAAAUAAAAUAAUCAUUAGGGCGCUUUAAAAAUAAAUAUUAUUUUUAUUUUUGUUUUAUUUAAUCAUUGGCUUAUUAUUAUAUUUAUUAUUUUAAAAAAUAAAUAAUAUUAAGUAAAAUAAAAUAAUCAAUAAUGACUGUUAAAAUUAAUAUUAUUUUUACUUAGUCAUAGGCUUAUAAUUAUAUUUAUUCUUUAAAAACUGAAUAAUAUUAAAAAAUCAAUAGUGUCUUAAAAAUAAUAUCAUUUUAAUAUUAUUUAUUUUAUUUAAGUUAAAUUUUAAUAUUAUUUAUUUUAUUUAAGUUAAAAUUUUAAUAUUAUUUAUUUAAUUUAAAUUUUUUAAUAUUAUUUAUUUUAUUUAAUAUUAUUUAGUCAUAGGCUUAUUAUUAUAUUUAUUCUUUUUUAUAAAGAUAAAUAAUGUUAAAUAAAAUAAAAUUACAUUUUAUAAAAGUUACCAGCGAAAGCAUACAAAAUUAUAAAUAAAUGUAAAAAAAUAAAUAAUAUUAAAUAAAAUAAAAUUACAUUUUAAAAUGUCACUAGCUAAAACAUAUAAACUUAUAAAUAAAAUGUAAAUAAGAAAGAAAGUAAGGUAUUAAAUGAAAUGUAACGUCACAUAAAACAAAAAUAAGUGGCACAUUACAACUGUUGCAAGAUAGCUGGACUCAUAAAACAAUAUUUUUAGGUCAAAUUUUUAUUCUGAUACGACACAACUUGUACUUUCAUUCCUAUGCUAAAAUAUAUCUAACCUACUAAUAGUCAAGAAAUAUAUCUAUUCAACACAUAUUUGUUAGAAAGAUUAUCUACUAAUUAAUCAUUGAGACGAGAUUACGAGCCUCAACAUAAAUUAGGAUAAAAAUUAAUAUAUUGAAAUUCAUAAUUUUUUUUUUCCUUCAGCAGUUUAAAAUGGAGUCGCCCACUAGUACUGAAAUAAUUUUAUCAGAUUCGCUUGAAAGUAGUUUUACAAGCAAGCAGUUUUUCCCUCUUGAUCCCCGUAAUCGUCAGCUCCUACUCUUUGCCUUCAAUUCUCAGUCAAGAAAACCUCUCCUGAUUUUCGUCUUUUGAUCUCAUACACACUUUGCUUCUGUUCAUCGUGGUCGCUGCUCGUGCUAGCCGUUUUCUUAUUUAGCUUUGUUCCCUUUUGCCAUCAGCUCUUCGCAUUUUCAUUGGAUCAAGCAACCCUUUUCUUGAUUCAAUUGUCUGAUCUCAAAAACACUUUGAUUCUCUUCUGUUACGCUGAUUUUCCCUUGUUUUGUACAAAUAUCAUUUCUUUUUUCAACUUUGCCUUGUUUUGCUUCUGCUUGAUUAUCAAUUGCGCGGCCGUUGACCCUGUUCUAUUUCUAUUUCGUUCACUUCCCCAAAAAAUAAAAAAUGGACAUUUUGAAAAGCAUUGUUCCAGGAGUUGUGAACUGCUUGUCUCCUCACGCACAACGCGAAUUUAGUUAUUGGUAUAACUCCGCUGCCAACUUUGAGAAUCUCAAGGCAGAACUCGAUAGGCUCAAGGAUGAAAGAGAAAGCAUUCAGCGCAGAGUUUCUGAGGCUGAAAGAAAAGGUGAAAAGAUUGAAGAGAAGGUUGAGAAAUGGCUGGUUAAUGCGAACAAGAGCAUUGAGGAGGCAGCCAAAUUCAUUCAAGACGAAGAGAAAGCAAAUGAACGAUGUCUCAUGGGGCUGUUUCCAAAUUGGAUUACUCGCUAUCAGCAUGGAAAGAAAGCAGAAACAGAGAAGGAGGCCCUUUUUAAACUCCGAGAAGAAGCUGGGAGAUUUGAUGAUAGAAUUUCCUACCGUACCGUUCCGGAGGAUAUAUGGCUCAAGUCUCACAAAGGCUACGAGGCCUUCGAAUCAAGACUUUCUACUUUGAAGGCCAUACAAAAUGCAUUGAUCGAUGUUGAUGUCAGCAUCAUUGGGGUGUACGGCAUGGGCGGCGUUGGAAAGACGACACUGGUGAAGAAGGUCGCCAGGCAAGCUAUGGAAGACAAGCUCUUUGAUAUGGUGGUCUUUUCAGAGGUUUCGCAAACUCCAGACAUAAAAAAGAUUCAACAGGAAAUUGCCGAGAAGUUGGGCCUGGAGUUGCACGAGGAAGUUGAAUCUAGAAGAGCUAGUAGGCUAUGUGAGCGAUUGAGAAAUGAGAAGAAGAUCCUUGUGAUUCUGGAUAACAUCUGGAAACACCUUGAUUUGGAGACCGUUGGAAUUCCUUUUGGAGAAGAUCAUAAAGGAUGCAAACUACUGCUGACGACAAGAGAUCGUAGUGUCCUCUUGAAAAUGGGAUCUGAAGACAACUUUUUGAUAAACAAUUUAAAUGAAGAAGAAGCCGGGAGAUUGUUUAAGAUGAUGGCCGGUGAUGAUGUUGAAAAUCGUGAGUUGAAAUCUACAGCAAUAGACGUCGCCAGGGCAUGUGGAGGUUUGCCCAUUGCCUUGACUACAGUAGCAAAGGCAUUGAGAGGCAAGAGUCUGCAUGAAUGGAAGAAUUCCUUGCGAGAACUCCGAACGCCUUCAAUGGUAAACUUCGAAGGAGUGUCUGCAGAGACUUAUUCAAGUAUUGAACUGAGUUUCAAGUAUUUAAAAGGUGGGCAACUCAAGGAACUUUUUCAGCUCUGCAGUCUAAUGGGUAACAGUAUCCCUACUUUGAAAUUGCUUAAAUACUCCAUAGGUUUGGGUAUAUUUCAAGGAGUCAAUAAGGUGGAAGAUGCACGAAACAAGUUAUAUGCGUUGGUACAUGAACUUAGAGACUCUUGUUUGUUGCUUGAGGGUGAUAGCAAUAAACUAAUUUCAAUGCAUGAUGUUGUUCGCGAUGUCGCCAGAUCAAUUGCAUGCCGAGACCAACAUGUAUUUGUGGUGGAAAACGAGGAUGUGUGGGAGUUGCCAGAUAAGGAAUCACUAAAAAAAUGCUAUGCAAUCUCUAUAAGAUAUUGUUGCAUUCAUGAGCUUCCCAAUGCAUUGGAAUGUCCACAACUUGAGUUCUUGUGCAUGUCUCCCGAAGAUUCUUCUCUUGAAGUGAGUAUUCCUGAAAAUUUUUUUGUAGGGAUGAGAAAGCUUAAAGUUGUAGAUUUUACUGGAAUGCAGUUAUUUUCAUUGCCUUCUUCAAUUGAUCUCUUAGUAAAACUUAAAACACUUUGUCUUGAUGAAAGCAUUUUGAGAGACAUCGACAUAGCCAUUAUUGGAAAGUUGGAAACUCUAGAAAUCCUCAGCUUCGUGCGGUCUGAUACGGUGCAAUUGCCCAAAGCACUAGGUCAACUGACUAAGCUAAGGCUGUUAGAUUUAACAGACUGUUUCCAUCUAAAAGUUAUUGCUCCAAAUGUCAUAUCAAGCUUAAUCCGAUUAGAAGAAUUGUAUAUGUGUAAUUGCUCCAUUGAAUGGGAGGUUGAAAGAGCCAACAGCAAAAGAAGUAAUGCUAGCCUUGACGAAUUGAUGCAUUUACGUUGGCUAACCACUCUAGAAAUUGAUGUUAAAAAUGAGAGUAUGUUACCAGCAGGCUUUUUGGCCAGAAAGCUCGAAAGGUUCAAAAUAUCUAUUGGAAAUGGGUUAUUCAUGCAUCCCAUGCUUUUUGGACAACAUUGGUUUAAAAGUCAGCUGCACUUUUUGAUCGACAGUAAUCGCAAGAUUUCAAGAGAAUUGGAGCUCAAGCUUGAUUUUAUGGACAUUUGCUCCAUGAAAUUGCAGGGCAUCAAUAACGUUGAAUACUUACGGUUGGACAAGCUGCAAGGCAUCGAGAAUGUUCUUUUCAAUUUGGACACGGAGGGCUUUUCACAAUUGAAGGUCCUCUGCGUCCAAAAUAAUCCUGACUUCUUUUGUAUCGUCGAUUCAAGGGAGAUGGUCGCUUGUGAUGCCUUUCCUCUUUUGGAGUCACUUGCCCUUCACAAUUUGAUCAACAUGGAGAGGAUAUGUGUUGAUCGGCUCAAAGUAGAGUCUUUCAACGAACUCAAAAAUAUAGAAGUAUAUAAUUGUGAUAAGUUGAGUAAUAUCUUUUGGCUCUCUACUUCAAAAUGCCUUCCAAGACUUGAGAGAAUUGCAGUUAUUAAUUGCAGCAAGAUGAAAGAGAUUUUUGCAAUUGGGGAAGAAGUUGAUAAUGCAAUUGAGAAGAUAGAGUUUGUUCAAUUAAGAUCUUUGAGUCUGGGGAAUCUUCCAGAGGUUACAAGUUUUUGCCGCCGUGAGGUGGAGACUCCUUCAGCAUCACCGAACAGACAAGUGUCGCAAGAGGAAUCGACGACUACGUAUUGCUCCAGCGAAAUCACUUUGGAUACUUCAACUCUGCUUUUCAACGAGAAGGUGCGUAGGCUAACAUUUUCUUUAUAUAUAUAUAAUUAAAUCAUUUAAAGAAUUGAAAGAAAAUGGAAAAAGGAUAAAAAGAAUCUCACGCGCUCACUAAUUGAGCUCUUAACAAGUAGUAUGAAUUAGAAUGCAUACUCAGCUGUCAGUUGGAAAUUGAUUCAGACUUGAUUAAUUUGUAAUCAAAGAAGAAAAUUUCAACAAGUGCUUCCCCUAUAGAUAUUGGAUCUAACGAGAAAUUCUUAUUUUUUUAGGUUGCGUUGCCUAACUUGGAGGCUUUGGAGAUAUCUGAAAUUAAUGUCGACAAGAUUUGGCACUACAAUCAAAUUCCGGCGGCCGUGUUUCCUCACUUUCAAAGUUUAACAAGAUUGAUUGUGUGGCGUUGUCACAAAUUAAAAUACAUAUUUUCAGCGUCUAUGAUCGGAAGCCUCAAGCAGCUCCAACACCUAGAUAUACGAGACUGUAAGGAUUUACAGGAGAUCAUUUCUGAAAACAGAGCAGAUCAAGUGAUCCCUUAUUUUGUCUUUCCACAGCUCACCACUCUGAGACUCCAAGAUCUACCAAAACUUAGAUGUUUGUACCCUGGAAUGCAUACUCCGGAAUGGCUUGCGCUUGAAAUGCUUUUUGUGUAUCGCUGUGACAAAUUAAAGAUAUUCGCUGCAGAUUUAUUGCAGAAAAAUGAGAAUGAUCAACUUGGUAUUCCUGUACAACAGCCCCCAUUGCCGUUGGAAAAGGUAUGAAGCCAUUUUCUAGAUUUUUUUUAUCAAUAACUUAUUUUUAACUUUGAAAAAUAUGACAAAGCAAUGAUAAAUUAAUACUCAAUAAAUUGAAAACUUUUAUUAUACAAUAAUCUUUGCUAGUCUAGACUAAGGGAUCAAUGUGGUAGAUUAAUAAUUAUAUGAACUUUUUUAGGUAUAGCAUUUAUAAAAGAAUCCUUAGUCUUUCCUAUAGAAGAACUUACAAAAUAAAUUAGUAAUUUAUUAUCGUGCAAUAAAAUAAUUUCUUUUUUUUCCCUAAUUUCUUUUUUACCUCUAAAAUUAAUAUAUAAAAAAUCAUUUAAUAAAAUUUAUCAAUAAUUCAAUUUGUUUUUGUAAAAUAUAAUAUAAAACAAAUAAUAUAAAGUCACUGCAUGUGAUUGGAUUACUCAAAAUCAUUUGAGAGAACACCAAUUGACCUUGUCAGUUAUUAUGAUUGAUGAUGAUCAGAUCUUACCCAACUUGACGGAACUAUCACUAAGCGGAAAAGACGCGAAGAUGAUUUUGCAGGCCGAUUUCCCACAACACCUUUUUGGCAGUCUUAAACGACUAGUGAUUGCUGAAGAUGACUCAGCUGGUUUUCCAAUCUGGAACGUACUUGAGAGAUUUCACAAUCUCGAAAUACUCACACUGUUUAAUUUUUCAUUCCACGAAGAGGUAUUUUCGAUGGAAGGAUGCUUAGAGAAACAUGUGGGGAAGUUGGCAACGAUAAAAGAAUUAGAGCUGUACCGGCACUAUCAUCUGAAGCAGCUGUGCAAACAAGACUCCAAACUUGGCCCCAUUUUUCAGUAUCUUGAAAUUCUAAAAGUAUAUCAUUGUCAAAGUCUGUUAAUUCUACUGCCAUCAUCAUCGGUAUCUUUUGGGAACCUAACAAAACUUGUAGCUAGCGGUUGCAAGGAAUUGAUGCACUUGGUAACAUCCUCCACAGCAAAAACUCUAGUGCGACUCGUAUCACUUGGUGUAUACGGAUGCAGAGCAAUGACAGAGGUGGUAAUAAAUGACAAAGACGGGGUUGAAAAAGAAGAGAUUGUUUUCCGCAAAUUGAAGACGUUGGAACUGUGUGAUUUAGACAGCCUCACAAGUUUCUGCUCUGCCAAUUACACCUUUGAAUUCCCAUCUUUGCAAGAGUUGGGGGUGAUUUGUUGUCCCAAGAUGAAGAUUUUCACUACAGGAGAAUCAAUCACGCCUCCGGGAGUAUACGUCUGGUAUGGAGAGACAGCGGAUCAACGGUGCUGGGCUAAUAAUGAUCUAAACGCAACCAUACAACAAUUACAUGCUGAGAAGGUACGGAUAUACAUAUUACUCUCUAUCUCCCAUGAUAAAUUUUUAUAAAAUUUGCUUUUUAAAAUACAAUAUAGAUAAGAUAUUUGUUUAAAGUAAAAGUUUAAAUUGAUGAAUAAGAAUUUUAUUUUCAGCUGUUGGCGGUGCCGUCGUCGUUCUCCACCCGGUACUAAUUUCAUAGGCUUCUUAUGACUUGGGAGUUGUGAAUUUUUAGAAGAAAGUCUCAACUGGUAAUUAAUUUUUAUUUCAUUUAUUUGAUCUCAUGGCUUCUUUCGCAAUUUCAUCUGAAUUAUUUAGAAUGGGUCACUCGAUUUACUGUUAAAUUUGGAAUGCCAUUUUAAUGAUUCGUUCAGACUUUUAUGGACAGAUUUUGCAUCAUUGAAUGUCUUUCAGUCUAGUUUAAUUUAAUUUUUUUUUUGGAGAGUUUCCCUUGUUUUCUAAAAUUGUAUAAUUCCUUGCAUACUUUUUAUGAUAAAAUUUCAUUAAAAACCUUCAUAUUUUAUAAUUCCAUGAAAUCGUGCGUACUUUUUUCCUAUCUUUCUUCGCCAAUUAUUUGUUUUCAUCAUUGCUGUUCUGUUAUUUUAGCUUGUGCUCUGUUUGUUCAUUUGGUUUGGUUUGCUUCACACCUAUCUUUCUUUGGAAACUUAGAAGGCAAAGGAAGUACUUAGAAAAUGCUCUUCCCUAUGAACACAUAAUUAAGAACAGCUGAAAAUCAUUCAUCGGAUAAAAAAAUUAAAAAUAAUUAAAAAUAAACAAAAUCUAAUCAGAGCAUUAUGCCUGGAACAAAUCCUUAAGCCAUCAAAGCAAAACUCUUCGCUAUGAAAAACUAUAUUGUGGAAAUAUUGUUUGAAAACGUUGGAUACCAAGAAAGGGACUAAUCUGGUCUAGUUUUAUGAGAAGUGCAGAAGAACAGUAUUUUCUCUGUUGUUCCUAUUAAAAUUCUUUACUCUGUUAUUGUAGAAUGUCUGGAUACUCAUGAAGAUUCAGGUAACUCUUCUUCUGUGCAUCAUUUGAAAUAAGGUCUUUUUUUUUUUUUUUUUUUUUUUUUUUUUUGGGAAUAUCUCCUACUGGGUUUAUAGCUCAUACAAAGAGAUAUUCUCAAAUGAAGCCGGAUACUGGUAGAAACAAGGGAGGAAGUUGGCGCUGAUAAAAUGGUUAAUCCUGUCCAGACUUAAUCAUCUGAAGCAACUCCAAACUGGACUCCAUUUUCAAUAUCUUGAAAUUCUAAGGCUAUAUUAAUGCUUGUAAAAAUCUUUUAAGUCUAUUCCCAUGAUCAUCUGUAACUUUUGGGAAUCUAACAGAACUGGUGGUUUUCCAUUGCAAAGAAUUGUAACAUCCAUCCACUACAGCAGAAAGUCGAGUGCGGCUCGUAUCAAUGAAGGUAACUGGAUGCAGGCCAAUGACAGAGGUGUUUGACAGAGGUGUUAAUAGGUGACGGAGAAGAAGAUGGAGCACCAAAUUUAAUUUCAAAACAAGAGAUUGUUUUCAGCAAAUUGAAGACGUCGAGUCUGUGUGAUUUAGAUAGUCUCACAAGUUUCUGCUUUGCAAAUUACGCUUUCAGAUAAAGAUUCUUGAAACUGUCCUAUUUAGAGCUGACAUUUCCACUAGAUUUAAGAGAAUAUAAAAAAUUCAUUAAUCGUUAGUUUUUAAUUUCAUUAUUCAAUGAAAGUCCUGUCAAAUUAAAUUGCCGCUAUUGAAUCUCUCGCUCCCCUUGCAAAUCUCUAUGUGCAAGUACCUAAAUUUACAAAUUUUACUUCAAAUUAAUGAAUGACAUAAUUUAUUUUCAGCAGUACGAUAUGUUCUGAUCCCAUAGGCUUUUUAAUUUAUUACAUGGUGUUGUCAAAUUUGAAGAACAAGGUCCGAGGUAACAAUCGUUUUCAUUUCAUUUUGUUUGAUCUCUAAGUUUAUUUCAUCGUUUCAUCUAAAUUAUUUGCAAUGCGUCGGUUGGUUUCUUGUUAAUUUUGGAACAAAGUUGAUGCAACCAAUGGUUGCAUAUGAUGAGUAGGAUAUCGCUCUGAGAUCAUAACUUGAGUUAUAGAUAUCUAUCUAGGGCGUAUAAUAUAUCAUUAAUCUAUUACUAUAACAUUGUAUUGGUCUCGUGGUCCAGCUAGAAAUUCUAUUUGUUUCAUAGUUAUUUUACAAGUUUAAGAUAUUUUCUUAUUUUUCUUAUUAUUUUCAAGAUUUUUAUUUUUUUUCUACAAAUAUAAGAUUUAAGUACGAUUUAUUUUAUUUUUAUUAGAAGAAUGUUAUUAUAUAAUAAUAUUUUAGGUUUGCUUAUUUUGGUAAAUUCGUAAUAUUUAGAAUUAGUAUAAAGAGGGUCCAAAAUCCAAAUUUUGUUAUUCAGACCUAUCUAUUAAUAAAAUUUCAGACUUUUCAAAAACUUGUGUUUCUCUAUAUUUUCAAUCUCAACGUCCAAUUUUCCGUCAUCAUAAAUUCUAAUGCCUGGUUCCAUCAGGUCUCUCUUCUGUGAAGCCCCUGGAGUAAAAGCUCCGAAUGUGUUACCAUUGAAAUCAUGGCAGAAAACUUUAGUACUUAAUUAAGGCUCUUGAAUAAGACUCUUUAUGGCUUCAAUAUUUUACUUGAUAUGAAAAUUUCUUUCUAGAUAGAAUCAUUGUGAAGAUAAAUUGUGGUAUUACUGACAAUGAAUAAGUUGAAACAUCAACAGAGAUAAAUAUUGAGCAAUUAAUGUUACCAGCAAUCAAUUUGUGAGCACCAACAACCAUUUUCAUAUUUAAGCCGUUAGAACAGUAACACAAAAUAUGGCGAGUGGCAACCACACAAAUAAUCAAAUUCCUGAUAGAUUUUGAAAACUUUAAUUUGCUAGAUAUGUAUUUUAAUAUUUCAACAGGUGCAUCUUUUCUCUACUCAUGUGGCACGUUGAAUCAGAAACGGUUUGAAUGUCAAUAUUACUCCAAGUGCCUCAACCAAAUUCAGAAUGAAGAAAAUCAUCUGGUUACCUGCACUUUAGUUUAAGCAGCUGAUUAAGUUAAUUAGCACCAAGUAAUUCACAUACUAGUGAGAAAUUUCAUUAGUAAAUUCAUACCUGGGAGGAAACCAGCAUCUUGACGCUUUUGUGACCAAGAAAAUCUGCCAGAACCCCAAUUAAUGAAAAAAAAUUAUAACAUCAUUUACAUAUAAUUUUACAAAAUCAAUAGGACACUUACAGAGCACCUCCUACAGCUGGACCGGCAGUUUUGGUAAGCGACACCACAGUCAUAGCAAGUCCAUUAUGGUAUAAUGCUGUUCCUGUUAUUAUACCAUAAACCAAAAAAAUAAUUUAAACUUUUGACACAUACAAAGCAUGAAAAAGCUGAAAGCAUGGAAAUGUACUAAACAAACAAAAGAAAAUAUAUUUACCACUGCUCUGUUUUGCAGAAGGAACAAUCCAGUAAUUAUAGACACCUGAUGUUAUAAUUCAGGAAAAGUGAAAGAGAAUUACAACAUUUCUGAUAAAGAAGAUAUAAAAUAACUUUUAUACAUUCUUGCUAAUGGGUAAUAUAACCUAAGUAUAUGGAUCAAUGAUUAGGAUAUCCACUUACAGAUAAAACAUUCUUCAUCACAGAAGCACAGUUUAUCAAUAAGGCAAGGCUGAACCCAGAUAACAUUGCUAUGUAAGUGUAACUUGUCAAAAGCGGUAUCGAUAAAACCUGUAUAUACAUAGAAAAUUACGUCACCAAAUCCAUGAAGAAAAGUAUUUUAUAAACAAAUAUGUUUGAAACAAACUAUCAAAUGAUCUAAAUGCCACAUGGUUUGUUCAAAAUUUUACCCCUGCAAUGCGUGUUAUUAUUAUUGGCCCGAUCAUCCUCUCAACGUAAGGGUAUAGAGUAAGUUGAAAAACAAGGAGGCUGAAUCCUGCAGUAAGUUCAAAAUGAGGAGUUGAGGACAAUCAAUAAGCAGUUUUGUGGGGUUGAUGCAUGAGAAAAGAAGUUAAGAGGAACGAGUAACAUUUUCAGUUUCGUAAUAAGUAUAAAUGGGCAGCAAGAGUAUUGGUUUUGCACCUGAGAUGGCAAGAACUUGGCCAGCAUUUUCGGUUGAGUAACUCAGACCCCCGUACUUCCACGGGCUGAUAGCCCACAAUGAAAAUAUCUAACAGAAUAGUUGCAAUAUUAUGAUUUAAAAAAAUUACAUAGAUAAGAAAUUCUUAGGAUCAGUAAUAGCCAUAUGUCUUCUUUAUGUAUAAAACUCAAAACAAUCCCAUCAAUAGCAAUAGCACCCUCUGUUUCAGGUAGAAGUUAAGAGAUAACUUUGCAAAUAUCUAACAGAAAGCGAUCUGAUCCAGGAUCCUGGACUUUAUUCAAGUUCGGGAAAGCCAUUGGUCAUUGGACUAUUAAACCAUGUGGCUUAAUAACUGGUUGAGCAGAUCAUCUCGACCAGGAUAUUAUAGUUCACAUCGACCAGAAUAAUAUGUGGUGACCUCGAGCAGAUCACCUCGACCAGGAUAUUAUUGGUCAUCUCGACCAGGAUGUUAUUGGUCACCUCGAGCAGAUCACCUCGACCAGAAUAAUAUGUAGUGACCUCGAGCAGAUCACCUCGACCAGGAUAUUAUUGAUCACCUCGACCAGGAUAAUAUGUGAUGACCUCGACCAGAAUAAUAUGUGGUGACCUCGAGCACAUCACCUCGACCAGGAUGUUAUUGGUCACCUCGACUAGGAAGUUACCAGAAAACACGAUUCAGUCAAAACAUUUUCUCCGAAAUAUUAGGGACCAUAUUCUUAGUGGGCUGAAAAUUAGUAGUUUUCUUGAGAAUCCUAUGGGAGAGGAUAAAAACCGCUAUAUUUUCAUAUAAAAACCCUAAGGGGGGAUUCUUCUAGCUCUCUCUCUCUCUCUCUCUCUCUCUCUCUAAGCAACUGAACCCAUUGGACCUUUUUCUCCCUCUACCACUGAGAAAUUUCUCUUUCGCCUGUGAUUUCUUUAAGAUUGAUUAUUGUGAAUUUUUUUCCUUUAAAUUUACUUAAAAGCUUUUUGUUUAAAGCAAUCAUAAUUAAGCCACAUGAAUUGUGGUAUGGGUUUUUCCAAGUAAGACCCGAAUCGCUGACUUGAGCGUCGGAGAGUUCUCGCCGGAAAAACUUCCGGCACCUCCUGACUGUUGGUUGUGUUCACAGGCUCACAGGUUAUCUGCUCAUGGAUUGUCUGCUCAUGGGUUCUCUGCUCAUGGAUCGUCUGCUCACGGGUUAUCUGCUCAUGGAUUGUCUGCUCAUGAGUUCUCUGCUCAUGGAUCGUCUGCUCAUGGAUUGUCUGCUCAUGGAUCGUCUGCUCAUGGGUUGUUUGCUCAUGGGUUCUCUGCUCAUGGGUUGUCUGCUCAUGGGUUGUCUGCUCAUGGAUCGUCUGCUCAUGGGUUGUCUGCUCAUGGGUUCUCUGCUCAUGGAUCGUCUGCUCAUGGGUUGUUUGCUCACAGAACAUCUGCUCAUAGAAAAUCUGCUCAUGGUGCUAACUAAUCAUCAGCUUCCCACCAAACAAAUUUAAUGCUGAUGCAGGGAUCUGAGAUUUGACCAACUCAUCCAGAUUUCGGCAUCAACAAUAACUUUCCCGAACAUUAAAAUAGUUUAGAUUUUGGAUUGGAACAUUUUUAUGUCAUAAUAAAGUAGAAUAUAUAUAUAUAUAUAUAUAUAUAUAUAUAUAUAUAUAUAAACAAUCAAACUCAGGUAGAGAUGUUUAUACCUCGGUGUAAGCGAUAUCAUGAAGCGAGAAAACACAAUAAACAAUAGUAGAAGAAAUAAAGGGCCAAUUCUUCAUGAGGCUUUUCUUAGCAGUGGCCUCCUCACUUCCUUCAUCUUGUUUAAAUUCUGCAUUGGACCCACAGGCGGAUUCCAAAGCAUCACAUGAUACAUCAAGUGAUACACCAUCUUCAUUGUGUUUGUGCAAUGUCUCCUGCAUCAAAAAGCAUGUGAUGGUGUCAAUGUAGUCAUUAUAAGAGAAGCGAAAGUUAUAUUUUAUAGUCUCACCCAUAAGAAAAUUUGAAGUUAUGGGAGAGUUGCUAUUACAUGUACAAUUCAGCCUGAAAAGAGAGCUAAAGGCUACGUACCGGAAUCCAGCAAGAAGCAAUAGUUACCGCAAAAGCAAAGAGUGACAUACAGAGACAGGGAAGGAAGUAAGGAAACCUGCAUAAAUUUGUUUUUCAAAAUACCAUCAUAUUGAAAGUAUUACAGAAAAAGAUAAGGCUAAUGGCAGUAAAAAUUCACUUACUUUCCAAACAUAGAUUCUUUGGAAAAUGCCUUUGGAUAUUUCUCUGCUGGCUGGAUUGCAAAAUUAUCCACGAAUAUAUAUAAGAAUAAUAUUUAUCAAGCCAAACUACUAAAAAUUCAAAAAAAAAAAAAAAGCGCAUAAUAAUCAAGUAAAAAUUGCCGAACCUGGGCCAAAAAGCCACCCACUGCAGGGCCAAUAAUCAACCCUGUGCCCCAUGCUGUACUGAGCUGAAAUUAUAUCGUAGUUCUCAAGGUAAAUGAUGCUAUAAAAUUUUCUCAAGAACUUUGCAAUCAUACACGAACUGAUAAGCUCACCGUUGACAGUCCUAAAGUUUUGUGUUGAUCGCGCAAUAUUUCACAUGCAUAUGCCUGGUGGUGCAAGAGAAGUUUGAGUACAAAUAUUUACAGGAGUUAAAUUGGAAUUAUCAACAAAUACCCCCAAUCAAUACCUUAAUUGGUCCAAGUAAACCAUUCAAAGCCCCAAGGAGAAACCUUGUAGCUAUGGCCAUCCAGAAACUAACACUAAGCCCAAAGAGAGUGUUAAAAAUAACCCUGUGAGCAUUUUAAGACAAAUAAGAAACCCAGAAAUUGCCAAAAUAUCAUCAAUUUCAAGCUUGAUCAUUUGAAAAUAGAGGUCACUAACACUGUGAUGCAUCCUAUUAUUAUUACAGGCUUUCGACCACAGCGGUCAGCCACCAUUCCCCACAAAACAGAUGUUAGAGCUCUGCCAAGCAUGUAUGAAGACCAUUCAAUUUCAUCAUGGUAUUAAGAGGUUUGUCAGAUGCAUCCUAUUAUUACUUCUCGAGGAAUUUGAACUGUUAUAUUGGUCGUACAUACAUACAUACAUGCAUACAUACAUAUACACAUACUGAAUAUUGUCUAAGUGGUUUAUUUACAGGUAUUCAAAAUAUAAAUUAUUGCUAUGAUUUUAGAAAAUAUUGUCUUUUUUUUGUAAUUUAUAUUAAAAUUUUGCGACAAUUGUUUGGCUGGAAUUUUUUUUUUUAUAAGAAAAAUAGUGAUCUCACACUGAUCCAUAGUUGAGCCAAUUACCUAGUUAAAAGCUACCUCCAUAUUUUUUAUUUUUUACCCUAAUGCAUGUCUGAUUCUUUUAAAAUUUUACGUUAUAUAUAUUAAACAAAAAUUAUAAUUUUAAUCAUUGAAAAAUUAAUGACAGACAUCUUUUGAAUAAUAUUUUUUUAAAAAAAUACAGAGCUAGAGAUAAUGCUAUAAUUGAUUGAAUAAGAAGGCUACAACUUGAUGAUAACUUUAUUGCAAUGUUGCGUGAUCUCAAUAUAUUAUUGGCUUUUGUGUGAGUAAAAGUUGCUGGCUCGUGUUUUACUAAUUUGGGUUUGUAUUUGACUGGCUCGACAAAGAAUCGAUUUACCUCAUACUCAAAUUACAAACAUCGAAACCGGAUCUGUCAUUACGUUAAUUGGCCUCCUAAAAUAAUCAAUCACUUUCUCUUUAGUCUACUAUCCACUCUUUCCAGUCGCUUAGUUUCAUUCUAAUCAUCUAAACGGCUCUUUGGUACUGUUUCUUCUAUUCGUCAUUGUUCUUGUUCUGUUAUUAUUUAGCUUUGUUCACUCCUCAGUCUCAUUUCUAAUUCUGUACCCAUCAGCUCUUUUAGCUCUUUACGUCGUGAUAGAAACCCUUUUCUUGUUUCCUUCAUCUCAUCUGAAAAACACAAUUGCUUGUCCUAUCGCUGUCUCUUUGUUUUUACUUUCCUUUGGCCUUCUUCGCUUCUACGUUUUUGUCAGGCUUCGAGAUGCUGGAAAUCAUUGUGACUAUCGUCUUGGAACUUGUAAAAUGCUUGGCUCCUCCAACUGCACGCCAACUUGUUUAUUUGCGAAAGCGGAACUACAAUGCCAACUUUGAGAAUAUCAAGGCGGAAAUGGAGAAGUUGAAGGUUGAACGUACGAGCAUUCAGCGCAGGGUUUCAGAGGCGAAAGAAAAAGGGGAAGAGAUUGAAGAGAAGGUUGAAAAGUGGCUGGUUAGUGCGAAGUACGAACGGCAUCAUUGACCGGGCAGCCAAAUUCAUUGAAGAUGAGGAGUCAACGAAUAAGCGCUGUGUCAAGGGCUUGAGUCCUAUUUGGAAGAGUCGCUAUCAGCUUAGCAAGAAAGCAGAGACGGAGGUGAAGGCCAUUAUUGAACUUGGAGAAGAAGUUAAGAAGUUUGAUACUGUUUCCCACGGUACCAUUCGGGAGCAGAUAUGGCUUAACUCUAGCAAUGGUUACGAGGCCUUCGAAUCAAGACUUUCUACUUUGCAAUCUAUAAAAAAUGCAUUGACUGAGGCGAAUGUCAGCAUUAUUGGGGUGUACGGCAUCGGCGGCAUUGGAAAGACCACACUGGUGAAGGAGUUUGCUAGGCAAGCCAGGGAAAAGAAGUUGUUUUAUCGGGUGGUUUUAUCAGAGGUUUCAUAAACUCCAGAGAUAAAAAAAGAUUCAAGGGGAAAUUACAGAGAACUUAGGUCUGGAGUUGUCCGAUGAAGCUGAAUAUAGAAGAGCUAGCAAGCUGAAUGAACGAUUGAAGAGUGAGAAUAAGAUUCUUGUGAUUCUAGAUAAUAUCUGGAAACAUCUUGAUUUGGAGACCGUUGGAAUUCCUUUUGGAAAUAAUCAUAAAGGAUGUAGACUUUGAUAGACAACCAAGGAGAUCAGCUAGAGUUUCAAAGCCAAGCAGCAAGCUUGUGGACUUUGUUUGACCAUGCAAACCAUGCCCAUGCAAGCCAUGCAAUUGAUCUCCCACAUAACACUUUCAUGCGAGUUAGUUGGAAUAAGAGCACGUGAGGAAUUGAUAUUGAAGUAAAAGUGAUGGUUGUCGAAGCCAGUAAAAAUAAAUACCUACUCUAAAUAAAUUAUGUAUAGUGAUUGAGUAAGGUCGUGUCCACAGAGAUCGGUAAUUAUUUAAAUUCUUUUAAAAAGUAAAUUGCAAAAUGGGGGGAUUGUUGACAAUAAUAAAAAUCAAAUUAAAAUAACAAGAAUGCAAAUUAAAAUUUUAAUUCAAAUUGGGAAAAGCUCUGGUUGAAGGAAUUAACUCAGCUUGAUUUGAUUACUGAUCAUUGAUUCAAUUAUAAAUCACUACUACUUAUGAAUAGAUCGGUUAUAGCUACUGAGACCCUCUAAUAGUCAAUCUCUCCUUAACUAAUCGAUAACCAAAGUACGACCGUUGGUUAUUUCCCUAAUCAAUAGACAACCUAGAUACGAUCAUAGGAUUUAAUCAAUUGACAGCCUGAAAAUCCAGAGAGACCCAAAUCCUAAUAAAUAAACGCAUACAAUGGUUCAUUUAAAUUAGAUUGUUUAUUCUCAUAACACAAUGCACUGCUAUGCUAUUUGUCACAAACAUUAAAAUCUUCAUACGAUAAAUCAUUUAAUUGACAACAUAUUAAGUUGAUAAUUAAAUAGUGGUCAAUUAUCUAAUUAACAAACAUAAUCAUGACAAUAAUUCAGAGAAUAAACAAAUACCCAAAAAAUAAUAAAAUAAUUAAAGCAUAAGAAAGAUCUCACAGUAGUGAUGAAUCAAACCUUCAUUAACCUUCAACCAGAAUAAUAGGUUUAGUUCCUCAUAGAGAAAAGAGAAAAAUUUAGAUCUAGGGUUUUUCUCUUUUCAAAAAUCUCUCCUUUUCACAAUACAUUCCUCCCUUAAAUUCUCUUCUCCCUCUUCUCCUCUAAAGUUCUUUUUACAAUAAAAUACUGAUAUCUAAAAUAUUAUCUAAAUAUUAAAUUCAUAAUUACAAAAAUAACCAAAAAUAUAAAAUACGUUAAACUAAAAACUGUAGGUCCGCAGUUGACAGCAUGUGCCCACACCUUAUCAACACAGUUUUUCUGAAGCUCAUAAUUUCUCCAAGAAAUCAAUGAUCCUCAAAUAUCAUCUUGUAGCUCAAUUUUAGCACCAAUCAAUAGAAUUGCACCUACAAAAAUAAAACACAAGUAAAUCACUAUUAUUAAGUGCAAAACAUCGAUAUUAAAGGAAGUAAAUAAUGCAAAACUAGUGCAUAAAUUGUACUCUAACAAAAAGACUACAUCAAAGUUGUUGCCAAGAAUCAAGUUAAUUUAUUUUCUGCUUUGUUUUUAUCUAGUUGUUAAUAUUGAUUUGAUUUGGCUGGAUUUGAGCCAAGGUUUUAGGCUACAAAUCAGUAGUAUACUUUAUGUUUAUCUGUAUAAAUAAGCAGCAACCAUGACGAUUGAAAGGAAGGAAAUUAGUCAAAACAAAUACUGGUUGUUCAUACCAUAAAUUGAACGAAUAUCAGGCACUGCUUUUCUGUAUUUGAUCGGGACCUAUCAGACUAUUGCUGACAGCAAGAGAUAAUAAUGUGCUUUUAAGUAUGGGCUCCAAAGAUAACUUUUUGAUUGGCAAUCUAACUGAACAAGAAGCCUGGCGAUUGUUUAAGAUAAUGAAUGGUGAUGAUGUUGAAAGUUGUAAGUUCAAGUCUACAGCAAUUAAUGUGGCUAAGGCAUGUGGAGGUUUGCCCAUGCGUUGACUACUGUAGCGAGGGCACUGAGAAACAAGAGUCUCCAUGAAUGGAAGAAUGCCUUGCGAGAGCCUUCAAUGGUAAACUUCGAAGGGGUGCCUGCAGAGACUUAUUCAAGUAUUGAGCUGAGUUUCAAUUAUUUAAAAGGUGAGCAAGUCAAGAAAAUUUUUCUGCUUUGUCGUCUAGUAGGUAACAGUGUUUGGUUUUCAGACUUAUUUAGAUACUCCAUGGGUUUGGGCAUAUUUCAAGGAGUCAACAUUCCCUUCCUAUUUACCAAAGGUAAGUGAUAAAUCCUACAUAUCCCACUCAAGAAUGCAUAAGUUUCUUCAAUCUCAAGUACCUAAAGUUUUCUUCUACGUUUAUAAAAAUUUCAGCACCAUCUCCCUAUAAUUCUCCAAGCUCACGACGUAGCUAUAUAAGUGUUUAUGCGUUAUGCCAAAACAACACAUGACACCCAUUCACCUAGUACGUACCCAGAGAACACGAGGAGCAGCUACCGAAAAACCCAUUUUUACGUGGGAAAAAAACUUCAGCUACUAGCUACCAGAGAGAACUAUGCAUUCCCAAACUGUCCAAGCCUGGACAAUUCAAGAAUUAUUAAUAGACAUAUGAUCCUCACUAUCAUCCAAAGAUGACACUAAUAAAACAUGUGUCUAUUAAUAAUUUCUUAAACAAGUCUAAGCUUUCAAUGCACGUAUCAAAAGUUUAAAAUUGAAUCUGAAAUUUGAAUAACACAUAAAUAUCAUAAAUCUCUUCAAUUUAUUCCUGAUACAAUGUAGCAUUAUUUCACAUAUCAUUUCUUAAGCAAAACCAUAAAAAAUACAAACGAUAAAUACAUUUUCGCACUGAUGCAGAUUAUGUUUACUGAGCAAUAAGUUUUAAGUCAUUCAUGUUGAAAUACUUCUUCCUAUUCUUUCAACAUAUAACUAGUACGUACACACAAUUAAUAAAUUAAAAAAAAACCUGGUAGUGAAUCUUGGAAAAUCUUCCUUCUUUCUUUUUUUUUUGGUGGGAGGGGGGGGGGGGGGGGGGUGGUGGUUGGGGGAACUAUGAAUCUUGCAAAUCCUCGGGAAGCCAUGUUAAGACAAGGCCAGCUUACUAUUAGGGUAUGAAAGAUAAAACCUUUUAUUUCCUUUUCAGAAUAAAAAGAAUAUUGACAAUGUUAAAAAACAUCUAGAGGAUUUCAGGUCUCCAGAUCCUUACAAAUCAAGGAUAUUAAAAAAAUUUACUUAGAGGAGAAAGGUUAUGCUCAUUUGUAUCUUGUUAGAAGAAAUUGAUCCAAAGCCUCAUUUUUAAUUAGCUUCAUAUAGCCAAUGAUUAGGUGUUUAAAAACCAAUGAAUAUUUUUAUAAGAAAUCAACAAUAUUGUUGAAAGAAAAACCAAAUAAAAUUAAUAAAGCCAAUGAAUAGAUCAAGGCUCUUUGUGGUCUAAUAACUAAUCAAACUAAGUUGUGGGCAAAGGCGAAUAUGUUUGUUUGGUCAAUAAUAAGCUCAACAAAUCACUAAUAAUCACCUAAUCACUAUUCCUUAUGCUAUGCAAUAUAAUGGCCUGGGUAAUGGCGCCAAGGCAGACAAUAACUAGCUAGCCAGUUAUGAUAGUUGAUUAACUUAACCUACUGGAAAUCUGAAGACCAAAACGAAGAAGCUUUGCCUAGAACUACAAUAGGAACAUUCAUACCCAAAACUAAUAUACACGAUUAAGAAACUUGAUUAUAUGUAUAUUUUUGUUGGCCACACUUAAAGAGAAUUUUCAAAAGAUGCUAAGGUACACCAAAUCCCACUAUUUCAAACUCAUAAACACAAAAAACCAUGGCAAAAAUUAAUGACUAUAUAAAAUAAAAUCGGUCAUGGGGCAUUGAGAUUAGGACAACUUGAUUUGUAUACCGUAAAAUAACUAUAUCUGCAUAGUGAACUAUAUUUCUGUUAGAACUCUGAAGUUUUCUAUUAAACUUUUUUCUCUGUUAGGUAAACCACUUAACUAAAAUGCUUAAGCCAAUAUUGACAAUCAUAGACAUAAAAGUAUUAAUAGGCUCACUCAAGUGAAAUGAGCAUUAUUUCACACAUCCUUUAGGUUUUUAAGUCAUUUAGAAGUCAUUCAUGUUAAAAAAAAAAAACAAAUUCAUAUACUUUCAAUAUAAUUACUGCAUACACAAUUAACUAAUUAAAUAAAUCUGUUUCAGCUAGUAUAGGAACUUAAUUAAUCAAAGCUAGUAGUUAUAGCUAGGACUUGAACGAGGCACCUUUCAAAGUUCAAGAAGAGCAUCUGAACAGAAUGAAAGCACUUUGUAGAAAUGGUAAUGAUGCUUUACAUCUACAUGCUCUUACACAAUAUGAACUUUCAUUGAUUCAAGAACAUAACACUAAUCCAAGCUCUUACUCUACAAGUCAAUUCAGUUUGUAGAUGCAAGCCAUUGUAAAAACUUUUGACAUUACUAAUUAAUAUAGAAUCAGCAAUGUUAUAUAACUUAUUAGACAAUAUAACAAGCACUUGGCGAGCAUAUAAGAUAAACUAAAACAAGUUAAUUAGAAAAUGAAACUAAAACCCAAGCUCCGCUAUUCAUUGUAGAAGCUUUAAACAUAAAAUUAAAGUAAAUCUAAUGGCAAAACAUUAGAAUCGAUGUUGGAAUUAAAGCUAAAUUCAAUAGUAAUCCAAAUGAAUCCAUUUGAACUUUGUAAACUCCGCAGAACAAAAUUAAUUUGAGUGAGCAAACUCAUCAAUGGCACAAGAAAACAGGGGCUUCAACUUGUAGGAAUAAAAAUAUAUUGCUGGCGGGACAAAAAUUGACAAUAACGGCUACAAUGCGAAUUAAAAAAAAAUCAAAAUCUAUAAUUACAAGCUAAGUAAGAGAAGAAACUCAUAAUCACAAGCUUACCUCAAAAGAUGAAGGGAGAAGACGAUGAAGAAGAAGAUGGCCCGUGUUUUACGCAGUUCGCCGGCAACCAGUUAGGCUUACGAUGGUGGCUAGUAACACGGAGUCCAGCGAAUAGUUUUAAAUUUAAAAUUCUAAAAUAGUAAUAUACCGAACGGCUCUUUACGCGGGUAGUAACUAACAUAUGUGAUAGCGGUAUGGCCGUCACAUAAAGGGUAACAAAAGCAAGUCGGGGUACAAAGCUAGAGCCUAGAAGUUAGUGAUAUACGUAAUGGCUUCUUUUGCAUUCACAUUAGGGGUCACAUAUACCCUAGUUUCUUGUAGUACAUGGUAAACUAUAUUUGUACGAAUUCAUUUUUGUGUGCUUGUUGGAUAAUAAUAUAUAAUAAAUUAAAAUUUGGUGUAAUUUUCACAAUAUUGUAUUAUAAAUAUGUCUCGUUCAGAGGUUUUGAAAUCGUUUUGAUUGAUCAUAAUUGAUAUUUCCACAGUUGCAAAAGAUGCCAAAGAAAAUUUGAUUAUCUUAAGAAAUGAGUGCAUGAGAUAUGAAAUCAACCAUACCAUAAAAUCAAAUUUUAUCGUGUCAUCCUUCCUGGUUCAAAUUUAUGGAAACAAUAAUCAAAUGCAUCCAUGAACUAGUAUAUUCCGACAUAUGUACCAUCAAAUUUUUGCUAUGUCAUACUUAUACACACACACAUAUAUAUAUAUAUUGAAAUUUUAUUAACAACAAUUGGGCCAAGCAUAUGUUGGUACUUGAAGAUUUAGAAGCUCCAUCCUUGAAAAAAUAAGGCUUGACUGUUAUCAAUCUAAUUCUUUUUGUUUUAAGUUCUUAAUUAAGCUUUCUUGCUUGUUUUCAAGAGCCAGUUUUGUAGUGAUCGACAAACAUGAUUUGCAUAUAAUGCACUUGGCAUUUAUGUGUCACUUAUUAAUUAGAUUUAAAUUCUAUACAUUAGUUAAGCUGAUUAAUACUUUAUACUUGCACUAAAUGAUAAAUACUACAUAAAUUGAGAACACUAGUAACUAUGUAUCCCAACUAUGUAAUAUUUGUUUGUCACAAACCCAAUCAUGGCCUAAUAUUCUAAAUGUUAUUUAGGAUACCAUUUCAAGCCCCAUGAGGGCUCUUUCCGUUUAAAAAAAACAAGUAAGAAAUAGAUGUAGAUAGCCAUAAUGAUUUAAUUUCUACUGCAUACAUAGCUGUAAUUAUUUUAAAAGCUACAGGAUUACCAAAUUGACCCUAAAUCAAACCAAUAAAAAUGUUUAAAAGUAAUAAUAAUAAACCAAAGUAAACGUACAAAAAUUCAUGCAUAAAUUGAUAAUCAAUAAAAACAUUCAAAAGUUUAACUCCAACUUUUCUAUAAAUUUCAAAAGGCAUUAUCAAUUUUGUGUCUAAUUCUACAAAAUUAGAAAACUAAAGAAUAUUAUGUAAUUGACAUAACCCUUAAAUUUCAAAAGGCAUUAUCAAUUUUGUGUCUAAUUCUACAAAAUUAGAAAACUAAAGAAUAUUAUAUACUGAUAAUUAAAUAAUAUGCAAUUAAUAAUGUUAAAAAAAUAAUUUUAAACAUAUUGUCAACUAAAAUAAAUGGGAGAAUUGGAGUUCCAAGAUAAAUUCUUAUCUAGUUCCAAAUCAACAAUUGGGAUUAAUUUCAAUAUUAAACCCCGACUGCUUUUAAAAUUGAUCCUAAUGAUAUGGACAAAUCCCAUUCUGAUCAGUAUGGAAUCCCAAUCCCAUACCUUUAGAUUUCGAUGGUGUUUAGUUGGAGGGAGGAGAGGGGAAGGAAAUGAAUUCAAAUUCCUUUCACUUUUUCUGUUGUUUGGUUUUCACUAAUAUAUGGGAAAUCCAUUUCUAUUGAAAUUUAAUUUUCAUCAAAUUGUGAAUUUUGGAUUCCUCAACGAAGGCUGUAAAAUUCAAAUUCCCCUCCUAUUAGAAAUCAAAUCUUCCAAAAUGGCUCCUCUCAAAUAUUUAUCAAUUAUUUUAAUUCUUAUCAAAUAAUUCUUAUUCAUGAUUUUAUUUAUGAUUUUAUUUUUUAAAUUCAAAUUGUCACUAAGGAGUCUGACUUACUACCACAGAAAAGCAAAAAAAAAAAAAAAAACAGUUUAUAGAUUAUGAUAAUUCUAUAUAUUGUCUGAGAAUUGCAAUCCCGUAGCCGAAGUAGUUUUUAAGUACAGAAUUUCAGUCAUUUCUAUUUAAUUUUUUUUUUAAAUGUGAAUUGGAGGGAUCAAGAGCAGCUCACUGGAGGUUGAGGCCGACAUGGAAUCUGAUUAUCAGGAGAUCCGAGUGCAGGGAGGAUUCAAUAGUGAACCCGAAUGAAAUCGGGCGGGUGGGCCUGCCUAUGUGUUUUUCCAAUCCAUAUUAAAAGGAGUUUCUUUUACAAAUACAUAUUGGACAUAUUUUGACAUGUCGUACUAAAUUAAGCCAUCAAAAAUUGCUGGGAAGGGAGUAAUAUCUAUUUAUAACUGGAAAUUACUCACCGUACAAUGAUGGUUGGAGCUGCAUGUAUCAUUUAUUAUUAACAACUAACUUAUGAAAUGCUUUGAAUGUACCUCCUAGGUCGUAUUUACUAUACCGGUUAGGAGAAACUAUAAUAUUAAAUUAUUUGAUAAAUACUUAUUAUAAUUUAAAAAAUAUAUUAAUUUUGUCCUCCACUUUAUGAUAACAAAAUUAUAAUAUAAAUAAAUUAUUCAUUCUAUAAUCUUAAACUUUAUUAAAAUUCGAAAAACUAUUACUCUAUAUGAUAUAAUAGUGUGAUGUUAUUACACUAUUAUACCAUAUAAAAUAUAUUUGCUUUCUUAAAUUUUAAUAAAUUCUAGGUCUUGGACAGAAGCACUUUAUAUAUAUGUAUAUAUAAUAAUUCUCUAGUAACGACAUUCUCAUUUUAACAAAGUGAUGAUAUCGCUAACAAACUAAAUAACACACAUUUCAAUACACCAAUAGAUUAAAAAAAUACAAUUUUUAAUGUGUUAAAAUAUAUGUCUUUUGUAUAUUAUUGAUAUUUUCACUUUAACAAUGUGAGGGUCUCCUCACUAUAGAAGUACUUUAUAAAUAUUUUGUAUUUUUUUAAAAAAUUAUUAUUUAAAAGUCAUAUCUGACCAAGACUAAUAAUUUUUAUUUUAUUACUAUACUGUACUUUCAAGACAGAACACUUCAAUACCAUGACCUUAAUUUUUCAACUCUCUUGUACAAAGUUGUUGGCUGGUCUAUUUAGUUUAGUCUUUCAAUCAUUUGUCGUUUGAACUGAGAUGAUCCGAAUAAAGCUAUAUAUCAAUAAUUUCCUAGUGAAACUUUGGGAAAAAAUAAAAAUCAUGUCAUACAGUAGCAUUAUUUUAAUUCACAGCUUGAUUAUGUUUUGAGUUAACUUAUAGAUUAUUUGAAAUAAAAAGACUAUAAUUUAAUUUUUCCAACUAAAUAUUUUUAAAUAAUUUUGUUAAUUUAAUGAGUAAUUAUACACUUACAAAGUUACGAUAUAAAAUUAUAUCCCAGAAUCUCAAUAAUAUGACACCAAUUAACUACUGCUAUGUGUUUCUUAGUAAUUAACUUUUUAUACUAUUAUCAAUGAGAAAAUUAACUUCAACACCAAUAAACAAAUUUUAUAUUAAUACAUCCUCUAGGUUUAUUAUCAAAUAAUCAUGUCAUAAUCAAACCAAGCUACCAGAGCCUACUACUAAAAGAUUGAUUAAAGGGUUUUCCAAGUUUGAAAAAGUUAGUAGCAUUGGCAAAUGGCAACUCCCAGGAAUCUUCCUACUACAAUCAACCAUUCAGUGAAAUUCCCAAAUGGCACAAAGGACCCCGCCACCCGUUAAGUCACAUCAUUUAUUUAUUUGUGAAUGAAAAAUAAGGUUUCGAUCGUAAGAAAUGAACACCUUAUAAUGCAUGAUUACCUGUAUGUCAAGUUUGGCGAUUAUAAGUCAUCAUCACAAUAACUUUGGAGCGGAGCUAUCGGCACCCCCUUGAUAUCCUUUUCAAACCCCUUUUCUGCUUAUUUCCUCCUCAAUCCCUAAAAUAGCCUUUAUCUGUAAUUUUUCCGCAAACAAUUUCAACCUCCUUUCAGUUAUCACUCUUCAACCACUCCCACUUCAAGUUUCUUCUUUUUAUAGGAAAGGCUUUUGAUAACAACCCAAUAUUUUUUUGUUUUAAUUUUAUACUUUUCAGUUUAUGACAUUAUAUUUUAAAAUAAAUAUGUAUAAAAUACACACAAGGUUUAGUUAUCUCCUAGCAUUCUAAUAACGUUAGUAAUUUAUGAAAAUUUUAUAAAAUUAUCUUUCCUACAAAAAUAAAUUGUUAAGUGAAAAAAAUACUUUAUAUCAAAUUCUUACUCUUUUACCAUUGACCUUUUUUUUUCAAAAAAAAAAAUGGAACUUUUAAGUGCUUUAGUGGAGAAAGAGUCGGUGAGAAAAAAUCAUAUAUGAAUUUAAUAAGAUAAGAUUUAAGGGACAAAAUUGUAAAUGUAUAACAAGAGGGGUUUUAUAAGAAAAAUACAGGGGUGCCAAUAGCGUCACUCUAACUUUGGGCUUUGAUAUUUAAGGCUCCGUUUCGGACAAAUGCGUGGCAAUUGGACAACACAUCACUCAAUUAUAGAGUGUGAAAUAUUGAUAUUGUUCUUAUUAUUUUACGUAAUGUAUACAUUUUUCCUCUUAUUUUUGUUUGUUUAUUUAUUUUUGAUACUUAAUAAAUAUAAAUUUAUUUUUUAAUAUUUAAUAAAUAAUCCUAACCAGGCAAUAUUGCCAGAAAAUAACGAACAAUGAUCCAAAUCCUUUUAUUUUACAUAAAUAAUUUCAAUUCACAACAACUAUGACGUUACAUUACCAAACAAACACUAAAUAUUUUGAUUAUUGUAGUUUAUCUUUCAUUCAUAACAUGAAGAGUUUGAAAUAUGAUAUCAAAACAAAGAGUAUGACAUGUCGUGUUGUGUUCACAGAAGAAAUGUAAGCCAUGUCAUCCGAAAACUAAAAGGAACGUAUGACAAUCAGAAGCUGUCAUCUCUGAUUUGCUUACACUUUUAAGGAUAAAUUCUGGGUUUUCAGUGACAAUUAAAAGCUAGAGUGAGAAUUAGAGAGAGAGUUAGAUAUUCUUAUUCCUAGUCACUUGCUAUAUUUUGUAGGUCUUUUGUGACUCCAAUGAUAAAAUCGCUCAAUAUUUUUUUUUUGAUAGAGCCAUAUUUUUUAAAGCAUAAAGAAAGGCAGAAAUAUUGUAAAUCCAACUUAAAUUUUCUGUUCAUUGUGGUCGCUGCUAGUGCUAGCUGUUUUCUUAUUUAACUUUGUUCCCUUUUGCCAUCAGCUCUUUGCAUUUUCAUUGGAGCAAGCGACCCUUUUCUUGUUUCAAUUUCUGAUCUCAAAAGCACUCUGAUUCUCUGGACACUGAUUUUCUCCUUGUUUUGUACAAAUAUCAUUUCUCUUUCCCAUUUAGCCUUGAUUUGCUUCUACUUGACUAUCAAUUGCCCAGUCGUUGACCCUGUUGUAUUUCUAGUUCGUUCACUCCCCCCCCCUCCCCCCCAAAAAAAAUGGACAUUUUGAAAAGCAUUGUCCUAGGAGUUGUAAACUGCUUUGCUCCUCUAGCACAACACGAAUUUAGUUAUUGGCAUAACUCCGGUGCUAACUUUGACAAUCUCAAGGCAGAACUCGAUAGGCUCAAGGAUAAAAGAGAAAGAAUUCAGCGCAGAGUUUCUGAGGCUGAAAGAAAAAAGUGAAAAGAUUGAAGAGAUGGUUGAGAAAUGGCUGGUUAAUGUGAACAAGAGAAUUGACCAGGCAGCCAAAUUCAUUCAAGACGAAGAGGCAGCAAAUGAUGGCCGAUGUCUCAUGGGGCUGUUUCCUGAUUGGUUUGCUCGCUAUCAGCAUGGAAAGAAAGCAGAAACAGAGAAGGAGGCCCUUUCUAAACUCCGAGAAUAAGCUGAGAGAUUUGAUAAUAGAAUUUCCUACCCUACCAUUCGGGAGGAUAUAUGGCUCAAGUCUAACAAAGACUACGAGAACUUCGAAUCAAGACUUACUACUUUCAAGGAUAUACGAAAGACAUUAACUGAUGUUAAUGUCAGCAUCAUUGGGGUGUACGGCAUGGGCGGCAUUGGAAAGACGACACUGGUGAAGGAGUUUGCUAGGCGAGCCAUUGAAGACGAGCUUUGUGAUAUGGUGGUUUUUUCGGAGGUUACCCAAAGUCCAGACAUAAAACAGAUCCAAUAGGAAAUUGCGGAAAAGCUAGGCCUAGAGUUGUCCGAGGAAGCUGAGUUUAGAAGAGCUAGUAGAAUAUUUGAAAGAUUGAAGAAUGAGAAGAAGAUCCUUAAGAUUCUGGAUAACAUCUGGAAAUCUCUUGAUUUGGGGACUAUUGGAAUUCCUUAUGGGGUUGAGCAUAGAGGAUGUAAAUUAUUAUUCACUACAAGAGAUCUUGAUGUGCUGAUAAGGAUGGGAUCUGAGAAACAAAGAGCUGCCUGAGUGGAAGAAUGCCAUGCAAGAACUCCAAAUGCCUUCAGAGACAAGCUUCGACGAAGGAGUACCAGCAGAGGCACACUCAACAAUUGAGCUGAGUUACAAGUAUUUAGGUAAGCAACUCAAGGAAACGAUUUUACUAUGUAGUCUUAUUGCACCAACUUCAAUUAUGGACUUGAUCAAUUAUAGCAUGGGUUUGGGGUUUUUUGAAAGUGUCCUUAAGCUAGAAGAGGCACAUAACAAAUUACAUGCAUGGGUCCGUCAACUAAGAGACUCUUGUUUGCUGCUUGUGGAUGGUAGCAGUAAAUUCUUUUCUAUGCAUGAUGUUCUUCGCGAUGUUGCCAUUUCAAUUGCAUGUCGUGACAUGAAUGCAUUUGUGGUGAGAAAUAAGAAUAUGUGGGAAUGGCCAAAUCCAGAUGCAUUAAAAAAAUAUCUUGCAAUCUCUUUAAUAAAUAGUCGUAUUAAUGACAUUCCUGAAGGGCUGGAAUCUGCACAACUUGAAUUUUUACUUAUGAUUCCCAAGAACUCUUUUUUUGGGCUCAAUAUUCCUGAGAACUUCUUUAAAGGGGUGAAAAAGCUUCGGGUUGUAGCUUUGGUAAAAAUGCGGUUAUCAUCAUUGCCAUCUUCAAUCUAUCUUCUAGUAAAUCUUCAAACACUUUGCCUUGAUCAAAGCAUUUUGAGAGACAUAGACAUAGCCAUUAUUGGAAAGUUGAAAAAUCUAAAAAUCCUUAGCUUUGUGCGGUCUGAUAUUGUGCAGUUGCCUAAAGCACUAGGUGAACUGACUAAGCUACGGCUGUUAGAUUUAACAGACUGUUUCCAUCUAAAAGUUAUUGCUCCAAAUGUCAUAUCAAGCUCAACCCGAUUAGAAGAAUUGUAUAUGGGUAAUUGCCCCAUUGAAUGGGAGGUUGAAAGAUCCAAUAGUAAAAGAAGUAAUUCUAGCCUUGAUGAAUUGAUGAAUUUACCUUGGCUAACCACUCUAGAAAUUGAUGUUAAAAAUGACAGUAUUUUACCAGAAAGCUUUUUAACCAAAAAGCUGGAAAGGUUCAAAAUAUCUAUUGGAAACGAAUCAUUCAUGCCUCCUCAGAAGAAAACAAUGGUUUCGAAGCCUGCCGCACUUUUUGAUCAACAGUAAUCGUGAGAGUUUAAGAGAAUUGAAGCUCAAGCUUGAUUUUAUGGACAUUUGCUCCAUGAAAUUGCAGGGCAUCAAUAAUGUUGAAUACCGAUAGUUGGACAAGCUGCACGGUGUCAAGAAUGUUCUUUUCGAUUUGGACACAGAGGGCUUUUCACAGUUGAAGAUUCUCUGGGUUCAAAAUAAUGCUGACUUCUUUUUUAUCGUUGACUCAAUGGAGAUGGUCGCUUGUGAUGCCUUUCCUCUUUUGGAGUCGCUUACUCUUUUCAAUUUGAUCAACAUGGAGAGGAUAUGUAUGAAAAAUAAUUUCUUGAAACUUAUUUAAAUCCAGACUAAAUUACUGAGCAACAUCAAAUUGGAAGCGUACCUGAAUCCAUUGUUAUUAUGCACUAGAAAAGAUUUUUGAUCUUGGCAAUGGAUUUCCAAACUAGUCUCUAUCCUGUGUUAAGAAUUCUCACUGAGAGGAUUUUUGAGAAUGAAAAGAGAUUGAGAUAGAAUGGGGACCAUAACCACCGUAUAAAGAAAACUGACUAGCGGUUUUAAUUUUAUGUUAAUUAUCACUUCUGCUCCUCAUAGAAGUUAUAAUUAAACUAUAAUAUCUAUGUAAUUAACCCACAACUAUUAUACCCUUAGCCAUUUAAUUAACAUUAAAUAGAUCACUUAAUUGAUGGCUAAUUAAAUAAUAGCACACACAUUUUAUUUGUUUCAUGUGUGGCCCCAAAUAUUAGAUUAAUUAAAAUUAAUCUAACAAUGUAUUGAUCGGCUCAAAAUUGUGAUGAGUUGAGUAAUAUCUUCUGCCUCUCUAGAACAAAAUGCCUUCCAAGACUUGAGAGAAUUGCAGUUAUUAAUUGCAGGAAGAUGAAAGAGAUUUUUGCAAAUGGGGGAGAAGCUGAUGUUGACAACAACAAUGCAACUGAGAGGAUACAGUUUUCUCGAUUAAGAUCUUUGAGUCUGGAAAAUCCUCCAGAGGUUACAAGUUUUUUCCGUGAAGUGAAGACUCCUUCAGCAUCACCACACAGACGAGUGCCGGAAGAGGAAUUGACAAAUUCUUGCUCCAACGAAAUCAAUUUAGAUAGUUCAACUCAGCUUUUCAACGAGAAGGUGCAUAGGUUAAUACUUUAUUUAUUUAUAUAUGAUUUUAUUCUAUUGUGCAUUCUCUUUUGAUGUCAUACGCAGGAAAUAAUUAAAUCAUUAAAGAAUUAAAAGAAAAUGAUAAAAAGCAAAAAAGAAUCUCACGCACUUGCUAAUGGAGCUCUUAGCAAGUAAUAUGAAUUUGAUUGUAUACUCAGCUGUCUGUUGGAAAUUGAUUCUGACUUGCUUUAAUUUGUAAUAACAGAAGAAAAAUUUCAACAAGUGCUUCUUAUAUGGUUAUUGGUUCUAACGAGAAAUUUAUAUCUUUUUUAGGUGGAGUUGCCUAACUUGGAGGCUUUUGAGUUGUGUUCAAUUAAUGUCGACAAGAUUUGGCACUACAAUCAUCUUCCGUUCAUGCUUUCUCGCUUUCAAAGUUUAACACGAUUGAUUGUGCAGAGCUGUCCCAAAUUAAAAUACAUAUUUUCAGCGUCUAUGAUCCAAAGCUUUGAGCUGCUCCGAGAACUAUCCAUAGCGGAUUGUAGGGGUUUGCGAGAGAUCAUUUCGAAAGAUAGAGCAGAUCAUGUGACCCCUUGUUUUGUCUUUCCACAGAUGACCACUUUGAGACUCGAAAUUCUACCAGAACUUAAAUGCUUAUACCCUGGAAUGCAUACUUCGGAAUGGCCAGCACUAAAAACUUUAUAUGGGCCUCAUUGUGACCAAUUAAAGAUAUUCGCUGCAGAUUUAUUGCAGAAUAAUGGGAAUGAUCAACUUGGAAUUUCCGCACAACAACCCCUAUUUUUGUUCGGAAAGGUAUGAAGUCAUUUUCUCGAUUUUUUAUUAAUUAGAUCAUUGACGACUUUUGACUUUGAAAAAUAUACAAAACAUCGAUAAAUUAGUACUUAAUAAAUUGAAAACUUCCAUUACAUAAUAAUUUUUGCUAGUUUGGACAAAGGGAUCAAUGUGCUAAAUUAAUAAUUCCAUGAACUUCUUUAGGUGUAGCAUUAUAUUAGUUUUGUCAUAUAUAACCACUUACAAUAUAAAUUAAUAAUUUACUAUUGUGGAAUAAAAUAUUUUCAUACCAAUUUAUAAAUCAAUCAUUUUUUCCCUAAUUUCUCUCUUAUCUCUAAAAUUAACAUAUAAAAGCCCUAGAAUGAAUUUUAUCACUAAUUCAAUUUUUCCGUACUUUUUUUGUAAAAUAUAACAUAAAAGAAAUACUAUAAAGUCAAUGUGUAUGAAUGGAUUACUCAAAAUUAUUUGAGAGCACAUCAAUUGACCUAAUUAGUUAUUACGUGAUUGAUGAUGACCAGACCUUUCCCAACUUGAAGACACUAUCAUUACGGGGAAAAGACGUGAAGAUGAUUUUUGCAGGCUAAUUUACCACAACACCUUUUUGGUAGUCUUAAAGAACUACACAUAACUUUUAAUUGGUUUGACUGUAUCAAAAAGUCUUGAUAUGCGUCUUAUGAUGUUGUGAUAGCUUAUCUAUAUGGGUCACUUGACACGGAUAUAUGUAUGAAAAUCCCUUAAGGAUUUAAAAUGCCAGAAUCUUGUCAAUCAUCACAUCGUGGCUUGUAUUCAAUAAAGCUACAAAAGUCUUUAUAAGUAUUAAAACAAUCUGGAUGCAUGUGGUAUAAUCGCCUCAGUGAAUAUUUGAUAAAACUAUGAUACGUUAAUGAUCCUAUCUGUCCAUGUGUUUUUAUCAAGCAAUCAAAAUUUGAAAUUACUAUUGUCGCAGUUUAUAUUGAUGAUUUGAAUUUAAUAGGAACUCCUGAAGAGCUCCAAAAGACCGCUCAAUGUUUGAAAAAUGAAUUUGAAAUGAAAGAUUUAGGGAAAACUAGGUAUUGUCUUGAGAUGCAGACCGAGCACAGACUUAAUGGUAUAUUUAUCCAUCAAUCAACUUAUACUGAGAGAAUUUUAAAACGUUUCAACAUGGAUAAAGCUUACCCAUUGAGUACCCCAAUGGUAGUCCAGUCUCUUGAUCCGAAAAAAGAUCCAUUCCGUUUUAAAGAAGAUGAUGAACAGAUACUUAGUCCUGAAGUACCAUAUCUAAAUGCAAUUGGUGCUCUGAUGUAUUUAGCACAAUGUACUAGACCAGACAUAGCAUUUUCUGUUAAUUUGUUAGCUCAAUUUAGCUCUGAACCAACUAGAAGACAUUGGAAUGGUGUCAAACACAUUUUUCGUUAUCUUCUAGGAACAAUUUGAUUUAGGUUUAUUUUAUUCUAAUGAACUAACAAAAAAUCCAGGUCUUGUUGGUUAUGCUAAUACAGGUUAUUUAUCUGAUCCCCAUAAAGCUCGUUCACAAACAGGAUAUAUUUUCACUUUCAAUGGUACAAAGAUUUCUUGGAAGUCUACAAAACAGACUCUCGUUGCAACAUCCUCCAACCAUUCUGAAAUUCUUGCACUACAUGAAGCCAAUCGAGAAUGCAUAUGGUUGCGAUCUGUAAUCCAUCAUAUUCAAAGUACAUGUAGAAUAUCUUCAAGUUCAGAUAUCCUAACAGUGAUAUAUGAAGAUAAUGCUGCAUGUAUAGCUCAACUCAGAGGAGGAUACAUUAAAGGGGACAGAACAAAACAUAUUUCACCGAAAUUCUUCUACACUCAUGAGCUCCAACAGAAUAAGAAGAUUAAUAUCAAACAGAUACGCUCCACGGAAAAUUUAGCUUAUAUGUUUAUAAAAGCUCUACCUACAUCUACGUUCGAAAAAAUUGUAUAUGGCAUCGGCAUGCAUCAUUUUAACAAACUGUUAAAUUAAUACAUGUUGCCUUCAGGAAGAGCACUCAACAAGAGGAGCGUGAUCUUACAAGAGAAGAAUCGUAGUAAUAUUGGACACAUAUAUACUGUACUCUUUUUUUUCCUUUUGACCAGGUUUUCCCAUUGGAUUUUUACUGGCAAAGGUUUUUAAUGAGGCAGUAUCCAAUGUCAUUAGGGGGAGCACAUCUAAUGAAUAAUUGGUGAAUCUAAUGGGGAGCGUUGUAAAUCGUGAUGGAUUCCACCAAAAUAAUGCUCUCCCAUUAUCUUCUUUAUUGCUCUUCCCCUUUUUAUAAUUAAUAAUUGUGAAUAACCCCACCUUCUAAUGCCUAUAUAUACCCUUUCUUUGCUAAUGAAUGAAUACAAUUCAAUUUCUUGCUCAAAGCAUUUUGCUUGUUUUCUUCAAUAUUCAUUUGAGUAUUCCUUACUUAAAUAUCAUCAUUAAAUAAUUGCUUACACACAACUCCUUUAAAUUAUAACAUCCAUUAUCUCCGAAUUUAAAAUACUUUCAACAAUUUUUACGGAUUCUGGCAAUUGUUCACGCAACUAUUUUAAUCGAAAAUAUAUAUGGCUCCAUAAACAAUGAUUAUCUCUUGACAGCUGUUCUGCACUUGCUUUUUUUUUUUUUUUUUGAAGAAAGGAAGAAAUUCAUUAAACAGACAAAUGAGAAAAUAACCAGGGUGGUGGAACAUGUCUCCAUUCACCCGGACCUGACACAGAACACCCCACCUUAGCCACAACAUGGGCGGCGGUAUUCGCAGAUCUCCUUACAAAAGAGAAAGUCACCUCUUUUAAGCAAUGAGCCAAGGCUCUACAAUCUGAAAUAAUAAUACCAAAUCCGUUUUGAUAGUCCUUGGAGUCAAUCAAAGCAUUAAAAACUUGUAAACAAUCAGUCUCAAUAAUAAUAGGAAAAAACUGGGUGUUCUUAAGCCAACUCAAGACCUCUCACACACCCAAAGCCUCUGCCUCGCGAGCUCCAAAAUUGCCAAUCAAAGAUCCACAUUUUGCAGCAAGAAAUUGACCCUCAGAAGACCGGAUAACUGCGCCUUAGCUAAUCCUAGUAGUAGCGCGGGAAGUGGCAGCGUCCACAUUGCAUUUAAACCAUCCAACGCGAGGGCGUUUCCAGCAAAUAGAGCCAAGAGUUAAAUCUGCUGGCAUCUGAGUAAAGUGACUCAGUUGACGAGCCUUUUGCCACUGGAACAAGUCUUGACCAGCUUUAUUGAGCACUUGAGACACUCUGCCUACUACAUGCCUCCAAACUUUAGUAUUCCGAUUCUGCCAAAGACCCCAGUAAACCAUUGCAGCAAGACAACUAUCCUCAAUACUACACCGAGUAAAUAAAGCAUCCAACCAAGCACCAAAAUUCACAAAAUUUCCAGCAAAACCAACCAAGGAAACCAUCCAGCAUUGUUUGGCAAAAGGACAAUCAACUAAGACAUGAUAAAUUGUCUCAAGAGAUUCAUUAUAGAUAGUACAAUAAGGGUGUACCUCGACUCGACGACUGAGAAGGUUAUCAGCAGUGGGAACCACAUUUGCCACAGCUCUCCAAAGAAAAUUCUUGAUUUUGGCGGGCACAGCCAGCUUCCAAAUCUUACUCCAAACUCCACUGCCAGGCGGUUCCGAUAUAAUAUCCAUCCACUUGUAACAACUUCGAACAGUGUAAACUCCUUUUGCGUCAGGGAGCCAAUACCAAGUAUCACAAUCCCUCCGAGAGCUAAGAGGAAUUUGGAGAAUGCAGUCUCGAUCUCUUCUGUUAAACACAUCCUUUACAAGGUCAUAAUCCCACCUUCGGUGAUCAGGAAUCAUAAGACUGUUAACAUUUAUGUUUCAUAAUAUUGAUUUUGAUGAUAACAAACAAGAUUAAGAAUAAUUAAUCUUUUAGGAUCAAAUUAUUUUUUAUAUAUUUUAAAUAAAUCAUUAUUUUCACAUUAUAAAUGUUUUAUAUUUAAUGAAAAAAUGAUUUUAAGAAAAAUGAUUGUUUAAAUACAUGAAAUGUUUGUCAUCAUCAAAAAGGGGGAGAUUGUUAACAUAUAUGUUUCCAUAAUAUUGAUUUUGAUGAUAACAAACAAGAUUAAGAAUGAUUAAUCUUUUAAGAUCAAAUUAUUUUUAUACAUCUUAAAUAAAUCAUUAUUUUCACAUUUUAAAGGUUUUAUAUUUAAUGAAAAAUGAUUUUAUGAAAUUGGUUGUUUUUCAAAGUUUAUGGUUUAAUUAAAAGAAUUUUUGAAAACUUUGAAAUAAACAAGUAUUGCUUGAAAUUCUGGUAAAGGACUUAUUUGAAAAGUGUUAUAGCAUUUUGGCUAUAUCAUAAUUUCAGAAAGUUUUGGGAUUAACAAAGCAUUACUUAGAAAUUCUGAAAUUGGACCUAUUUGAAAUAUUUCAUAACGUUUUGGGCCUUAGUACAGUUUUAUAAAGUUUUGGGGUCAAACUAUAAUUUCAAAAAAUAGUGCACUGUGCAGGUUACUGUAGCAAGCGGCUUACCGGAUUCUAAAAACCGGAAAUCCGGAUUCGGGGCAGUAAGCAUCCGAAACGCAAACGGCUAACCGGAUGUCCAUAAACGGCAAGCCGGUUACGACAAAAAAUGUGCAUAACGGCUAGUUUUUGAGUUCAAACUAUAUAAACUCAAAACCAAUUCAUUUUUGGUAACUUAAGCAAGCAAGAACAAGUGCACACAACAUAUAUUGAGCUUCAACUUCGUGAAUCAUCAUUCAUUAAAUCAAAGUGCACACAACAUAUAUUGAGCUUCAACUUCGUGAAUCAUCAUUCAUUAAAUCAUCUUUGUUCUUCAAUUUGUAUAUCCACUCUUAAAGAGAGUUUCAUUGUUGUAUUUAUCAUUUCUCAUAAAAUUGUGAGAGUACAAGUGUGAGAAACACUUAGAGUGAAGAGAUUGGAGAGAUAAUCUCUUGUUGUAAAGGUUUAUUGACACCUCGAAGUCAAUUGUAAUCGUUGAAGCCUUGGAAAGGCUUGGAUAGUGAAAUCCUCAAGCGGGUGAGCUUGGAGGCGUGGACGUAGGCGGGGAUAGCCGAACCACGUAAAAAUCCUUGUGUUCAUUUUCUCUUCCCUUACUCUUUUAAUAUUGUGUUUAUUUGAAUUUAUUGUUUUCGAAUUGAUUAAGGCAUUAGAUUGAAUUGUUGUGUGGUUUGCCUAGGAUAAUUUUUAAAAUUCCAAUUCACCCCCCUCUUGGGUUGCACACUUAUACCUAAUUACUCACAGGAGCUGAUGCUAACGUCGCUGGAAGAUUAGUUGUAAUAAAGCCACUCUCCUGAUCAGGCAGCUAGGGAACCAAGCCAAUAGGAAUGCUCUGUCCACUUCCAACUUGGACACGACUCCCUUGGAUUAAAAUCUUCUGAGCAGCCAAAAUCGAUCUCCAUGCAUAACUCGGAUUACUUCCCAACUUAGCUUGAGUGAAGUCUGCAUUAGGCUAAUACCGUGCUUUAAAUAAUCUGCCCACCAGCGAAGAUGGAUUUGUAAUUAACCUCCAGCCUUGUCUCCCUAGCAUAGCAACAUUAAAGUUGUGGAUGUGUUUAAACUCAAUACCACCAUAAGAUUUGGGCUUACAAAGUUUUUCCCACUGCAUCCACUUAAUUCCACCACUACCAUAUCUUUUACUGCCCCACCAAAAAGAAUUCAGCAUCCUUUCAAGUUCUCGCAGAGGUCGAGAGGGAGGAGGUAAACUUGCAUAGCAUAAUUAGGUAUGGCAUGUGCCACAGUUUUAAUUAAGAUUUCCUUUCCAGCUCUAAAGAGGAGUUUCUGAUGCCACCCUUGAAUUCUCUGCCAAACUUUAUCCUUUAUAUAUCGGAAAAUAUCUAUCUUCUUGCGCCCAACAUAUGAUGGUAAUCCAAAAUAGGUACCAUGGUCUGUAGUAGCUGUAACUCCAAGUUGUUGACAGAUAUUAUGAACAGUAUCCUCAGCCAUAUUCCUACUGAAAGAAAUUGAGGAUUUAUUGUAGUUCACUUGCUGCCCCGAAGCUGCUUCAUAAGUUGUCAAAAUCUUUUUUACCAGGUGAGCCUCCUGAACAGUAGCUUUAAAGAAAAGAAAGCAGUCAUCAGCAAAAAAGAGGUGAGAAACCAAAGGAGCACCUCUAGCAACUCGAGCCCCAUGGAUCAUCCCAGCCCUCUCAUAGUGAUUUAUCAGCAAACUCAGCCCCUCUGCACAGAUGAUAAACAGAUAUGGCGAUAGCGGAUCUCCUUGUCUAAGACCUCGACUUGGCACGAUAGGGCCCAGCUCCAACCCUUCCCGGGUAAUUUUGUAGGUAACUGUAGUGACACAGAGCAUAAGAAGAUUCACCCAAACAACAUCAAAUCCCAACUUCAGUAAAAUCGAUCUAAGAAACCCCCACUCAAUCCGAUCAUAAGCCUUGGUCAUAUCGAUCUUUAAUGCAGCAAUCCCCUCAUUUCCUUGACGUUUCCGUUUGAGAAAGUGCAUUAUCUCAGCCGAGAUUAAAACAUUAUCAGCAAUAGCUCUACCUGGAACAAAAGCACUCUGAGAAUUGGAAAUUAUCGAUCCUAAAACCAUCUUCAUACGAUUAGCAAGCAUCUUGGCUAUAAUUUUAUAGAGGACAUUACAUAAGGAAAUAGGUCGAACAUCAGUUAAGAAUUCUAUAUGUUUCUUCUUAGGAAUAAGGACAAUGGAAGUCUCAUUAAAACCCUCAGGAAAAGAACACUCCCGAAUGAAUCUAAGACACGCCUCAGUAAUAUCAGUACCCACAAUAUUCCAAAACUUUUGGUAAAAUGCUGGGUUCAUUCCAUCAGGACCAGGGGACUUAUCAGGGUGCACAUCAAACACGGCAGAUUGAACAUCUUCAGCAGUAAAAGGUUCCAAAAGAGCUUGAUUUUAUACAUCAGUAAUUUUAGCUUCCACACAACUUAGCACAUCAUCAUAAGAACAAAUCCCAGUAGUAAAUAAAGUUGUGAAAUACUCACGAAUUAAAUUAUUUACAUCCGCAGGAUUAGUACACCAUUGCCCCUCUUGCGUGCGAAGCUUAAUUAAGGUAUUCUUACGCUUCCUUGAUGAGGCCAUGGCAUGGAAAUACUUUGAGUUUAAAUCCCCAUCCCGAAGCCAAAACAUCUUCGAACGCUGCUUCCAAUAAACUUCAUGGCUAUGCAAGAGCUCAUUGUAUCUAUCUCGAGCUUCAGUAAAAUCAGCCAAGCUAACUGUAUCACGCUUGCCCCGAAGCUGAUUCAUUUUAUCCUUGCACUCCUUAAUUUGAACUUUGAAAUCCCGAGUACGAUGAUAGCCCCACCGAACUAAAUCUAAGCUGCAAGCCGGAAUUUUACUGAGAAUAGGAAGCCCACUCGUCAUAGACCAACUCUUCUCAACAAUAUUAGCACAAUCCGGAUUUCUAAGCCAUGAGUUCUCAAAACGAAACUUCAUUGACCGCCGUCUCAAAACCACAGGAGACACAUCCAAAAAGAUAGGGAGGUGAUCUGAACUCGAAGCUUCAAGACACAGAACCUUCGCUUGCGGGAAAAGAUUCACCCAAGCCGAAUUUGCAAGGGCUCGAUCUAACCGUUCUUCAACCCAAGCUUCAGUGCCCCGUGACCGUUCCCACGUGAACUGGUAACCAUCCAUACCCAAAUCAAUGAGGCCCGAAUCUGAAAGGGCAGCCCUGAAACCAUUUAUCUUCCACUGCGGGUGGGCAUGAGAGCCGCGGUUCUCUGAGGAAUUGAGAAGGUCGUUGAAGUCCCCUAGGCAGACCCAUGGUAACGACGAAGAAGAAGCUAGGUACCGGAGAAGAUUCCAAGAAUCAUGUCUGCGAAAUGACUCGGGAAACCCAUAGAAACCCGUAAGUCUCCAGAUGCCCCUUUCACUAUCCUCAACUGCAACGUCUAUGAAAUUACGACCAAACUUCAAUAGUUUAACUUUAAAACUAUUUUUCCAGAACAUAGUAACCCCACCACUACGACCCUUUCUAUCCACCACAAACAAACCCUCAAAGCCUAAUUUAAUUUUGAUGCUUUCUAACUUAUCUCUGUAACAUAAUGUCUCAAUCAAAAAAAUAAAGUCCGGUCUUUUAUUAUGGACCAACUCAACAAGAGCUUGAACUGACCGUGGGUGGCCCAACCCACGACAAUUCCAACUUAAACAACUCAUUGCUGUCGGUGGGCCUGGGAUACAGGGCCCACCGCUGGUCCAUUUUUUGAGUGCUCACUCAUCUCUAUUGUCUCGUUAUCAGCAUGCUCUUCUAAAGUCAAAUUGAUAGAAGGCCCACCUCCUGAUCUUCUCCGUUUUGCAUCAACUAAAAUUAAUGCAGAAUUAUACUCCACAUCAGUUUCCUUCACAAGCAUCGAAUGAUUAGCUAUUAGUUCCUCGUCAAUUCCAGCUACACACGUUGACUUACAGCCUGUUACAAGAGUAUUAGUUUCCAUAGUAGAAGUCAUUGUGGCUUGAUCACUUUCCUUCCCAAGGUCUCCAUGACCAGCUGUCCCAUGAUUCACGCUAUUUUCCAAGUCAACUGCCAUUGCAACAGCGGAAGUUGAGGAAUUACCAAAUUUCACCUCAUCUAUCUCCAACACUCCCGAUCUGAGCCAAUGGUCACCAGUGUUCAUCGAAUUUCUCCGAUUGGGAGCCUUCAUCCAAGGGCCAUAAGGUUUUGUAACAGGGGUAGCAUCGGUUUCAUAUAUUGAAGGGCAAUUUAUAUCAGUGUGUCCUAAAAUGCCAUAGAUAAAACAAAAAUUGUGCAGUCGCUCAUACUUGAAGUCUACCCAUAACCACUCCCCACCCUCCCAUUUGAGGCGCAUUCGUCGUUUAAGAGGUUUCCUAACAUCAAUCGAAACCCUCAGCCUCAUGUAAUUACGCCAUACUCCUGUAAGAUUAUGUUCAUCAGACGCCAAAAAUUCACCAAUAAAGUUGCCAAUACUCUGUAAUAUUUUCUCGGAUUGAAAUCCAAGAGGCAGAUUAUACACUUGAACCCAGAAAUAUGUGUGGAAUAGAGGGAUAUUCUGCGGUUGUUCAACUACCCCAAGUCUCCGAAUGAUAAGAAUAUGCUGGUCAAAAGUCCAGGGACCAGAUUCAAGAACCCUCCUCACAUCAAUUUCAUGAAAGAACUGGAAGAGAAAAAGCGUGGGAGAUAAAUCCUUAAUACAAACACCACGCCCAGGACGCCAUAACGAAGCCAUAGUAUUUUUCAUGGCAAUAAAGUUCACUACUUUAUCCGUGAGAAAUCUUCCCACAAGGCAGAAUUUGGAAUCAAGGCGGAUAUCCCCAGGUUCACCAAUAUCUCCUCUCCAGCCACAAUCAAACCACCCUCCUCCUCUUCGUCAAGUUGCAGGCGCGCACAGAUGUUGCUCAUCUCAGAUGCCGGAGUAUUACUUGAGUUGGCCAUGGAUUAAAGAAAGAAAGGAUCGAAUCCGUAGACAGUAGAGAAAUAACAAAAGGAGACCAGAUUUUACUUGUCAAAAGACAAGACACACACACUUGUCAAAAGACAAGACACGAAUAAUUUUCCCACCUUAAAAGCUGGAAUAUCUUGGAACACUCUAAUGCACACUCGGUAAAAACAAAAGCAUGCUAAUUAAUAAACAUUUUUCACCAAAACCAAAACAGUGCUUGCCAUUUCUUUUUUGCACAGAAACCAAAACAAUGCUCUUAUCUUCCAUGCGGAACUUCCAGCAACUUUCACCGGCAACGGCUGGACAUAUUAGCGAUGGCUGGACAUUUCAGAAUGGAGACGGUUGAUGAAUGUGCGACGGGUCGGGUGCUGGUGGUGCUGGCAGUGGCAGAAAGAUCGCGCUUGGCGGGUGUUAAGUGAUACUAUUUUUGUAGCUUAGUCGCAGUUGCCGGAGAUACGUGGACGGCCAGCAAAAAGUACAUUAAUAUCUAUGUGUUUGAGAAGUUAUUCCAACCUUCUCUUAGAAUACUAUAAUCAGAUUUGAGUGGUUCUGUAAAUCAAGUUUGAACUAAUAAAUCCAUUCGGUGACUGUUAAUCCUAAGUACUAGUGUCGCUUGAUUUUUAUCUUAACCCGACACCGUGUGUUCUGCACUUGCUAUUUGUACUGAAAUAGAAGAUUAUCUCUUGAUGAUUAUUUAAUUGAAAAGAAUUUGUCGUUUAUAUUUGUUCACUGGCCUUUGGAUGAGGAUCACAUGUUUUAUGACAAUCCUAAUGUUGCUAAUGUAAGUCAAGCAAUUAUUUUUAAAUAAUGAUAUUAUAAUUAAAAAUCUAAAAACAUUUAUAAUACUUAAAGACUAAUUCAGAUUAUUAAUUUUUUUAUAUGACUUCAUUAUUAGCUGACAAAUAAUUAAAAGGCCAUAGAACAAUAUUUUUAGGUCCAAUUUUUACAAAACUUGUACUUUCAUUCCUAAGCUAAAAUAUAUCUAACCUACUAACAAUCAAGAAAUAUAUCUAUUCAACACAUAUUUGUUAGAAAGAUUAUCUACUAAUUAAUCAUUGGUUACGAGAUUAAUAUAUUGAAAUUCAGAACUUUUUUUUUUCCUUCUGCAGUUUAAAAAGGAGUCGCCCACGAGUAUUGAAAUAAUUUUAUCAGAUUCGCUUGAAAGUAGUUUUACGAGCAAGCAGUUUUUCCCUCUUGAUCCCCGUAUUCGUCAGCUCCUACUCUUUGCCUUCAAUUCUCAGUCAAGAAAACCUCUCCUGAUUUUCGUCUUUUGAUCUCAUACACACUUUGCUUCUAUUUAUCGUGGUCACUGCUCAUGCUAGCCGUUUUCUUAUUUACCUUCGUUCCCUUUCGCCAUCAGCUAUUUGCAUUUUCAUUGGAUCAAGCAACCCUUUUAUUGAUUCAAUUUUCUGAUCUAAAAAACACUUUGAUUUCCCUUGUUUUGUACAAAUAUCAUUUCUUUUUUCAACUUUGCCUUGUUUUGCUUCUACUUGAUUAUCAAUUGCGCGGUCGUUGACCCUGUUCUAUUUCUAUUCCGUUCACUUCCUCCCCCCCCCCCCCCCCAACAAAAAAAAAUGGACAUUUUGAAAAGCAUUGUUCCUGGAGUUGUAAACUGCUUGUCUCCGCGCGCACAACGCGAAUUUAGUUAUUGGUACAACUCCGCUGCCAACUUUGAGAAUUUCAAGGCAGAACUCGAUAGGCUCAAGGAUGAAAGAGAAAGCAUUCAGCACAGAGUUUCGGAGGCUGAAAGAAAAAGUGAAAAGAUUGAAAAGAAGGUUGAGAAAUGGGUGGUUAAUGCGAACAAGAGCAUUGAGCAGGCAGCCAAAUUCAUUCUAGACGAAGAGAAAGCAAAUGAACGAUGUCUCAUGGGGAUGUUUCCUAAUUGGAUUACUCGCUAUCAGCAUGGAAAGAAAGCAGAAACAGAGAAGGAGGCCUUUUUUAAGCUCCGAGAAGAAGCUGGGAGAUUUGAUGAUAGAAUUUCCUACCGUACCAUUCCGGAGGAGAUUUGGCUCAAGUCUCACAAAGGCUACGAGGCCUUCGAAUCAAGACGUUCUACUUUGGAGGCUAUAAAAAAUGCAUUGAUCGAUGUUGAUGUCAGCAUCAUUGGGGUGUCCGGCAUGGGCGGCAUUGGAAAGACGACACUGGUGAAGAAGGUCGCCAGGCAAGCUAUGGAAGACAAGCUCUUUGAUAUGGUGGUCUUUUCAGAGGUUUCCCAAAUCCCAGACAAAAAAAGGAUUCAACAGGAAAUUGCCGAGAAGUUGGGCCUAGAGUUGGGCGAGGAGGUUGAAUCCAGAAGAGCAAGUAGAAUAUUUGAGCGAUUGAGAGAUGAGAAGAAGAUCCUAGUGGUUUUAGACAACAUCUGGAAACACCUUGAUUUGGAGACCGUUGGAAUUCCUUGUGGAGAAGACCAUGAAGGAUGCAAACUACUGCUGACAGCAAGAGAUCGUAGUGUCCUCUUAAAAAUGGGAUCUAAAGACAACUUCUUGAUUAACAAUUUAAAUGAUGAAGAAGCAUGGAGAUUGUUUAAGAUGAUGGCCGGUGAUGAUGUUGAAAAUCGUGAGUUGAAAUCUACAGCAACAGACGUCGCCAGGGCAUGUGGAGGUUUGCCCAUUGCCUUGACUACAGUGGCAAAGGCACUGAGAAGCAAGAGUCUGCAUGAAUGGAAGAAUUCCUUGCGAGAACUCCGAACGCCUUCAAUGGUAAACUUCGAAGGAGUAUCUGCAGAGACUUAUUCAAGUAUUGAGCUGAGUUUCAACCAUUUAAAAGGUGAGCAACUCAAGAAAAUUUUUCUGCUCUGUAGUCUAAUGGAUAACCGUAUUCUUACUUCGGACUUGUUUAAGUACUCCAUGGGUUUGGGUAUAUUUAAAGGAGUCAAUAAGAUGGAAGAUGCACGAGACAAAUUAUAUGCAUUAGUCCAUGAACUUAGACACUCUUGUUUGUUGCUUGAGGAUGAUAGCAAUGAACAAUUUUCAAUGCAUGAUGUUGUUCGCGAUGUCGCAAUAUCGAUUGCAUGCCGCCACCAACAUGUGUUUUCGGUGAGAAAUGAUGAGGAUGUGUGGGACUGGCCAGAUGAGGAUACACUUCAAAAAUGCAAUGCUAUCUCUUUAAUAAAAAAUAGUAAUUGUGAAUUUCCUGAAGGAUUAGAAUGCCCAAACCUUGAAUUUUUAUAUAUCUCUCUCAAAGAUUCUUCUCGUGAAAUUAAUAUUCCUGGGAACUUUUUUGUAGGGAUGAAAAACCUUAGAGUUCUAGAUUUCACUCUAAUGCAGUUUUCUUCUUUUCCAUCUUCAAUUGAUCUUCUAGUAAAUCUUCACACACUAUGUCUGGAUCAAAGUUCGUUGGGGGACAUAGCAAUCAUUGGGAAGUUGAAGAGUCUAGAAGUCCUUAGCUUUGUGAGGUCUGAUAUUAAGAAGUUGCCCGAAGAGCUAGGUCAACUGUCUAAGCUAAGGCUGUUUAAAAGUCGGCGGCGCUUUUCGGUCAACAGUGAUCGCAAGAGUUUAAGAGCAUUGAAGCUCAAGCUUGAUUUUAUGGACAUUUGCUCCAUGAAAUUGCAGGGCAUCAAUAACGUAGAAUGCUUAUGGUUGGACAAGCUGCAAGGCAUCGAGAAUGUUCUUUUCAAUUUGGACACAGAGGGCUUUUCACAAUUGAAGCUUCUCUGGGUUCAAAAUAAUCCUGACAUCUUUUGUAUCGUCGAUUCAAGGGAGAUGGUCGCUUGUGAUGCCUUUCCUCUUUUGGAGUCACUUGGCCUUCACAAUUUGAUCAACAUGGAGAGGGUAUGUAUUGAUCGGCUCAAAGUAGAGUCUUUCAACAAACUCAAAACCAUAGAAGCAUAUAGUUGCGAUACGUUGAGUAAUAUCUUUUGGCUCUCUACUACAGAAUGCCUUCCAAGACUUGAGAGAAUUGCAGUUAUUAAUUGCAGCAAGAUGAAAGAGAUUUUUGCAAUUGGGGGAGAAGUUGAUAAUGCAAUUGAGAAGAUAGAGUUUGCUCAAUUAAGAUCUUUGAGUCUGGGGAAUCUUCCAGAGGUUACAAAUUUCUGCCGUGAAGUAAAGACUCCUUCAGCAUCACCAAACAGACCAGUGUCGCAAGAGGAAUCGACGACUAUGUAUUGCUCCAGCGAAAUCACUUUGGAUACUUCAACCCUGCUUUUCAACGAGAAGGUGCGUAAGCUUACAUUUUUUUUAUUCUAUCAUGCGUUCUCUUUUGAUGUCAUACGUGGAAAAUAAUUAAAUCAUUUAAAAAAUGGAAAGAAAAUGGAAAAAAGGAUAAAAAGAAUCUCACGCGCUCACUAAUUGAGCUCUUAACAAGUAGUAUGAAUUAGAAUGCAUCAAACUCAGCUGUCAGUUGGAAAUUGAUUCUGACUUGCAUUAUUCUGUAAUCAAAGAAGAAAAUUUCAACAAGUGCUUCCCAUAUGGAUAUUGGAUCUAACGAGAAAUUCUUUUUUUUUUAGGUUGCGUUGCCUAACUUGGAGGCUUUGGAGAUAUCUGCAAUUAAUGUCGACAAGAUUUGGCACUACAAUCAUCUUCCGGUCAUGUUUCCUCGCUUUCAAAAUUUAACACGAUUGAUUGUGUGGCGUUGUCACAAACUAAAAUACAUAUUUUCAGCGUCUAUAAUCGGAAGCCUUAAGCAGCUCCAACACCUACGUAUACGCCACUGUGAGGAUUUACAGGAGAUCAUUUCUGAAAACAGAGCAGAUGAAGAGAUCCCUAAUUUUGUCUUUCCACAGCUCACCACUGCAGAUUUAUCGCAGAAUAAUGAGAAUGAUCAACUUGGUAUUCCUGCACAACAGCCCCCAUUGCCGUUGGAAAAGGUAUGAAGACAUUUUCUAGAUUUUUUGUCUAUAGCUUAUUUUUAGCUUUGAAAAAUAUGGCAAAGCAUCCAUAAAUUAAUACUCAAUAAAUUGAAAACUUUUAUUAUACAAUAAUAUUUGCUAGUCUAGAUUAAGAGAUCAAUGUAGUAGAUUAAUAAUUAUAUGAACUUUUUUUGGUAUAGCAUUUAUAAAAGAAUCCUUAGUCUUUCCAUAUAGAAGAACUUACAAAAUAAAUUAGUAAUUUAUUAUUGUGCAAUAAAAUAAUUUCGAGCCAGUAUGAAUCAACCUUUUUCCCUAAUUUCUUUCUUACCUCUAAAAUUAACAUAUAAAAUAAAUUUUAUCAAUAAUUCAAUUUUUUUAAAAAUAUAAUAUAAAACAAAUACUAUAAAGUCACUGCGUGUGACCGUAGAUCAUCAAUUGACCUCAUUAGUUAUUAUGAUUGAUGAUGAUCAGAUCGUACCCAACUUGAAGGAACUAUCACUAAGUGGAAAAGAUGUGAAGAUGAUUUUGCAGGCCGAUUUCCCACAACACCUUUUUGGCAGUCUUAAACAACUAGACAUUGUUGGAGAUGACUCAGCUUGUUUUCCAAUCUGGAACGUACUGGAGAGAUUUCACAAUCUCGAAAUGCUCAUACUGCGUUAUUUUUCAUCCCACGAAGAGCUAUUUUCGAUGGAAGGAUGCUUAGAGAAACAUGUGGGGAAGUUGGCAAUGAUAAAAGAAUUAGAGCUGCACGGGCACGAUCAUCUGAAGCAGCUGUGCAAACAAGACUCCAAACUUGGCCCCAUUUUUCAGUAUCUUGAAAUUCUAAGAGUAUAUUAUUGUCAAAGUCUGUUAAUUCUAUUGCCAUCAUCAUCGGUAUCUUUUGGGAACCUAACAAAACUUGAAGCUUUCGGUUGCAAGGAAUUGAUACACUUGGUAACAUCCUCCACAGCAAAAACUCUAGUGCAACUCGUCACAGUGCGUAUAUAUGGAUGCAGAGCAAUGACAGAGGUGGUAAUAAAUGACAAAGGAGUUGAAAAAGAAGAGAUUGUUUUCAGCAAAUUGAAGACAUUAGAACUUUGUGAUUUAGAUAGCCUCACAAGUUUCUGCUCUGCCAAUUACACCUUCAGAUUCCCAUCUUUGGAAUAUCUGGAAGUGAUUGGUUGUCCCAAGAUGAAGAUUUUUGCUACAGGAGAAUCAAUCACGCCUCCAAGAGUAAAUGUCUGGUAUGGAGAGACAGAGGAUCGAUGGCUUUGGACCAAUAAUGAUCUAAACACAACCAUACAACAAUUACACGCUGAAAAGGUACGGAUAUACAUAGUACUCUCUAUCUCCCAUGGAAACAUUUUACAAAAUUUUUUUUUUUAAUAAAAUAUAGAUAAGAUAGUUGUUAUAAAGUAAAAGUUUAAAUUGAUGAAUAAGAAUUUUAUUUUCAGCUGUUGGCGGUGCCGUCGAUAUUCUCUACCCAGUACUAAUUUCAUAGGCUUCUUAUGACUUGGGAGUUGUGUAUUUUUAGAAGAAAGCCUCAGCUGGUAAUUAAUUUUUAUUUCAUUUAUUUGAUCUCAUGGCUUGUUUCGCAAUUUCAUCUGAAUUAUUUAGAAUGGGUCAAUCGGCUUACUGUUAAAUUUGGAAUGCAAUUUUAAUGAUUCGUUCAGACUUUUGUGGACAGAUUUUGCAUCAUUGAAUGUCUUCUAGUCUAGUUUAAUUUGAGUUUUUUUUCUUUUUUUUGAGAGUUCCCCUUGUUUUCUAAAAUUUUAUAAUUCCUUGCAUACUUUGUAUGAUAAAAUUUCAUUAAAAGCCUUCAUAUUUUAUAAUUCCUUGAAAACAUCAUUGCUGUUCUGUUAUUUUAGUUUGGUUUGCUUCACACCUAUCUUUCUUUGGAAAUUUUUUUUUUUUUUUUUUUGAUGAUCUUUCGAAAUGCUCUUCCCUAUGAACACAUAAUUAAGACCAGCUGAAAAUCAUUCAUCGGAUAAAAAAUUAAAAAUAAACAAAAUCUAAUCAGAGCAUUAUGCCUAGAACAAAUCCUUAAACCAUCAAAGCAAAACUCUUCGCUAUGAAAAAAUAUACUGUGGAAAUAUUGUUUGAAAACGUUGGAUACCAAGAAAGGGACUAAUUUGGUCUAGUUUUAUGAGAAGUAUAGAAGAACGUUGUUUUCUCUGUUUUUCCUGUUAGAACUCUUUACUCUGUGAUUGUAGAAUGUCUGGAUACUGAUGAAGAUUCAAGUAACUCUUCUCCUAUGCAUCAUUUGAAAUAAGGUUUUUUUUUUUGGGGGGGUAAUAUCUCCUACUGGGUUAUAGUUCAUACAAAGAGAUUCUUAAAUCAAGCCGGAUACUGCUAGAAACAAGUGGGGAAGUAGGCACUGAUAAAAUGGUUAAUCCUGUCGAGACUUAAUCAUUGAAGCAACUCCAAACUGGACUCCAUUUUAAAUAUCUUGACAUUCUAAGACUAUUUUACAAGCAUUUAAGUCUAUUCCCAUGAUCAUCUAUAUCUUUUGGGAAUCUAACAGAACUGUUAGUUUUCCAUUGCAAGGAAUUGUAACAUCCGUCCACUACAGCAGAAAGUCUAGUGCGGCUCGUAUCAAUGAAGGUAGCUGGAUGCAGGGCAAUGACAGAGGUGGUAAUAGGUGACGGAGAAGAAGAUGAAGCACCAAAUUUAAAUUCAAAACAAGAGAUUGUUUUCAGAUAAAGAUUCUUGAAAUUGUCCUACUUACUGCUGACAUUUCCACAAGAAGUUAGAGAAUAUAAAAAAUUCAUUAAUCGUUAGUUUUUAAUUUCAUUAUUCAAUGAAAAGCCCUGUCAAAUUAAAUUGCAAAUCUCAAUGUGCAAGUACCUAAAUUUACAAAAUUUACUUUAAAUUAAUGAAUGAAAGAAUUUAUAUUCUGCUGUUGGAGGAGUCGUCAUCUCUCUCGACAUAGUAUACGAUAUGUUUUGAUCCCAUAGGCUUUUUAAUAUAUUACCUUGUGUUGUUUGAUCUCUAGGUUUAUUUUAUCGUUUCAUCUUAUUAUUUGCAAUGCGUCAGUUGGUUUAUUUGUUAAUUUUGGAAUGAAGUUGAUGCAGCUGAUGGUUGCAUAGGAUGAGUAGGAUAUCACUCCUAUAUCAUAACUUGAGCGGGUAUCUAUUCGGCAAGAAAUUCUGUUUAUUUCGUAGUUAUUUUACAAAGUUUAAGUUAUUUUCUUAUUUUUCUUAUUAUUUUCAAUAUUUUUAUAUUUUUUCUCUAAAUAUAAGAUUUUAAGUAUGAUUUAUUUUAUUUUUCUUAUUUCAGUUAGGAGAACGUUAUUAUGUAAUAAUAUUUCAAGUUUGUCUAUUUUGAUAAAUACAUAAUAUUUAGAAUUUGUGUAAAAAGGGUCCAAUACCCUAAUUUUGUUAUUCAAACUUCUAUUAAUAAAAUUUCAGACUUUUUAAAAAAAUUUCUCUAUGUUUUCAAUCUCAACAUCUAUGUUUCCCUUUCAUCAUAAGUUCUAAUGUCUGGUUCUGAGCUAGCUUUAUGUGCAUAUUAGACAUCAUUGAAGGUCUUUUGAUCUGAGUUAUGAUCAAAAAAUUAUGCUCGCUUCUGUCUGGUUGUAUGAAAAUUGUACAAAAUAAUAUUCUUAUAUAAUUUUUAUCCUCCAUUGUUACAGAAUCCCCAAGCUUCGAAUUUGUAAACUUUGAAAGCAUGGCAGAAAACUUAGUACUUAAUAAGGCUCUGGAAUAAGACUCUUUAUGGCUUCAAUAUUUUACUUAACAUGAAAUUUUCUUUCUAGCUAGCAUCAUUGUGAAGAUAAAUUGUGGUAGUUCUGACAAGUACUGCACAAUUAAUGUUACCAGCAAUCAAUUGGCGUGAGCACCAACAACCAUUUUCAUAUUUAAGCCUUUAGAAAAGUAACACAAAAUAUGGCAAGUGGCAACCACAUCAAACAAUCAAAUUGUUGAAAGAUUUUGAAAGCUUUAAUUUGCUUGAUAUAUAUUUGAAUAUUUCAACAGAUGCAUCUUUUCUCCACUCAUGGGGCACGUUGAGUUAGAAACGGUUUGAAUGUCAAUAUUACUCCAAGUGCCUCCACCGAAUUCAGAAUGAAAAAAAUCAUCUGGUUACCUGCACUUUAGUUUAAGCAGCUAACUAAGCUAAUUAGCACCAAGUAAUUCACAAACUAGUGAGAAAUUUCAUUAGUUAAUUAUCAUACCUGUUAUUAUACCAUAAACCAACCAAUUAAUUUAAACUUUGGCACAUACAAAAUUUGAAAAAGCUGAAAGCAUGGAAAUGUACUAAACAAACAAAAGAAAAUAUAUUUACCACUGCUCUAUUUUGCAGAAGGAACAAUCCAGUUAUUGUAGACACCUGAUGUUACAAUUCAGGAAAAGUAAAAAAGAAUUACAGCAAUUCUAAUAAAAAAGACAUAAAAUAAUUUUAUACAUACUUUCUGGUGGAUAAUAUAACCUAAGUAUAUGGAUCAAUGAUUAGGAUAUCCACUUACAGAUAAAACAUUCUUCAUCACAGAAGCACAGUUUAUCAAAAAGGCAAGGCUGAACCCAGAUAGCAUUGCUAUGUAAGUGUAACUUGUCAAAAGCGGUAUCGAUAAAACCUGUACAUACAUAGAAAGUUAUGGGACCAAAACCAUGAAGAAAAGUAUUUUAUAAACAGAUAUGUUUGAAACAAACUAUCAAAUGGUCCAAAUGCCGCAUGAGGUGUUCAAAAUAUUACCCCCUGCAAUUCAUGUUAUGAUUAUUGGCCCAAUAAUCCUCUCGACGUAAGGGUACAGAGUAAGUUGAAAAACAAGGAGAAUGAAACCUAUAGUAAGUUCAAAAUGAGGACAAUCGACAAUCGUCAAGCAGUUUUGUGGGGGUGAUGCAUGCGAAAGCAAGUACAGAAAACAAGUAACAUUUUUAGUUUCGUAAUAAGUUUGGUGCUGAUCGCGCAAUAUUUCACAUGCAUAUGCCUCGUGGUGUAAGAGAAGUUUGAGCACAAAUAUUUACAGGAACUAAAUUGGAAUUAUCAAUAAAUACCCCCAAUCAACACCUUUAUUGGUCCAAGUAAACCAUUCAAUUGAAAGAAAUUGAGAGAAAAUAUUGUUUGGUUGCUGAGAAAAUAUCUCAGAAAAUUUCCAGAGAACUUUCGGAUUUCUUGUAUUUAUUUUUCUUAGAAAGAAAUGUUAUGAUUACAACUUAUUUAUACUCAAAACUCAAGGAUUACUAAAGCUAAUGACUAACUAAUUCAGUAGAAUCUCCACAUGCAUAACCACAGCUCGAUAUACAAAGUAAUCACACCAGACUGUUAACUACUUAAGCUGAGGUGGCAGCUGAGCUGUCAUUCUGCUUACAUUCAUCUGACAUCACCAGCUUGCUGGUUUUCCUUAGCUUGUGCAGCUUCCUCUUUUCUGCACAAUGAGCUUCUCUAACAGCCCCCCUCAAACUCAAAGGACAAGAGUGAACAUUGAGUUUGGCCCUCAAGUAAUUAAACUGUAUGAAGGAAAGAGGUUUAGUCAUUAUGUCUGCAACUUGAUCUGCACUUGCUAUAUAUUGAAUGCUGAGCUCCUUAUUAAGAACCUUGUUGCGAAUAAAAUGUAUGUCAAUCUCAAUGUGUUUUGUUCUGGAAUGGUAAACUGGGUUCUUGGCCAAUUCAGCUGAACUAAUGUUAUCACACCAAAUAAUAGGUUUAGCUAUGCAGCAUACUCCAACUUCAGCAAACAAGGACUGUAACCAAGUUAAUUCUGCACUAGCUGAUGCCAAUGCCCAGUACUCACUCUCGGCACUUGACCUAGCUAUUACUCCUUGCUUUUUAGAAGACCAUGAUAUAAGAUUAUUACCCAGGUAGAUACAAUAUGCACUCACUGAUUUCCUGUCAUCUAAAUCACAUGCCCAAUCAGCAUCUGUAAAUCCAGUAAGCUCUAUAUUGCCUUCUUUAAUGAUCUUUAAACCAUAGUCCUGAGUGGCCUUUAGAUAUCUUAAAACCCUUUUACAUGCCAUGAGAUGCUGUAGUGUAGGAGCAGAUACAUACUGACUGAGUUUGUUAACUGCAAAAGCAAUCUCAGGUCUUGUCAAAACCAGAUACUGCAUGCUUCCAACAAUGCUUCUAUAGUAUGUAGGAUCUUCAAGAUAAUGACCAAGCUGUCCUUGAACAGACUUCUGUAACUUCAGACCAGUGCUUAAAGGAGUAUCAAUGCCCUUACAAUUAAUCAUAUCAACCUUAGCUAACAAAUCUCUGAUGUAUUUCCUCUGAGACAGAAAUAUGCAAUCUUCAUCAUAUAAGACUUCUACCCCAAGAAAAUAAGAUAAAAUGCCAAGAUCUUUUAAAGCAAAAGUUGAGCUUAGUGUUGCAAUAAAAUGUUCUAAUUCAGCACUGCUAGGACCUGUAACCAAGAUAUCAUCCACAUAUAUCAACACAAGAAUCAUGGAAGUAUGACUCCUUUUCAAAAACAGAGAUGUAUCAGAAGUAGUAUUAGUGAAUCCCCACUGCAGCAAGCAGCUCUUAAGUUUAUCGUACCAAGCUCGAUGAGCUUGUUUAAGUCCAUAAAGAGACUUGUGCAAUUUACACACAUAACCAGGCUUUGUGUUGUCAAUAAAACCUGUUGGCUGAGACAUAUAAACUUCUUCUGUCAAAUCCCCAUUGAGAAAUGCAUUAUUGACAUUAACUUGUCUAAUUUUCCAUUUGUUCAUCACUGCUAAGCUUAAUACCACUCUGACAGUUGCUGGUUUAAUAACUGGACUAAAGGUUUCAAAGUAGUUUACCCCUGCAAUUUGUUGAAAACCUUUGGCAACAAGCCUAGCUUUGUAUUUGGCUACACUCCCAUCAGUGUUGUAUUUAAUCCUAUACACCCACUUAUUAUCCACAAUCUGUUGAUCAGUCUCUUUAGGAACCAAGGACCAAGUAUUAUUGUGAACUAAGGCAUCAUACUCAUCUUGCAUAGCCUUCACCCAUCUAGAAUCACUCAAAGCCUCUUGCACUGAAUCUGGUUCUUUGUGAGUGAGAAUGGUUGUAUACACUUUUGGUUUAAAAGUGCCAGAUUUGCUUCUGGUGCUCAUAGGAUGAAUGUUGGAUUGUAUUUGAGGUAAGUCAACAGGAGGAGUUAAUGAUGUUGUAUUAUCAGAAACAGAGGCAGAUAAGAAAUAUUGUGUAUUAACAGGUAGAUGAGUUUGAGAACUUACUUGCUGUGAAUUUUGAUCAUUUGUUGUUUGUGCAGGAUUUUCUGAGUGAGUUGAGUUGCUGCUAUCAGGGUUUGCAGAUAAGGAAUAACCAGUGCUAUUUUCAGUAAAUGAUUGAACAACAGGCAAAGUGGAAAGAUGAUAUAUUUGCUGAGGAGAAAAGGAAGUAGAAGAAAGAGGUGAUGAUGAUGACUCCGUGAAACAAUGAAAGCUAGAAUCAGUAGAGUAAGAAAAAGUGAGUUCAUCAAAUAUGACAUGUCUUGCUAUGUAAAGAUGACCUGAAGGAUGUAAGCACUUGUAACCUUUGUGUGAUGAACUAUAUCCUAGAAAAAUACAUUUACUGGAAUGAUAGUCAAAUUUGUGUUGGUUAUAAUCCCUCAAGUAAGGAUAGCAUGCACAACCAAAACACUUAAGCAUAUCAUAGUUGGGUUGGUGUUUGAAAAGUUUCUCAUAGGGAGACAAAAGUUUGAGAACAACAGAAGGCAAUCUAUUUAUGAUGUACACAGCUGUAUGAAAUGCUUCCCACCAAAAUUUAAAGGGUAAUUUAGAUUGAGCUAGCAGUGUAAGUCCCAUUUCAACAAUAUGCCUAUGUUGUCUCUCAACCAAUCCAUUUUGAUGAUGAGUGUAUGGGCAGGAGUGUCUAAAAAUGAUACCACACUGAUUUAAGAACUCAGUGAAAGGUCUGUACUCACCCCCCCCCAAUCAGAUUGUAACUGCUUAAUGGUGGUUUGAAACUGAUUUUCAACCUGUGUUUUGAAAAGCUUAAAGACACUUAGAGCUUCAGACUUAAACUUUAGAGGGUAGAUCCAGGUAAACCUGCUAAAAUCAUCCACAAAACUGAUAUAAUAGUGAUAUCCAUCUCUAGUGUAGACAGGUGAAGGACCCCAGAGAUCUGUAUGUAUCAGUUCUAAAAACUUGGUUGUUUUGGUUGUGGAUGAAGGGAAAUGAAGCUUAUGGCCUUUGCCCAUUUGACAAGCUUCACAGAUGUAUUGCAGUGCUUGUAUUAUUUGAUUAUCAGAAAAAUUUGCAGACUUGAUGUUUUUGAGAACAAGCUUUAAGAUAUAUUGAUUGGGAUGACCAAAUCUAUUAUGAAACAAAGCAAUCUUAUUCACUGAUGUUGUACAAGAUAAUGCAGUAGAUGAAUAACAAGAUUUUGAAUGGCUACAAUCUGCAUUAUUAACAUCAGUUACAGAAUUAAAAUGAAAACAUCACAACAUUGACAUUGGCUUAUUUGAACUGAUCUGAGAUAGAAAAGAUGAUUUAGAGAAUGAGUAUGGUUUGAAUAACAGCCUGUAUAAUCCUCUUUCAGCAAUACCCUGUAGCAGAACUUCCCCCUUCAGAGCAUCCUUCACAUAACAAAUAUUUCCAAGAAAUUCAACAGACAAAUGGUUAUCAGAUGUGAGUUUAGAAAUACUCAAUAAAUUUUUGGUAAUUGAAGGGACAAGAAGAAUAUCUUUCAGUACUAUGUGUGGGUGUUUGUGUUGAGCAAAUGAAGUUUUAAAAACAAAUUUAGCAUCACCAACAUGAGUUAUGGGCAAACCUUGUCCAUUUCCAAUGAUAAGCUGAUCAGAACCAUUGAAUUCCUCUCUGACCUGUAUAUUAGCCAUGUUGUUGGUUAAGUGAUGAGUUGCUCCACUAUCAAGAUACCACCCUUCAUCAGCAGGCCCUUCAAAAUUUGCAAGAUAAGCAGCUCCAGGUGCAGAAGACAUUUCAGAUGAACAAUGAGGCAUAGAAGAAUAUGUCACUGGAUCCAGAUUGUAAGACUGAUAAUUUAAGCAGUUCAUAGCAUAAGAAUCAUCAAAAUAUGGUGCAAACUCAGCAUGUGAGUUAAAUGUAGUCAUAUAAGCUGACUUAGGUCCUCUUCCUCUACCAAAAUGCCUUGACUGUGGCACAUAAUUCUCAAUAUAUAUGUGCCAACAAGCAUCAGCUGUGUGCCCUGACUUAUGACAUAUCUGACAAACAGGAAUGUUAUCAUCUGAUUCAGUUCCAGCUAACACAAAACCUUGACCAUAAGGCUUAGGAUGUGAUAAGACUUUGUGAAACUGCAUUGGCAUAGAGUUGCCUCUUCCAAAAUUAUGACCACUGUUAUUAAAGCCUCUAGGAUAUGUAUUAAACAUCAUUCCUCUUCCAGCAUUUCUGUUUCCAUUAUGAAUUUGUCCACGAUAUCCUCCAUAACCAAAACCUCAUCUUCUAUUAUUCCCUCUGACUUGAGAAUAAUUGGAAUUCAUCACUCUAUAGUUAGCAUUGAACAUGACUUUAGUAUUCUGAUUGGUCUGACUUUGUUCUAAUCGUGCCUCAUGUGUUAACAGUAAGGCAUAAGCAUCAUCAUAAGACAUCUUAUUAGCUGUGAUAAUAGAUGCAAGAUCUAAAUAACCAGUCCCUAAUCCAUUUAGAACUUGCAUUAACAAAUCCCUUUCUGACAUAGGACUACCAGCACAGGCAAGUUUAUCAGCUAAUAUUUUGACUUUUAAGCAAUAUUCUUCAACAGACAUGGAUUCCUUUCUAAGUACAUUCAAUUCAUAACGAAGUUGCAUUAUUUUAGCUUCAGACUGAGCUCCAAAUUGUUUCUCAAUAGAUCUCCAAGCAUCUCGUGAAUUGUCACAGUUAAGAAUAGAACUGAGAAUACCUUCAUUAACUGAUGGUAACAGCCAGCCAAGUAGUAUUUGAUCUUGAGCUCUCCAAUUUAUGUAUGCUGGAUUAUCCACUUUCUGCACUGAUCCAUCAGCUGUUGUUUGAAUGAUAUGUUGCUCUGGUAUGAUCUGAUUUUCAGAUAUGAAAUCUUCAAGCCGAUUUCCUCUGAUUGAUGUAAGAACUUGUUUUCUCCAGAUUAGGAAAUUAGAUCGAUCUAGUUUUAUUGGAUUACUGAAUGAGAAUGAGAUCUGUGAAGGUUGAUUUGCAUUUGUUGAAUUUGAAAGUGUUGUUGUGUUGCUGGAACUAGCCAUAUUGGCUCUGAUACCAUGAAAUAAAUUGAGAGAAAAUAUUGUUUGGUUGCUGAGAAAAUAUCUCAGAAAAUUUCCAGAGAACUUUCGGAUUUCUUGUAUUUAUUUUUCUUAGAAAGAAAUGUUAUGAUUACAACUUAUUUAUACUCAAAGCUCAAGGAUUACUAAAGCUAAUGACUAACUAAUUCAGUAGAAUCUCCACAUGCAUAACCACAGCUCGAUAUACAGAGUAAUCACACCAGACUAUUAACUACUUAAGCUGAGGUGGCAGCUGAGCUGUCAUUCUGCUUACAUUCAUCUGACGUCACCAGCUUGCUGGUUUUCCUUAGCUUGUGCAGCUUCCUCUUUUCUGCACAAUGAGCUUCUCUAACAAAAGCCCCAAGGAGAAACCUUGUAGCUAUGGCCAUCCAGAAAUUCACACUAAGCCCAAAAAGAGUGUUAAAAAUAAACCCUGUGAGCAUUUUAAGACAGACAAGAAAUCCAGAAAUUGCCGAAGUAUCAUCAAUUUCAAGCUUGAUCAUAUGAAAAUAGAAGUCACUAACACUGUGAUGCUUCCUAUUAUUAUUACAGGCUUUCGACCACAGCGGUCAGCCACCAUUUCUCACAAAACAGAUGUUAGAGCUCGGCCAAGCAUGUAUGAAGACCCUUCAAUUUCAUCAAGGUAUUAAGAUGUUUGUUAGGAUAACUUCUUGAGGAAUUUGAACUGUUAUAUUGGUCGUACGUACAUACACACACACACACAUACAUACAUAUAUACAUAUAUACAUACAUAUGUAAAUCGUUUCCAGGUGCGAACAUAUGUACUUUUUAAAGCAUAGACUUGGCCCUUUAAAGUUGUAAAGACGCGGGUCCGUAUUGUAAAGCUCUUGUACAGUGCGUUUACAGUGAUGUAAAGUCUCGGUAGAAUGUCUUCCCAGAGUUGUAAAGGCGUGAGUCAGCACUUUAUAAGGCGUGGACAUUCGUACCCAAGACGGACUCCAUACUGUGUGUCAGAAUUUGUUAUACCUUUUUUCUCUUCGUGUGAACGCAAGUUAGAGUGACAUCUAACAAACCACUGCGCAACUUCAAUUUCAUCAUGGUAUUAAGAGGUUUGUUAGGAUAACUUCUUGAGGAAUUUGAAGUGUUAUAUUGGUCAUACACACAUACAUACACACAUACAUACAUAUAUACAUCCAUACAUGUAGAUAUGUAAAUCGUUUCAGGUGCGAACAUAUGUACUUUUUAAAGCAUAGACUUGGCCCUUUACAGUUGUAAAGACGCUGUGAAGCGUUUGUACAGUGCGUUUACAGUGUUGUGAAGUCUCGGUAGAAUGUCUUUGUAGAGUCGUAAAAGCUUGAGUCUGCACUUUAUAAGGUGUGGACAUUCGUACAAAAAACGGACUCCAUAUUGUGUGUCAUUUAUUAAAUACAAUAAAAAAACAUAGAAUAACUCACCCACGUAACCAGCAUAGAAUCCAAUAUCUUGAUCCUUUUUGCAAUGUGAAAAUUCCUAAACUGAAAAAAAAUCAUAAAUGACUGCUGUGAAAAAGCAAUGAAUUAUUUGAAAUAUAAAACUUGUCUUUUCUUAUAUUUCUCAGAAAAUCACCAAGCAUGAUAGGAAAAUAUAAAUUUUCUCACUAAUAACCACUACGCUGAAGGCAAUAAUAAUCCACUCACCAUAAAAUAAAGGAAGGGAAAGAGAGAUGCGACCGGCAGAACUGAAAAAAAAAAUCACAAAAGAAUUGAAAAUCAUUGUAAAUGGUUCUCUCCAAAAUCAUUAUAUCGAGUUGAAGUUGAAAAAUUUUCCAGUUGCAAGCACAACAAUCCAAAUAAUUAAAAGCUUACGAAUUGGUAAGCCUCGUUCCGACUCUUUAAGCUUAUCAACCUUACAGCCUGAGCAGUUCUUAUAAUAUUUCUUCUUCAAUAGCGGCUCUCUCACUUUCCCCUCCGCCAUACUUGAAAAAUUUUCAGCUCAAGUAAUCGUCUUUGUCUAUUCAAUCCUAUUUCAAUGCUUAAAUAUAAGUACUUAGAAAAGAAGUAACAAAAUCAAUACAAAAGAAUCAAUGAGCUUAAGGAUAUAAUCAAACUAGAGAUAUAGUGAUCAUUUAAAGAAUUUUCAACAGAAUUCUAAAAUCAGUUGAUUUUCCAGCUGGGUCUGUCACCACCAUGGUAAUUAAAAUUAUUGGAUCCCAUGCAAAACAAAAAUUUUUCAUUACAUGCCCUCAUAGCUGACGUCCAAUUAAUCAUUACUCUUAUGAGAAUAAUUUUUGGUGACAAGAACAGCGGCAUCCUUGGACGUGGCAAAAUAAUCACAAAAAUCCCUUAUUUUAAAAAAUGAUCAUGAAAAUUUAUUGAGGAACACACAAAUUCAGGAUCUGUGUAACUAUUGUUAAAUACAAAAAAAGGUCUAUAUGCAUUAAAAAAGAGUUUGUAUGUUCAUUUUUUAAAAAUAAGGGAUAUUCAUGAUUACCAUGUUAAGCCACGAGAUGUCGUGUUGUUUUCUAAUUUUUCAUUAAAUCGUUGUUACACAAUUCGACAUGUAAAAGUAAUUUUUUUUUUUUGAGAGAUGGUAACAAACAUAGUGACAAAACUAUCAUAGUACCGUCUAAUGAUGAAACUAAUUGUUAAUUAAUUAAUAAAAAUACUAAGUGAUUGUAACGGUUCCGGUCACAGUCACAGUCAAAUAUAAUUAGGAUAAUUUAAUUUAAAUAAUGUGUAAUUAAAAAAAAAACCCUUUUUCCUUCGCCGCCUCUAUAAUUUAAUUUUGGGUUUGAUAUCUUUAGUUUUAAGAUUUUUGAUUAUUGGGUUUCUUUUUAUUGAAUUUUCUUAGUAUGAAUUUAUUUUGUAAAAGAAUUUUACAAUGAAAUUUGCUCUCAAGGAUUUUGGUAUCAUUAGUUUAGGGUUUCUUUCUAUUGGGUUUUAUUUGUUUUGGUGGGAUUAUUGGACUUAUUUUGUAAUGUACUGAUGAAUGUGUGUUUGAUUUUUUUCUUUCACAUUGGAAUCAUGCUUUGCCUCUGAUUUUGUAAUUUACUAGGUUUAUAAUCUUGGGUUCGUAAUCCGGAAAAAAAUCGUUUCCAUAUAAUUUUAAAAAUAUUAUAAUAAAUUUUUACUUUUUGAUUUAAAUUUUAUUAGUUGUAAGGGUAUGUUAGUACUUAUAUACCCAAUUCAUUUCAAAAUAGGGGUAGUAUAGUCUUUUAAAUUUAUAACAGCCUAAACAGUUAGAAUUAGUUGAUUUUUUUAACAGAAAUAGGGGGAGGUGCAUAUGGUCAAAAGAUGUGGGUGCGCUGUGUGAAAUACUGAACAAUUGGGAGCUGAUGCUUAAUGGAAGGAACAAAAUUCAGGAAAAGAGGAAUCAAAGUGCAAAAUGAAUUAGGAUACCUGAAAAGAAAGAAUGAAAAUAACUUUUUUUUUUUAAAUUAUUUAUUUGGACAUUGUGACAAACAAGUGAUGUGCAUUGUUAAUUCAGAUUGCCCAAAAUGUCAAGUCUUGAAAAACGACAACAUUACAUGAUUCAUGAGAAGCCUAUCACUUUGAGAUUAAUUUAAUUAAAAAAAGUUCCGUUUGCUUAAUACUAAAAUGUCACGCGCAAGUUGUCCUGGACUAGAGAGUCGUUCACCCGUACUUACACCCAAAAGUCACGAGGAUCAAAACCAGAUCUGUCACUGCAUUUGCUUGAAAAAUGAUUUUACUAAUAUAAAAUAUUAGUAAAUAUAUAUUUUGAAAAAUUAAUAUUCGUGUUUCGAUAGCUUUCUAAGUGGUUUAUUUACAGGUAUUCAAAAUAUAUAUAUUUAGUAAUUUCUAUUAAAAUUUUGCGACAAUUGUUUGGCUGGAAUAUUUUUUUAUAAGAAAAAUAGCGAUCUCACACUGAUCCACAGUUGAGCCAAUUACCUAGUUAAAAGCUACCUCAAUAUUUUUUAUUUUUACCCUAAUGCAUGUCUGAUUCUUUUAAAAUUUUACGUUAUAUAUAUUAAACAAAAAUUAUAAUUUUAAUCAUUGAAAAAUUAAUGACAGACAUCUUUUGAAUAAUUUUUUUUUGAAAAAUACAGAGCUAGAGAUAAUGCUAUAAUUGAUUGAAUAAGAAGGCUACAACUUGAUGAUAACUUUAUUGCAAUGUUGCGUGAUCUCAAUAUAUUAUUGGCUUGUGUGAGUAAAAGCUGCUGGCUCUUGUUUUACUAAUUUGCCUUUGUAUUUGACUGGCUCGACAAAGAAUCGAUUUACCUCAUACUCAAAUUACAAACAUCGAAACCGGAUCUGUCAUUACGUUAAUUGGCCUCCUAAAAUAAUCAAUCACUUUCUCUUUAGUCUACCAUCCACUCUUUCCAGUCGCUUAGUUUCAUUCUAAUCAUCUAAACGCUCUUUGCUACUGUUUCUUCUAUUCGUCAUUGUUCUUGUUCUGUUAUUAUUUAGCUUUGCUCACUCCUCAGUCUCAUUUCUUAUUCUGUACCCAUCAGCUCUUUUAGCUCUUUACGUCGUGAUCGAAACCCUUUUCUUGUUUCCUUCAUUUCAUCUGAAAAACACGAACUGCCUGUCCUAUCGCUGUCUCUUUGUUUUUACUUUCCUUUGGCUUUCUUAGCUUCUACGUUUUUGUCAGGAUUCGAGAUGCUGGAAAUCAUUGCGACUAUCGUCUUGGAACUUGUAAAAUGCUUGGCUCCUCCAACUGAACGCCAACUUGUGCAUUUGCGAAAGCGGAACUACAAUGCCAACUUUGAGAAUAUCAAGGCGGAAAUGGAGAAGUUGAAGGUUGAACGUGCGAGCAUUCAGCGCAGGGUUUCAGAGGCGAAAGAAAAAGGGGAAGAGAUUGAAGAGAAGGUUGAAAAGUGGCAGGUUAGUGCGAACGGCAUCAUUGACCGGGCAGCCAAAUUCAUUGAAGAUGACGAGUCAACGAAUAAGCGCUGUGUCAAGGGCUUGAGUACUAUUUGGAAGAGUCGCUAUCAGCUUAGCAAGAAAGCAGAGACGGAGGUGAAGGCCAUUAUUGAACUUGGAGAAGAAGUUAAGAAGUUUGAUACUGUUUCCCACCGUACCAUUCGGGAGCAGAUACGGCUUAAGUCUAGCAAUGGUUACGAGGCCUUCAAAUCAAGACUUUCUACUUUGCAGUCUAUAAAAAAUGCAUUGACGGAGGCGAAUGUCAGCAUUAUUGGGGUGUACGGCAUAGGCGGCAUUGGAAAGACCACACUGGAAACAUCUUGAAUUGGAGAAGAAGCUGUUUUAUCGGGUGGUUUUAUCAGAGGUUUCAUAAACUCCAGAGAUAAAAAAGAUUCAAGGGGAAAUUGCAGAGAAGUUAGGUCUGGAGUUGUCCGAUGAAGCUGAAUAUAGAAGAGCUAGCAAGCUGUAUGACCGAUUGAAGAGUGAGAAUAAGAUUCUUGUGAUUCUAGAUAAUAUCUGGAAACAUCUUGAAUUGGAGACGGUUGGAAUUCCUUUUGCAAAUAAUCAUAAAGGAUGUAGACUGUUGCUGACAGCACGAGAUAAUACUGUGCUUUUAAGUAUGGGCUCCAAAGAUAACUUUUUGAUUGGCAAUCUAACUGAACAAGAAGCCUGGAGAUUGUUUAAGAUAAUGAAUGGUGAUGAUGUUGAAAGUUUUAAGUUCAAGUCUACAGCAAUUAAUGUAGUUAAGGCAUGUGGAGGUUUGCCCAUUGCGUUGAGGGCACUGAGAAACAAGAGUCUCCAUGAAUGGAAGAAUGCCUUGCGAGAGCUCCGAACGCCUUCAAUGGUAAACUUCGAAGGUGUGUCUGCAGAGACUUAUUCAAGUAUUGAGCUGAGUUUCAAUUAUUUAAAAGGUGAGCAAGUCAAGAAAAUUUUUCUGCUUUGUCGUCUAGUAGGUAACAGUGUUUGGUUUUCAGACUUAUUUAGAUACUCCAUGGGUUUGGGCAUAUUUCAAGGAGUCAACAUUCCCUUCAUAUUUACCAAAGGUAAGUGAUAAAUCCUACAUAUCCCACUCAAGAAUGCAUAUGUUUUUUCAAUCUCAAGUACCUAAAGUUUUCUUCUACGUUUAUAAAAAUUUCAGCACCAUCUCCCUAUAAUUCUCCAAGCUCACGACACAGCUAUAUAAGUGUUUAUGCGUUAUGCCAAAACAACACAUGACACCCAUUCACCUAGUACGUACCCAGAGAACACGAGGAGCAGCUACCGAAAAAGCCAUUUUUACGUGGGAAGAAAACUUCAGCUACUAGCUACCAGAGAGAACUAUGCAUUCCCAAACUGUCCAAGCCUGGACAAUUCAAGAAUUAUUAAUAGACAUAUGAUCCUCACUAUCAUCCAAAGAUGACACUAAUACAACAUGUGUCUAUUAAUAAUUUCUUAAACAAGUCUAAGCUUUCAAUGCACGUAUCAAAAGUUUAAAAUUGAAUCUGAAAUUUGAAUAGCACAUAAAUAUCAUAAAUCUCUUCAAUUUAUUCCUGAUACAAUGUAGCAUUAUUUCACAUAUCAUUUCUUAAGCAAAACCAUAAAAAAUACAAACGAUAAAUACAUUUUCCCACUGAUGCAGAUUAUGUUUACUGAGCAAUAAGUUUUAAGCCAUUCAUUUUGAAAUACUUCUGCCUAUUCUUUCAACAUAUAACUAGUACGUACACACAAUUAAUAAAUUAAAAAAAAAAACCUUCUGGUGAAUCUUGCAAAAUCUUCCUUUUUUCUUUUUUUUUUCUUUUUCUUCUUUUUUUUGGGGGUGGGGGGGUGUGUUGGGGGAACUAUGAAUCUUGCAAAUCCUCAAGAAGCUAUGUUAAGACAAGGCCAGCUUACUAUUAGGGUAUGAAAGAUAAAACCUUUUAUUUCCUUUUCAGAAUAAAAAGAACAUUGACAGUGUUAAAAAAAAUCUAGAGGAUUUCAGGCCUCCAGAUCCUUACAAAUCAAGGAUAUUAAAAAAAUUUACUUAGAGGAGAAAGGUUAUGCUCAUUUGUAUCUUGUUAGAAGAAAUUGAUCCAAAGCCUCAGUUUUAAUUAACUUCAUAUAGCCAAUGAUUAGGUGUUUAAAAACCAAUGAAUAUUUUUAUAAGAAAUCGACAAUAUUGUUGAAAGAAAAACCAAAUAAAAAUAAUAAAGCCAAUGAAUAGAUCAAGGCUCUUUGUGGUCUAAAACUAAUCAAACUAAGUUGUGGGCAAAGGCGAAUAUGUUUGUUUGGUCAAUAAUAAGCUCAACAAAUCACUAAUAAUCACCUAAUCACUAUUCCUUAUGCUCUGCAAUAUAAUGGCCUGGGUAAUGGCGCCAAGGCAGAUAAUAACUAGCUAGCCAGUUAUGAUAGUUGAUUAACUUAACCUACUGGAAAUCUGUAGACCAAAACGAAGAAGCUUUGCCUAGAACUAGAAUAGGAACAUUCAUACCCAAAACUGAUAUACACGAUUAAGAAACUUGAUUAUAUGGAUAUUUCUGGUGGCCACACUUAAAGAGAAUUUUCAAAAGAUGCUAAGGUACACCAAAUCCCACUAUUUCAUACUCAUAAACACAAAAACCCAUGGCAAAAAUUAAUGACUAUAUCAAAUAAAAUCAGUCAUAGGACAAUGAGAUUAGGACAACUUGAUUUGUAUACCAUAAAUCUGCAUAGUGAACUAUAUUUCUGUUAGAACUCUGAAGUUUUUCUAUUAAAUUUUUUUCUCUGCUAGGUAAACCACUUUUAACUGAAAUGCUUAAGCCAAUAUUGACAAUCAUAGACAUAAAAGUAUUAAUAGGCUCAUUCAAGUGAAAUGAGCAUUAUUUCACACAUCCUUUAGGUUUUUAAGUUAUUUAGAAGUCAUUCAUGUUAAAAAAAAAAUCAUAUACUUUCAAUAUAAUUAGUACAUACACAAUUAAUUAAUUAAAUAAAUUUGUUUCAGCUAAUAUAGGAACUUAAUUAAUCAAAGCUAGUAGUUAUAGCUAGGACUUGAACGAGGCACCUUUCAAAGUUCAAGAAGAGCAUCUGAACAGAAUGAAAGCAAUUUGUAGAAAUGGUAAUGAUGCUUUACAUCUACAUGCUCUUACACAAUAUGAACUUUCAUUUACUCCAAGCUCUUAUUCUACAAGUCAAUUCAGUUUGUAGACGCACGCCAUUGUAAAAACUUUUGUAUUAUAAUUUCUGAAAAUAGAAUGUAACAUUAUUAAUAUAGAAUCAGCAAUGUAUAUAACUUAUCAGACAAUAUAACAAGCACUUGGUGAGCAUACAAGAUAAACUAAAACAAGUUAUCUAGAAAAUGAAACUAAAACCCAAGCUCCGCUAUUCAUUGUAGAAGCUUUAAACAUAAAAUUAAAGUAAAUCUAAUAGCAAAACAUUAGAAUGGAUAUUGAAAUUAAAGCUAAAUUCAAUAGUAAUUCAAAUGAAUCCAUUUGAACUUUGUAAAUUCCGCAGAACAAAAUUAAUUUGAGUGAGCAAACUCACCAAUGGAACAAGAACACAGGGGCUUCAACUUGUAGGAAUAAAAAAAUAUUGCUGGCGGGACAAAAAUUGACAAUAACAGCUACAAUACGAAUUUUAAAAAAAAUCAAAAUCUAUAAUUACAAGCUAAGUAAGAGAAGAAACUCAUAAUCACAAGCUUAACUCAAAAGAUGAAGGGAGAACACGAUGAAGAAGAAGAUGGCUGGUGUUUUACGCCGUUCGCCGGCAACCAGUUAGGUUUACGAUGGUGGCUAGUAACACGGAGUCCAGCGAAUAGUUUUCUAACUGGAAAUAAAUUUAAAAUUCUAAAAUAGUACCGAACGGCUCAAGCUCUCUAUAUAGUUACUAAUUCAAUUCUCCUUCGAAAGGUUCUCUCUGUCCUAGAGAGAACUUUGAAUGGAAGAGUAAAAGGGUCCUCAUGACUCGAGUAGUCACUCACAGGUGAGUGAAGUAUUUCAUUUCGUUACCUUACAUCCUAGUUCAAGUAGAUAUUCAGGUCCUUUUAUUGGGGUGAGCAGAGUUGGUGAGGGGUAUAAAACACAGGGUAUUAACAACCAAGGCUGUACAUCAAUUUCUCUAUCUGUUAAAAAGAGAGCUUCCAUAAAUAUGGAUACUGAGGAACUGAUUAGGAAAUGCAAAGCUAGGGGAGGAUAAAGAAAAGAUAGUGAACUUUGAGGGAAGCAUGAGGAGCAAAGGAAGACAAGUAGUAGCUGGUUGUUUGGUGGGUAAAAUCCUACACAACAGGAGUGUUAAUCAAGAAGGAUUGAAGAGUGCGCUACAAAUGGUGAGGCGGACAACCAAAGAAGUUCGGAUUGAAAGCUUGGGAAAUAAUGUCUUUUUGUUCAAAUUUGCGCAAGAAGCAGACAAGAAAAGAAUCCUAGCAGGAGGUCCUUGGCAUUUUGACAGAGCAUUGAUAAUCCUCACAGAGCCAAAAGGAAUUGGGGAGGUUACUAGACAAGCCUUCACACAUACUUCAUUUUGGGUACAACUUCGGAAUGUACCAAUCAUGUGUAUGGAAAAGGACAUCCUAAAAGUGUUGGGGGAGCAAAUCGGGACUGUGGAAUAAGUAGAGACGAACGGAUAUGGAGAAUGUAUUAGUGAAAUUGCUAGAAUACGAAUCUCUGUUGAUAUAACACAACCACUGCCCAAAAUGAUUUUUCUCAGACUAGAAGGGGAAGAAAAAAUCCCAAUGCCAGUUGGCUAUGAGCAUCUACCAGACUUUUGUUUUUGUUGUGGACAUAUUGGUCAUAGCUUCAAAGAGUGUGCUCAGUACAAGGGGCAAGCUAAAGAGCAGCUACCAUAUGGGGUCUGGAUGAAAGCGAUCAAGAUAAGUGAAAGAGCAAAACUGAACCGCAGUAGAGUAAAUUGGAGUAGAAACCAUGGGAAAACCGACGGUAAUCCAACAAGUUCAGAGCAAAUUGACAAUGGGAAAUCGCAACAAAGGCGGGUUGAACCAAACCCAGAUAUGGUGCACGGGUCGAAACCAGCAAAUGAGGAAACGGGUCAAAUCAUUGAACAAGCUCGAGAUGCUGAGGUGGAGUGGAAAGCUGAUGAGCAUUUAAUGCAAGAUAUCGGAGGAUCGAAAAAGAAGCAAAUCAGGGACAGUAAGCACGAGGUAGCAGCUGACAAUGGAAAAUCUUUUGGAAAUUCGAGAUUUCAAGCGAGAAAGGAAAAUACGAAAGAGAGGGAAAAUGGAGGAGCUGAUUCAAUUGAAUUAGAUUCGGGUACAGUGGGCUCAGAACACCAAAUUCAAAAAACCAAAAAUCAAGCAAAAAAGGGAACAAAAAAAUAUGGUUUGGAUAAAGGGCCACGCAUGAACUACUCGAGGCCCAAUAGAAGGAAAUGGAAGCUGCAGGCUCGGGCAACAUGUAACAAGAGUGGAUGCAAGGCUAGUCCAAAGGUUUCAAAAAGCUCAAGUUGUCACCUAAUUGGACCAAGCCCAAAACACAAAAACAUAAAGCUUGUUAGCCCGAUUAAAUCAGCAAUGAAGCAAAAACAAGAAGGCUCCCCAGCAGCAAAGCUCAAACUUACUUGGGAGCCGUUGGCAGUGGAAGAAAUGGAGAUGGCAAUUCCAAGCUUAGAAGAGAUAUCGGCGGAGGCUAGUGGCCAGCCCCGCCGGAAGCCAUGAGGAUCCUUAGUUGGAACGUUCGGGGUUUGGGGAAUACCCGAACGUUUCUAGCAUUGCAAAAGAUUCUCUAGUUGCAUAGGCCUCAUCUUUUAUUCUUGUGUGAAACGAAGUUGUUGCCUGCGCAAAUGAACGGGAUUAGUAGGAAGUUGAACUUUGAAAAUUGCUUUAAGGUGGAUAGAAGAGGUAGAGGAGGAGGAUUAGUGAUGUUGUGGAACUCUGAAAUUGAAGUGCAAAUUAAAUCUUUCAGCAACCACCAUAUUGAUGCUAAGGUUCAAACUGAAAAUGGGAAGCACUUUCGAUGCACCGACGUUUAUGGCCAUCAUGAGGCAGGGCAAAAGAAACAUACUUGGACACUUCUGAGGCGGUUGGCAGGAUUAUACCCUUUGCCUUGGUUAUGUUUUGGCGACUUUAACGAAGUAUUGCAUCCUUAUGAAAAAACAUGAGGUAAUGAAAGAGAGCUAAGCUUGAUCAGAAACUUUAGAGAAGCUUUGCGAGAUUGUAACUUAGUUUGACGUGGGAUACAAAGGAUACCCAUUUACCUGGAAUAAUGGGAGAUAUGGGCCUCAUUACAUUGAAGAACAGCUUGAUGGGUUCUUGUGUAACAGGAGCUGGAGUGACAUUUUCUACGAUUGUGCAGCAGCUCAUCUAUCUACUUGGACUUAUGAUCAUUGUCCGUUGUUGAUAGAAGUUCAAGAAAGGGGGAGGGAUUAUGUUGGAAGAGAAAAAAAUCCACUCGAAUUCAUUAUGAGGAUUUAUGGAGCCCAUAUGAAGCUUGCAAAGAAAUAAUCAAGACUGAUUGGAGUAGUUACGGAAGCUAGAAUGAUGCAAAUCCCAUACCCUUAUUUCAAAAGGUGGUUAAAGAAUCAAUGGCUAGGCUGCUUGUGUGGAGCAAGGAAGAGUUUGGAGAAAGAGAGAAGAUGCUGAAGCAGAUUAUGAAUCAGCUGGAGAGGCUGAAACAAAGCUGCGUGCAAUAUGAUAAUGGGGAGGAGAUUAAGAAGUUAGAGGGGCAGAUUCAAGAUAUCCUCAUUGAUGAAGAAAUAUUUUGGAAGCAGCGAUCGAGGGCAGAGUGGUUGAAAGCAGGGAACAAAAAUACCAAAUACUUUCACUACAAAGCAUCAUCGAGGAAGAAAAAGAACCAGAUUUGGGGAAUUGAAAAUGGGUCAGGAAGCUGGACUGAUAAGGCAGAAGAGGUGGAGUAUGAGUUUUACGAAUAUUUCGCAAAACUCUUCACUACAUCAAAGCCAAGUCAAGAAGAAAUUUCGGCAGCAUUAGAAGGCAUCACGCCAAGAGUCUCAAAAGCCAUGAAUGAGCAUUUGGAGCAACCUUUUACACCGGAGGAUAUUACGGAAGCCUUAGCUCAAAUGUCUCCAAUAAAAGCUCCGGGACCAGAUGGUUUUCAAGCAGCCUUCUAUUAGAAGCACUGGAACAUGGUGAAGAAAGGGGUCAUCACAACCUGCCUCCACAUUCUAAAUGAGCAAGGUACUAUGGCUCCUCUUAACCAUACCUAUAUUGCUUUAGUCCCAAAGGUCAGAAAGCUUAAGAGAGUAACAGAUUACAGACCAAUUAGCUUGUGCAAUGUGAUCUAUAGAAUUGUGGCUAAAACGAUUGCAAAUAGGCUGAAACAUAUCCUCCAUCAAGUUAUUUCCCCAACAUAAAGCGCUUUUAUUCCUGAUAGGCUUAUAACAGACAACAUCAUAGUAGGAUAUGAGUGUCUACACAAAAUUAGGCAUAGUAAGGGAAAAAUAAAUGGGCUGGUAGCUUUGAAACUUGAUAUUAGUAAGGCUUACGAUAGAGUCGAGUGGAGCUUCUUAGAACAAGCCAUGACUAGGUUGGGUUUUUCUCCAAAAUGGGUGAAUCUAAUUAUGAGAUGUAUAACUACAGCGUCUUUCGCUGUGAUUAUAAAUGGAGUACCACGAGGAGUUAUCCAACCACAGAGGGGUCUGAGGCAAGGGUGUCCACUUUCUCCAUAUUUGUUUAUCAUGUGCGCAGAAACUUUUUCUUCUCUAAUGUUACAGGCGGAAAGGCAGAAACUCAUUCAUGGAUUAUCAUUCGGCAAAGACAUAAAUAUCUCGCACCUCCUCUUCGCUGAUGAUAGCCUAAUUUUUAUUCGAGCUUCGCCUACGGAUUGUCAGAAUCUGAAAAGAAUUUUUGACUGCUAUACUACUGCAUCAUGACAACUCUUUAAUUUCGAGAAGUCAUCAAUGUUUUUCAGCAAUAACACCAAAGUUGAGCAAAUUUCAGCCAUACAGAAUAUUUUUCAGCUCAAUGUGGUUUCAAGGCAUGAGAAAUACUUAGGUUUACUAUCAAUGAUAGGGAGGAAGAGAAGUAGUUUUUUCCAAGAUGUCAAACUCAAGGUGAUGGAGAAGAUAUCCAAUUGGCAGCAUAAAUUUUUCUCUAGUGGGGGCAAGGAAGUGUUGAUUAAGGCUGUGGCUCAGGCUGUUCCAGCGUAUGCCAUGAGCGUGUUCAAAGUUCCUCUUGGAGUUUGUGAUGAUAUUUAGAAAGCUAUUGCCAAUUUCUGGUGGGGAUCCAAAAAAGAGAAGAGAUGUAUUCACUGGGCGAAAUGGGAAUGACUAAGUAUAGCAUUUAUAAAAGAAUCCUUAGUCUUUCCAUAUAGAAGAACUUACAAAAUAAAUUAGUAAUUUAUUGUUGUGCAAUAAAAUAUUUUCAUGCAAAUAUAAAUCAACCCUUUUUCCCUAAUUUCUUUUUUACAUCUAAAAUUAACAUAUAAAAUAAAUUUUACCAAUAAUUCAAUUUUUUUUUAAAAUAUAAUAUAAAACAAAUACUAUAAAGUCACUGCGUGUGACCGUAGAUCAUCAAUUGACCUCAUUAGUUAUUACGAUUGAUGAUGAUCAGAUCGUACCCAACUUGGAGGAACUAUCACUAAGUGGAAAAGAUGUGAAGAUGAUUUUGCAGGCCGAUUUCCCACAACACCUUUUUGGCAGUCUUAGACAUCUAGAGAUUGCUGCAGAUGACUCAGCUUGUUUUCCAAUCUGGAACGUACUGGAGAGAUUUCACAAUCUCGAAAUACUCAUACUGUGUUAUUUUUCAUUCCACGAAGAGGUAUUUUCGAUGGAAGGAUGCUUAGAGAAACAUGUGGGGAAGUUGGCAAUGAUAAAAGAAUUAGAGCUGUACUGGCACUAUCAUCUGAAGCAGCUGUGCAAACAAGACUCCAAACUUGGCCCCAUUUUUCAGUAUCUUGAAAUUCUAGGAGUAUAUCAUUGUCAAAGUCUGUUAAUUCUAUUGCCAUCAUCAUCGGUAUCUUUUGGGAACCUAACAAAACUUGUAGCUUUCGAUUGCAAGAAAUUGAUACACUUAGUUACAUCCUCCACAGCAAAAACUCUAGUGCGACUCGUAUCACUUUGUGUAUACGGAUGCAGAGCAAUGACAGAGGUCGUAAUAAAUGACAAAGACGGGGUUGAAAAAGAAGAGAUUGUUUUCCGUAAAUUGAAGACGUUGGAACUGCGUGAUUUAGACAGCCUCACUAGUUUCUGCUCUGCCAAUUACACCUUUGAAUUCCCAUCUUUGCCAAUUUUAUUGAUUUCACUACAGGAGAAUCAAUCACGCCUCCGAGAGCAUACGUCUGGCAUGGAGAGACAGCGGGUCAAUGGCUUCGGGCCAAUAAUGUUCUUAACACAACUAUACAACAUUUGCAUGCUGAAAAGGUACGGAUAUACAUACUGCUCUCUAUCUCCCAUGGAAAAAUUUUACAAAAUUUGCUUUUUUUAAUAAAAUAUAGAUAAAAUGUUUGUUAUAAAGUAAAAGUUUAAAUUGAUGAAUAAGAAUUUUAUUUUCAGCUGUUGGCGGUGCCGUCGUCGUUCUCCACCCGGUACUAAUUUCAUAGGCUUCUUAUGACUUGGGAAUUGUGAAUUUUUAGAAGAAAGUCUCAACUAGUAAUUAAUUUUUAUUUCAUUUAUUUGAUCACAUGGCUUCUUUCGCAAUUUCAUCUGAAUUAUUUAGAAUGGGUCACUUGAUUUACUGUUAAAUUUGGAAUGUCAUUUUAAUGAUUCGUUCAGACUUUUAUGGACAGAUUUUGCAUCAUUGAAUGUCUUUUAGUCUAGUUUAAUUUUUUUUUUAUUUGGAGAGUUUCCCUUGUUUUCUAAAAUUGUAUAAUUCCUUUCAUACUUUUUAUGAUAAAAUUUCAUUAAAAGCCUUCAUAUUUUAUAAUUCCAUGAAAUCGUGCGUACUUUUUUCCUAUCUUUCUUCGCCAAUUAUUUGUUUUCAUCAUUGCUGUUCUGUUAUUUUAGUUUGUGCUCUGUUUGUUCAUUUGGUUUGGUUUGCUUCACACCUACCUUUCUUUGGAAACUUAGAAGGCAAAGGAAGUACUUAGAAAAUGCUCUUCCCUAUGAACACAUAAUUAAGAACAGCUGAAAAUCAUUCAUCGGAUAAAAAAAUUAAAAAUAAACAAAAUCUAAUCAGAGCAUUAUGCCUGGAACAAAUCCUUAAGCCAUCAAAGCAAAACUCUUCGCUAUGAAAAACUAUAUUGUGGAAAUAUUGUUUGAAAACGUUGGAUACCAAGAAAGGGACUAAUCUGGUCUAGUUUUAUGAGAAGUGCAGAAGAACAGUAUUUUCUCUGUUGUUCCUAUUAAAAUUCUUUACUCUGUGAUUGUAGAAUGUCUGGAUACUGAUGAAGAUUCAGGUAACUCUUCUUCUGUGCAUCAUUUGAAAUAAGGUCUUUUGUUUUUUUUGGGAAUAUCUCCUACUGGGUUAUAGCUCAUACAAAGAGAUAUUCUCAAAUGAAGCCGGAUACUGGUAGAAACAAGGGAGGAAGUUGGCACUGAUAAAAUGGAUAAUGAAGCAACUCCAAACUGGACUUCAUUUUCAAUAUCUUGAAAUUCUAAGACUAUAUUACUGCUUGUAAAAAUCUUUUAAGUCUAUUCCCAUGAUCAUCUGUAACUUUUGGGAAUCUAACAGAACUGGUGGUUUUCCAUUGCAAAGAAUUGUAACAUCCAUCCACUACAGCAGAAAGUCUAGUGCGGCUCGUAUCAAUGAAUGUAGCUGGAUGCAGGGCAAUGACAGAGGUGGUAAUAGGUGACGGAGAAGAAGAUGGAGCACCAAAUUUAAAUAGAGAUCGUUUUCAGCAAAUUGAAGACGUCAAGUCUGUGUGAUUUAUCUGUGUGAUUUAGAUAGUCUCACAAGUUUCUGCUUUGCCAAUUACGCUUUCAGAUAAAGAUUCUUGAAACUGUCCUAUUUAGAGCUGACAUUUCCACAAGAGUUAAGAGAAUAUAAAAAAUUCAUUAAUCGUUAGUUUUUAAUUUCAUUAUUCAAUGAAAGUCCUGUCAAAUUAAAUUGCCGCUAUUGAAUCUCUCGCUCCCCUUGCAAAUCUCUAUGUGCAAGUACCUAAAUUUACAAAUUUUACUUCAAAUUAAUGAAUGACAUAAUUUAUUUUCAGCUGUUGGAGGAGCCGUCGUCUCUCUCGACGCAGUACGAUAUGUUCUGAUCCCAUAGGCUUUUUAAUUUAUUACAUGGUGCUGUGAAAUUUGAAGAACAAGGUCCCAGGUAACUAUCGUUUUCAUUUCAUUUUGUUUGAUCUCUAAGUUUAUUUUAUCGUUUCAUCUAAAUUAUUUGCAAUGCGUCGGUUGGUUUAUUGUUAAUUUUGGAACAAAGUUGAUGCAACCAACGGUUGCAUAUGAUGAGUAGGAUAUCGCUCUGAGAUCAUAACUUGAAUUAUAGGUAUCUAUCUAGGGCGUAUAAUAUAUCAUUAAUCUAUUACUAUAACAUCGUAUUGGUCUCGUGGUCCAGCUAGAAAUUCUGUUUAUUUCAUAGUUAUUUUACAAGUUUAAGAUAUUUUCUUAUUUUUCUUAUUAUUUUCAAGAUUUUUAUUUUUUUUAUAAAUAUAAGAUUUAAGUACGAUUAUUUUAUUUUUAUUAGAAGAAUGUUAUUAUAUAAUAAUAUUUUAGGUUUGCCUAUUUUGGUAAAUUCGUAAUAUUUAGAAUUAGUAUAAAGAGGGUCCAAAAUCCAAAUUUUGUUAUUCAGACCUCUCUAUUAAUAAAAUUUCAGACUUUUCAAAAACUUGUGUUUCUCUAUAUUUUCAAUCUCAACGUCCAUGUUUCCGUUAUCAUAAAUUCUAAUGCCUGGUUCCAUCAGACCUCUCUAUUAAUUGAGGCUCUUGAAUAAGACUCUUUAUGACUUCAAUAUUUUACUUGAUAUGAAAAUUUCUUUCUAGAUAGAAUCAUUGUGAAGAUAAAUUGUGGUAUUACUGACAAUGAAUAAGUUGAAACAUCAACAGAGAUAAAUAUUGAGCAAUUAAUGUUACCAGCAAUCAAUUUGUGAGCACCAACAACCAUUUUCAUAUUUAAGCCGUUAGAACAGUAACACAAAAUAUGGCGAGUGGCAACCACACAAAUAAUCAAAUUCCUGAUAGAUUUUGAAAACUUUAAUUUGCUAGAUAUGUAUUUUAAUAUUUCAACAGGUGCAUCUUUUCUCUACUCAUGUGGCACGUUGAAUCAGAAACGGUUUGAAUGUCAAUAUUACUCCAAGUGCCUCAACCAAAUUCAGAAUGAAGAAAAUCAUCUGGUUACCUGCACUUUAGUUUAAGCAGCUGAUUAAGUUAAUUAGCACCAAGUAAUUCACAUACUAGUGAGAAAUUUCAUUAGUAAAUUCAUACCUGGGAGGAAACCAGCAUCUUGACGCUUUUGUGACCAAGAAAAUCUGCCAGAACCCCAAUUAAUGAAAAAAAAAUUAUAACAUCAUUUACAUAUAAUUUUAAAAAAUCAAUAGGACACUUACAGAGCACCUCCUACAGCUGGACCGGCAGUUUUGGUAAGCGACACCACUGUCAUAGCAAGUCCAUUAGCAGCUCCUCUUUGAUGCUGUUCCUGUUAUUAUACCAUAAACCAAAAAAAUAAUUUAAACUUUUGACACAUACAAAACUUGAAAAAGCUGAAAGCAUGGAAAUGUACUAAACAAACAAAAGAAAAUAUAUUUACCACUGCUCUGUUUUGCAGAAGGAACAAUCCAGUUAUUAUAGACACCUGAUGUUAUAAUUCAGGAAAAGUGAAAGAGAAUUACAACAUUUCUGAUAAAGAAGAUAUAAAAUAAUUUUUAUACAUACUUGCUAAUGGGUAAUACAACCUAAGUAUAUGAUGGGUGUCGAAGCCAACAAAAAUAAAUUCCUACUCUAAAUAAAUUGUGUAUAGUGAUUGAGCAGGGUCGUGUCCACAGAGAUCGGUAAUUAUUUAAAUCCUUUUGAAACGUAAAACGUAAAAUGGGGGAAUUGUUGACAAUAAUAAAAAUCAAAUUGAAAUAAACAAGAAUGCAAAUUAAAGUUGUAAUUCAAAUUGGAGAAAGCUCUGGUUGAAGGAAUUAACUCAGCUUGAUUCGACUACUGAUCAUUGAUUCAAAUAUAGAUUAUUAUUAUUACUUAUGAAUAGAUCGGUUAUAGCUACUGGGACCCUCUAAUAGCCAAUCUCUCCUUAACUAGUCGAUAACCAAGGUACGACCGUUGGUUAUUUCCCUAAUCAAUAGACAACCCUAGAUACGAUCAUAGGAUUUAAUCAAUUGACAGCCUGAGAAACCAGAGAGACCCAAAUCCUAAUCAACACAUAUGAUGAUUCAUUUAAAUUAGAUUGUUUAUUCUCACAACACAACUCUCUGCUAUGUUAUUUGUCACAAACAUUAAAUUCUUCAUACGAUGAAUCCUUUAAUUGACAAUAGAUUAAGUUGAUAAUUAAAUAGUGGCCAAUUACCUAAUUAACAAACAUAAUCAUGAAACUAAUUUAGAGAAUAAACAAAUACCCAAAAAGCAAUAAAACAAUUAAAGCACAAGAAAGAUCUCACAGUAGUGAUGAAUCAAAGCUUCAUUAUCCUUCAACCAGAAAAAUGGGUUUAGUUCCUUAUAGAGAGAAGAGAAAAAUUAGAUCUAGGGUUUCUUUUUCUCCAAUCCAAAAAUCCCCCUUUUUCACAAUAGAUUCCUCCCUUCAAUACUCUCUCUCUCUUCUCUUUUAGAAUUCUAUUUAAAAUAAAAUACUAAUAUCUGAAAUAUUAAAUUCGUAAUUACAAAAAUAACCAAAAAUACAAAACACGUUAAACUAAAAACUGCAGGUCCGCAGUUGACAGCACGCGCCCACGCCUUAUCAACAAAGUUCUUCUGACGCUCAGAAAUUUCUCCAAGAGAACAAUCCUCCUUAAACAUCAUCUUUUAGCUCAAUUUUAUCAUCAAUCAAUAGAAUUGCACCUACAAAAGUAAAACACAAGUAAAACAUUAUUAUUAAAUGCAAAACAUCGAUAUUAAGGGAAGUAAAUAAUGCAAAACUAGUGCAUAAAUUGCACUCUAACAAAUUCUCCCACACCAAGAUGAUGCUUGUCCUCAAGCAUAUAACUCAAGAUUAAUCCCAAAUCUCCACUCAAUUCUCAUCUCAACUCAUCCAAAAAUAAUUUUAAGCAAGCAUACCUCAAGAAAUUAAGUCGAUCAACAUUCGAGAGACAAGGAUUUUAAAGCAUAGAAUCUCAUAAGAUAGAAUAAGAACAUUCAACCACCAAGAAGAUCCAUUCAAAAUUCAAGUGCAACAAGAUGUAAUAGCCCUCUCAAUAACUUCACUCCAUGCACUCAAAGUGUUUAGGGUGUCAUUUAUCCACUCAAAUCAAAUCAAAGAAUGCUAUUACCAUAAGCUUGCUCAUAAAUCACAUCUCAAUCCACAAAACAUGAAUAAAAUGCAAAAAUCUAAGGGUCUUAAAAGGGUUGUAAUGGGGUUAAAUGGGUUAAAUGAAAAAGAAAGGUUUACGAAAGAAAAAGAGAUCAAAAUGAGAAGAAUGAACUCAUUGAAUGAACUUAUGAUAUCAAAAUGCUUAUUUCUACUCAAGUCACCAAGAAUGUAAACAUUUUUUUUUUCGAUUUUUCUUUUUCUUUUUUUUUUCUUUUUCUUUUUUUUUCUUUUUCCUUUUCUUUUUCUUUUUUUUUCAUUUUUUUUUGUUUUUUUUUUUUUCGAAUCAAACAAAAGAAACGAACCUUGCACAAUUGAAUUCAAGCAUAAUGCUUGUUGAUCUAAUUGAGAAACUUUAAUACAAGGUAGAAAAAGCAACAAAAUAUAUCCAUACAAUGAGUCCAAAAAUCUCCUUAAAUUGAGGCUCAAAAAGAAGAAAAAUGGUUAAGUAGACGGAGAGAAUUAGAUGGGUAAUGGUUAAGGCUCAAACAAAGGUAGCAAAUAAAGGUCUUCGGGUAAAGAAAAAUGAAAAUGCGAGAAUAGAAAAAUGGUAAAUGGUUUGCCCUUAUCAUUUUAAUGCCUAAAAUCCCGUAAUGUGGCUUCAACAUGCAUAACAAAGCAAGUUCUAGAAUAAACAAACUAGGAUUGAUAUUCACAUAACAAAAAUAAUUAGAGCAAAGUGGUUGCUCAUAGGCUCAAAUCCUCACAAAGUUGGUAAAUUUGCCAUCAAAUCAUGUACACUCUUCAAAUGAAUCAACCAUCAAUAGUGGUGUAGAAUGAGAAGAAGGUAUGAGUGAUAUAUAAAAGGAAAGGUAAAAAUGAUAAGAAGUGAGAAAGAUGAAAAGUGAAAGAUAAAAUGUGAGUGAUGAAAGAGUAUGAUAGAAUAAAAAUAGAUGUAAAUAAUUUGAGAUAGAUGGGAAAAAAAAAAAAAGUAGUGAGAAAUAAAAGAAAAGAAAAAAUAAUAAUAUAUAAAGCAUACUAACUCCAAAAUCAUUUAAGGAUGAGUAGAGUGAAAAAAAAAAAAGAUAAGUAGAGUGAAAACAAUAAUUCCAGCAUCAAUAAUGCAAAAAUCCCUCCCCCACACCAAGAACUUACAUUGUCCCCAAUGUAAGAUAAUCAAAGCUCACAUAAAAAUUAAAGCAUAAGGAUAAAAGUUAAAGGGCAAAAAGAAACUUCCCUGAAUUGUGAGCUUUGAUCCACAUAACGUCUAUGGGCUUGGCGGAAAUGGUGGGGUAAAUCCCACACUCUCAAAGUAUGCGGCCAAAUUCUGCUCCAUUUUGUUCAACUUGUGCUCCAUUUUCUCUAACUGAAUGCUCAAAGGUGGUGCGGAUGUAGAAGGAAUAGUUGGCGGGGCAACAGUGUCGUCGUCAAACUCGUCAUCAGAGGUAGCACCACUCCUAGCAUAAAGCUUCUUCGGAAGUUGAGUGGGUCCUGGUUCAGUAAACUGAAAUCUCCCCUCCUUGAAUUCAACCACACCUGUUCUUUCAAACACAAACAUAUCCAAAAAUUCCUUUUUGCAAGCAGGAUGCAAAUCAUUAUUGUCAGGAUCAAGCACACAUAGGUUUAUAGCUAACAGAGUAAUGUAUGGACCAAGAAAUAAAGUCCUAUACCGUUUAAGCACACUUUGAAAUUGAUCCGCUAACCAAAAACCUAAAUUAGGCCUCACAUCAUUUAACAUGCACCAGAUAAAAUAAAAUUCAGUUUUAGAGAAAAUUCCUGAGUGAUAUUUCUUGCCUAAAAAAUUAUAUGCUAAGAAUCGAUGCACACAUUUCAAAACAGGAUCACGUAAGAAAGAACUCUUUGAUUUACUCGGGUCAUAGGCAUUGUGAUCAACAGAUAAAUUACGCCAAAGACCAUAAGGCUCAAAAUUUUUGCUAAAGUCACAAGUUGUUCCUAAAUAUUCAUCACUAGUAGAAUAAUCAUCAUCAAUGAAUCCUAAAGCUAGGUUAAAAUCCGUGAUAGAGUGUGAAAAACUUCGUCCCAUUAACCUAAACUUAAUGACAUCCGGGGUAUGCAAAGUAAAAUCAUUCGGCAUAGUGAAUUGAAAAGUAGCAUAAAACUCCCUAAUCAACUCAACAUAACCCAAGCAAUCAACAUCAACAAACUUACGCAACCCAAUCUUAUCUAUCAAAGAAUCAAAAUUAUCUUUAACAUUUAAUUUUUCAAGAGUCGGGUAAUGAAUAUACUUAGCUGGAAGUAUUUUGCGCGUGGAAAUAUCUUUGUACCUCUCUUUCUCUUGUUGAGUCGCGAAUGCGAGGCACCCUCCGAGAUUGGAUUCCGCAAGUGGCAAAACACUCAUGCCUUUUUCAUGCUUCGAUCUUUGUCUCACGGCUUGGCGUGAAUCUGAAAUUAUGUUCCAUGGAACCGUAGUGGGAGCGGCAAUCUUAGAUUUCUUUGCGACGGGUGUCUUUUUCGACGACUUGGAAGUAGAUGCUUUCCUCUUCGGCAUUGUUACAAUAAUUGCACUCACGGAUUUCGAUUUACUCGGCUGGAAUACAGGGCGUAGGCUGGUUGUGUUGCGCUUGCUGCUCGGCUGGAGCUUGUUGCGCGAGUUGGGGCUGGUUGUGCGCGCUGCUGAGGCUUGCUUUGCGGGUGCUGGUUCGUUGCUGUGUUGCGCGCACGGGGCUGUUGCGCGGGAGAGCCAGUUCACGUUGCGGGUCUGCGUUGCGGAUCUGUUGCGCUGCGCGCGCGGGACUGAUGUGCUGUGCUGAGGCUGAUUCGCGCUGCUGCUGGUUGCGGUGCGCGAUGCUGUGCGCGGCGGCUGGGGCUGCUGGAGCUUGCUGCUGGUUCUGGGCGUACUCGUCUGCUGCUGCUGGUUGCGCGGUGAAGGCUGGAGCUGAUGCUGCUGUAAAACGAUAAUCAACAGUAAUUUUGGAAUUAGGGAUUUGUAAACAGUGAUUUUCGAUUUUUGGUUUUUUUUUUUUUUAUAUAUAUAAAUAAAUAUAGAAAAGAAAGAAAGGAACGAAAAUAAAUAAAUAAAUGAUGAUUUUCGAUUUUCGAUUUUUGGUUUUUUUUUUUUUUUUUUUUUUUUUUUUUUUUUUUUUAGUGAUGAAUCACUUUGAGACACUAAAAAUUUCAGAAGUACUUUUCUAAUAAGUACGUGGGCACGCCUUAUCAAAAAUUUUCUUCUGACCAAAAUAAGCAAACAAAUUAAAUUUCAGAAGUACUUUUCUAAUAAGUACGUGGGCACGCCUUAAAACUUUGUGACAUUAAAAAUCACAGAAGUACUUAUUAGUUAAGACGUGGGCACGCCUUAUCAAAAAUUUUCUUCUGACCAAAAUAAGCAAACACAUUAUUUAUUUUUUUUAAAAAAAAAAAAAAUCUGAAUCAAAAUUAAAAGAAGAUAUAACAAAAACCAAAAUAAAUAAAUCAUUUGGGUUGCCUCCCAAAAAGCGCCUUUGUUUUAUGUCUUUGGCUAGACACAUUUAUGCAUCAAUCUCCAUAAUUGGGACUCUCGAGAGCCACAUCCUCCAUAAUAUUCACCGAAAAACCUUCAUAAAAAGGUUUUAAGCGAUGACCAUUAACCUUAAAAACUUUGUCAGAGGUCGGACUCCGAAUUUCAACUGCACCAUGAGGAAAAACAUUAGUAACAAUAAAAGGUCCAACCCAGCAAGAACGUAAUUUACCCGGAAAAAGUUUAAGCUUAGAAUGAAAAAGAACUUUUUGACCAACAGAGAACUCCUUUAUCAAAAUCAUUCUAUCAUGAAAUGUCUUCGUCUUUUUCUUGUAAAAAACUUCCUGCACUAUAGGGUUAAUAACAUCCACAGAGAAUAUUGAAUGUUCCUCACUAGGAUAUUUCAUGGCAUCAUUCAUAUUGAAUUCUAUAACCUCUCCAUCAAACUCCAUAGUGAGAGUCCCUUUAUGUACAUCCAUUUUAGUCCUAGCAGUCUUAAGAAAAGGUCUUCCUAGCAAAAUUGGGACAGAAUUAGAGGAGUUAUCAUCUUCCAUAUCAAGUACAUAAAAAUCAGCAGGAAAAACCAACUCAUUAACUUGUACUAAGACAUCUUCUAAUACCCCAUCAGGAUAUGCAUUAGACCUAUCAGCUAGUUGAAUUAUCACGCCAGUUUCUUUUAAUGGACCAACAUUCAAAGAUGAAUAAAUGGAACGAGGCAUGACAUUAAUAGAAGCUCCUAGAUCUAACAUAGCCUUUUCAACUCUAACACUACCAAUUUUACAAGGGAUAGUAAACAUACCUGGAUCCUUGCACUUAGGAGGUAGUUUCUUUUGGAGAACUGCUGAAACAUUCUCCCCCAUGUGAACUUUUUCAUCUCCUCUUAAUUUUCUCUUGGAGGUGCACAGUUCCUUAAGGACUUUAGCAUAUCGAGGUAUUUGUUUUAUAGCAUCUAACAAAUGAAUAUUUACCUCAACCUUGCGAAAUGUCUCAAGGAUGUCUUUAUCUUGUUCCUUCUUCUUGGAUUUUGCAAACCGGCUUGGAAAAGGAGGAGGUAUCACAAUAGGUAGGGGUUUCGCUCUUGUGGGUUGUGCAUCUUGAGAUUGAGGCAUCAAUUCAUUCUUCUCAAGCUCAUCUUCUACAUGCUUUGUCACUUUCUUACUAGGCUCUUGCAACUCCGUCCCACUUCUAAGGAUGACAGCACUAACGUUUUCCUUUGGAUUCACCUCAGAUUGUGAAGGCAAUCUCCCUAAUACUUGAGACUCCAGACGGCUCACUGUAGUCGCCAAUUGACUCAUUUGGUUCUCCAAGUUCUGAAUGCUUGCUGUAGUUGCCUGCUGAAAUUGUUGAGUGUUAGUCGCAAGUGAUUUAACAAUUUCUUCAAGAGAUAUACCUGACUUGGAGUUUGACUGUGGAGGUGCUGGUUGUCUUGGUGGAUACUGUUGUGGGAAUCCUGAUUGCCUAACUCCAUAGCUGAAGUUGGGAUGAUCCUUCCAUCCCGGAUUGUAUGUUUGUGCAUAAGGAUCAUACCUCCUCUGAGGCAUGCCUGGAAAUCCUCCAACUGCAUUGGCUUGUUCAACGGGUUCUUCUUGAAGUGUAGGACACAUAUCAGUUGAAUGACCCAUAUUGUAACAAAUGCCACAAGUCUUCACCUGUUGCACAUUACCUACAACAAACUUUUCCACAAGAGAAGUAAGUUUAUCUAAACGUUGUUCAACAGAAGAAAUAUUUACCUCAUUCACCGUUCUUGAAGUGGCAUCUUGUCUGCUGCCAAAUUGUUGUGCAUUGGCAGCCAUAUUUGAGAUCAACUCCCUUGCUUGAGUAGGGGUCUUGUUCACCAACACACCUCCACUAGCAGCAUCUAUCAUACUCAUAUCCAUCAAUGACAGUCCUUCGUAAAAAUAUUGAAUAAGAAGUUGAUCAGAAAUCUGAUGCUGAGGACAGCUGGCACACAAUUGUUUGAAUCGCUCCCAAUACUCUUACAAAGUCUCCCCAGGAAGUUGUCUGAUCCCACAAAUAUCUUUUCUGAUGUUGGCAGCUCUUGAAGCAGGAAAGUACUUCUCAAGGAACUGCUUCUUCAAACCAUUCCACAUUGUAAUCGAUCCAGGAGGCAAGUAGUACAACCAAUCUUUAGCUAGCCCAUCUACAGAGAACGGAAAAGCACGCAGCUUAAUCUGCUCUUCAGUCACGCCUUGUGGCCUCAUACUUGAGCACACAACAUGAAACUCCUUAAGAUGUUUAUGAGGAUCUUCACCUGCAAAACCAUGAAACUUGGGUAAUAAAUGAAUAAGACCAGACUUUAAUUCAAAAUUUACCUCCAAAUCUACAUAUUGAAUGCAGAGUGGUUGCUGAUUCAAGUCUGGUUCAGCUAACUCUCUAAGAGUUCUUUCUACAGGUGCAGGUCUAUCCAUCACUUGUUCUUCUGAAUCACUAGAUGAUUCAACUAAAUCAGGCACCGUAUCUGUUUCAGAAAGCAAAGGCGACGAGGAUCGUUGCUUAGCUCGCUUUGUCUGCUGUCUCAGCUGGUGAGCUGUCUUCUCAAUUUCAGGAUCAAACGAAAGUGUACCUGUACGAGAAGAACGAACCAUACACCAAGUAAAACGUAAAAAGGAUUAAAUAAAUGACACCAAUCCCUGGCAACGGCGCCAAAAUUUGAUGGGUGUCGAAGCCAACAAAAAUAAAUUCCUACUCUAAAUAAAUUGUGUAUAGUGAUUGAGCAGGGUCGUGUCCACAGAGAUCGGUAAUUAUUUAAAUCCUUUUGAAACGUAAAACGUAAAAUGGGGGAAUUGUUGACAAUAAUAAAAAUCAAAUUGAAAUAAACAAGAAUGCAAAUUAAAGUUGUAAUUCAAAUUGGAGAAAGCUCUGGUUGAAGGAAUUAACUCAGCUUGAUUCGACUACUGAUCAUUGAUUCAAAUAUAGAUUAUUAUUAUUACUUAUGAAUAGAUCGGUUAUAGCUACUGAGACCCUCUAAUAGCCAAUCUCUCCUUAACUAGUCGAUAACCAAGGUACGACCGUUGGUUAUUUCCCUAAUCAAUAGACAACCCUAGAUACGAUCAUAGGAUUUAAUCAAUUGACAGCCUGAGAAACCAGAGAGACCCAAAUCCUAAUCAACACAUAUGAUGAUUCAUUUAAAUUAGAUUGUUUAUUCUCACAACACAACUCUCUGCUAUGUUAUUUGUCACAAACAUUAAAUUCUUCAUAUGAUGAAUCCUUUAAUUGACAAUAGAUUAAGUUGAUAAUUAAAUAGUGGCCAAUUACCUAAUUAACAAACAUAAUCAUGAAACUAAUUCAGAGAAUAAACAAAUACCCAAAAAGCAAUAAAACAAUUAAAGCACAAGAAAGAUCUCACAGUAGUGAUGAAUCAAAGCUUCAUUAUCCUUCAACCAGAAAAAUGGGUUUAGUUCCUCAUAGAGAGAAGAGAAAAAUUAGAUCUAGGGUUUCUUUUUCUCCAAUCCAAAAAUCCCCCCUUUUUCACAAUAGAUUCCUCCCUUCAAUACUCUCUCUCUCUUCUCUUUUAGAAUUCUAUUUAAAAUAAAAUACUAAUAUCUGAAAUAUUAAAUUCGUAAUUACAAAAAUAACCAAAAAUACAAAACACGUUAACCUAAAAACUGUAGGUCCGCAGUUGACAGCACGCGCCCACGCCUUAUCAACAAAGUUCUUCUGACGCUCAGAAAUUUCUCCAAGAGAACAAUCCUCCUUAAACAUCAUCUUUUAGCUCAAUUUUAUCAUCAAUCAAUAGAAUUGCACCUACAAAAGUAAAACACAAGUAAAACAUUAUUAUUAAAUGCAAAACAUCGAUAUUAAGGGAAGUAAAUAAUGCAAAACUAGUGCAUAAAUUGCACUCUAACAGUAUAUGGAUCAAUGAUUAGGAUAUCCACUUACAGAUUAAACAUUCUUCAUCACAGAAGCACAGUUUAUCAAUAAGGCAAGGCUGAACCCAGAUAACAUUGCUAUGUAAGUGUAACUUGUCAAAAGCGGUAUCGAUAAAACCUGUACAUACAUAGAAAAUUACGUCACCAAAUCCAUGAAGAAAAGUAUUUUAUAAACAAAUAUGUUUGAGACAAACUAUCAAAUGAUCUAAAUGCCACAUGGUGUGUUCAAAAUUUUACCCCUGCAAUGCGUGUUAUUAUUAUUGGCCCGAUCAUCCUCUCAACGUAAGGGUACAUAGUAAGUUGAAAAACAAGGAGAAUGAAAUCUAUAGUAACUUCAAAAUGAGGACAAUCGUCAAGCAGUUUUGGGGGGUUGAUGCAUGAGAAAAGAAGUUAAGAGGAACGAGUAACAUUUUCAGUUUCGUAAUAAGUAUAAAUGGGGAGCAAGAGUAUCAGUUUUGCACCUGAGAUGGCAAGAACUUGGCCAACAUUUUCGGUUGAGUAACUCAGACCCCCGUACUUCCACCGGCUGAUAGCCCACAGUGAAAAUAUCUAACAGAAUAGUUGCAAUAUUAUGAUUUAAAAAAAUUACACAGAUAAGAAAUUCUUAGGAUCAGUAAUAGCCAUAUGUCUUCUUUAUGUAUAAAACUCUCAACAAUCCCAUCAACAGCAAUAGCACCCUCUGUUUCAGGUAGAAGUUAAGAGAUAACUUUGCAAAUAUCUAACAGAAUGCGAUCUGAUCCAGGAUCCUGGACUUUAUUCAAGUUCGGGAAAGCCAUUGGUCAUUGGACUAUUAAACCAUAUGGCUUAAUAACUUUCCCGAACAUUAACAUAGUUUAGAUUUUGGAUUGGAACAUUUUUAUGUCAUAAUAAAGUAGAAUAUAUAUAUAUAAACAAUCAAGUAGAGAUAUUUAUACCUCGGUGUAAGCGAUAUCAUGAAGCGAGAAAACACAAUAAACAAUAAUAGAAGAAAUAAAGGGCCAAUUCUUCAUGAGGCUUUUCUUAGCAGUGGCCUCCUCACUUCCUUCAUCUUGUUUAAAUUCUGCAUUGGACCCACAGGAUGCGGAUUCCAAAGCAUCACAUGAUACAUCAAGUGAUACACCAUCUUCAUUGUGUUUGUGCAAUGUCUCACACUGAUCCAUAGUUGAGAGAGGCUGUGGGGAAGUUAAUGGAGUUGAAGGAGAGGGAUAAUGAUAAUGAAGAUUACUCUUCAUAUGCUAGUGAGGAUUAUGUCUACUCUUCUAGAGCAAUGACUGAUGAGGACUUCUCAUUCUCAGUAACUGGCUGAACUCAACUUAUUUUUUCUUUCUUUGGCUUUUGGCAGCUGAUGUUCUUUUUGGGGUUAGUAGAAGGAAGGAUAAAGCUGGCAAUUAAAGGAAGCCAUUUAUGUUAAUCUUAGUAAUUUCCCCAUAUAUAGAUAUAUCUUUGAAUGUUUUUAACUUUUGCAAGGUUCAUUAUGUAACGAGGCAGUGACACUGAUUAAACUUGUAUUAUUAUUAUUAUUAUUAUUAUUUUGAAUAGAAGCAAAUUGAUUGUGUUAUGGGUUUCUUUUGCUUCCCAUCGGAUUAGCAACUGGCACUGGCACCGGCAUGAUUGGCAAAGGCCAAGUUGAAGCUGCCUGCAGACUCUCAGUGGACUGAAUUACAUAUUACAUAAUACAAGUGAAAGGAAGGGACUCGUAAAGCUUUAUUGUCGUAGUUUGGAUAAGAUUAAGAAUUGCUGUCGCUUCUUGUCAGAUUGCAUUGAAACGCUAGUAGUCGCUGCUGCGAGCAUUGGUAUUAGAAGAUUAGCACAAGCAGCCCCUACCUAUCAUGGACUCUGAUGUUAUGGACCUUACGGAUAUCAAUUACCUAGUUAAAAGCUAGUUAAAAGCUACCUCCAUAUUUUUUAUUUUUACCCUAAUGCAUGUCUGAUUCUUUUAAAAUUUUACGUUAUAUAUAUUAAACAAAUAUUAUAAUUUUAAUCAUUGAAAAAUUAAUGACAGACAUCUUUUGAAUAAUUUUUUUUUUUAAAAAUACAGAGCUAGAGAAAAUGCUAUAAUUGAUUGAAUAAGAAGGCUACAACUUGAUGAUAACUUUAUUGCAAUGUUGCGUGAUCUCAAUAUAUUAUUGGCUUAUGUGUGAGUAAAAGUUGCUGGCUCCUGUUUUACUAAUUUGCCUUUGAAUUUGACUGGCUCGACAAAGAAUCGAUUUACCUCAUACUCAAAUUACAAACAUCGAAACCGGAUCUGUCAUUACGUUAAUUGGCCUCCUAAAAUAAUCAAUCACUUUCUCUUUAGUCUACCAUCCACGCUUUCCAGUCGCUUAGUUUCAUUCUAAUCAUCUAAACGGCUCUUUGCUACUGUUUCUUCUAUUUGUCAUUGUUCUUGUUCUGUUAUUAUUUAGCUUUGCUCACUCCUGAGUCUCAUUUCUUAUUCUGUACCCAUCAGCUCUUUUAGCUCUUUACGUCGUGAUAGAAACCCUUUUCUUGUUUCCUUCAUCUCAUCUGAAAAACACAAUUGCUUGUCCUAUCGCUGUCUCUUUGUUUUUACUUUCCUUUGGCCUUCUUCGCUUCUACGUUUUUGUCAGGAUUCGAGAUGCUGGAAAUCAUUGUGACUAUCGUCUUGGAACUUGUAAAAUGCUUGGCUCCUCCAACUGCACGCCAACUUGUUUAUUUGCGAUAGCGGAACUACAAUGCCAACUUUGAGAAUAUCAAGGCGGAAAUGGAGAAGUUGAAGGUUGAACGUACGAGCAUUCAGCGCAAAGUUUCAGAGGCGAAAGAAAAAGGGGAAGAGAUUGAAGAGAAGGUUGAAAAGUGGCUGGUUAGUGCGAAGUGCGAACGGCAUCAUUGACCGGGCAGCCAAAUUCAUUGAAGAUGAGGAGUCAACAAAUAAGCGCUGUCUCAAGGGCUUGAGUCCUAAUUGGAAGAGUCGCUAUCAGCUUAGCAAGAAAGCAGAGACGGAGGUGAAGGCCAUUAUUGAACUUGGAGAAGAAGUUAAGAAGUUUGAUACUGUUUCCGUAUCAUUCCGGAGGAGAUACGGCUCAAGUCUAGCAAUGGUUACGAGGCCUUCAAAUCAAGACUUUCUACUUUGCAGUCUAUAAAAAAUGCAUUGACUGAGGCGAAUGUCAGCAUUAUUGGGGUGUACGGCAUGGGCGGCAUUGGAAAUACGACAUUGGUGAAGGAGUGUGCUAGGCAAGCCAGGGAAAGGAAGCUGUUUGAUCGGGUGGGUUUUUCAGAGGUUUCACAAACUCCUAACAUAAAAAAGAUUUAAGGGGAAAUUGCAGAGAAGUUAGGUCCGGAGUUGUCCGACGAAGCUGAAUAUAGAAGAGCAAGCAGGCUGUAUGAACGAUUGAAGAGUGAGAAUAAGAUUCUUGUGAUUCUAGAUAACAUCUGGAAACAUCUUGAAUUGGAGACGGUUGGAAUUCCUUUUGGAAAUAAUCAUAAAGGAUGUAGACUGUUGCUGACAGCAAGAGAUAAUAAUGUGCUUUUAAGUAUGGGCUCCAAAGAUAACUUUUUGAUUGGCAAUCUAACUGAACAAGAAGCCUGGAGAUUGUUUAAGAUAAUGAAUGGUGAUGAUGUUGAAAAUUGUAAGUUCAAGUCUACAGCAAUUAAUGUAGCUAAGGCAUGUGGAGGUUUGCCAAUUGCGUUGAGGGCACUGAGAAACAAGAGUCUCCAUGAAUGGAAGAAUGCCUUGCGAGAGCUCCGAACGCCUUCAAUGGUAAACUUCGAAGGUGUGCCUGCAGAGACUUAUUCAAGUAUUGAGCUGAGUUUCAAUUAUUUAAAAGGUGAGCAAGUCAAGAAAAUUUUUCUGCUUUGUGGACUAGUAGGUAACAGUGUUUGGUUUUCAGACUUAUUUAGAUACUCCAUGGGUUUGGGCAUAUUUCAAGGAGUCAACAUUCCCUUCAUAUUUACCAAAGGUAAGUGAUAAAUCCUACAUAUCCCACUCAAGAAUGCAUAAGUUUCUUCAAUCUCAAGUACCUAAAGUUUUCUUCUACGUUUAUAAAAAUUUCAGCACCAUCUCCCUAUAAUUCUCCAAGCUCACGACAUAGCUAUAUAAGUGUUUAUGCGUUAUGCCAAAACAACACAUGACACCCGCUCACCUAGAACGUACCCAGAGAACACGAGGAGCAGCUACCGAAAAAGCCAUAUUUACGUGGGAAAAAAACUUCAGCUACUAGCUACCAGAGAGACCUAUGCAUUCCCAAACUGUCCAAGCCUGGACAAUUCAAGAAUUAUUAAUAGACAUAUGAUCCUCACUAUCAUCCAAAGAUGACACUAAUACAACAUGUGUCUAUUAAUAAUUUCUUAAACAAGUCUAAGCUUUCAAUGCACGUAUCAAAAGUUUAAAAUUGAAUCUGAAAUUUGAAUAACACAUAAAUAUCAUAAAUCUCUUCAAUUUAUUCCUGAUACAAUGUAGCAUUAUUUCAGAGAUCAUUUCUUAAGCAAAACCAUAAAAAAUACAAACGAUAAAUACAUUUUCCCACUGAUGCAGAUUAUGUUUACUGAGCAAUAAGUUUUAAGCCAUUCAUGUUGAAAUACUUCUGCCUGUUCUUUCAACAUAUAACUAGUACGUACACACAAUUAAUAAAUUAAAAAAAAAAAAACUGGUGGUGAAUCUGCAAAAUCUUCCUUUUUUUCUUUUUUUUUCUUUUUCUUCUUUUUUUGGGGGGGGGGGGUGUUGGGGGAACUAUGAAUCUUGCAAAUCCUCAAGAAGCUAUGUUAAGACAAGGCCAGCUUACUAUUAGGGUAUGAAAGAUAAAACCUUUUAUUUCCUUUUCAGAAUAAAAAGAACAUUGACAGUGUUAAAAAAAUCUAGAGGAUUUCAGGCCUCCAGAUCCUUACAAAUCAAGGAUAUUAAAAAAUUUACUUAGAGGAGAAUGGUUAUGCUCAUUUGUAUCUUGUUAGAAGAAAUUGAUCCAAAGCCUCAGUUUUAAUUAGCUUCAUAUAGCCAAUGAUUAGGUGUUUAAAAACCAAUGAAUAUUUUUAUAAGAAAUCGACAAUAUUGUUGAAAGAAAAACCAAAUAAAAAUAAUAAAGCCAAUGAAUAGAUCAAGGCUCUUUGUGGUCUAAAACUAAUCAAACUAAGUUGUGGGCAAAGGCGAAUAUGUUUGUUUGGUCAAUAAUAAGCUCAACAAAUCACUAAUAAUCACCUAAUCACUAUUCCUUACGCUAUGCAAUAUAAUGGCCUGGGUAAUGGCGCCAAGGCAGACAUUAACUAGCUAGCCAGUUAUGAUAGUUGAUUAACUUAACCUACUGGAAAUCUGAAGACCAAAACGAAGAAGCUUUGUCUAGAACUAGAAUAGGAACAUUCGUACCCAAAACUAAUAUACACAAUUAAGAAACUUGAUUAUAUGUAUAUUUCUGUUGGCCACACUUAAAGAGAAUUUUCAAAAGAUGCUAAGGUACACCAAAUCCCACUAUUUCAUACUCAUAAACACAAAAAACCAUGGCAAAAAUUAAUGACUAUAUCAAAUAAAAUCGGUGAUAGGACAUUGAGAUUAGGACAACUUGAUUUGUAUACCGUAAAAUAACUAUAUCUGCAUGGUGAACUAUAUUUCUGUUAGAACUCUGAAGUUUUCUAUUAAGUUUUUUUCUGUUAGGUAAACCACUUAACUGAAGUGCUUAAGCCAAUAUUGACAAUCAUAGACAUAAAAGUAUUAAUAGGCUCAUUCAAGUGAAAUGAGCAUUAUUUCACACAUCCUUUAGGUUUUUAAGUCAUUUAGAAGUCAUUCAUGUUAAAAAAAAAAAUUCAUAUACUUUCAAUAUAAUUAGAACAUACACAAUUAAUUAAUUAAAUAAAUCUUUUUCAGCUAGUAUAGGAACUUAAUUAAUCAAAGCUAGUAGUUAUAGCUAGGACUUGAACGAGGCACCUUUCAAAGUUCAAGAAGAGCAUCUGAACAGAAUGAAAGCACUUUGUAGAAAUGGUAAUGAUGCUUUACAUCUACAUGCUCUUACACAAUAUGAACUUUCAUUUAUUCAAGAACAUAACACUACUCCAAGCUCUUAUUCUACAAGUCAAUUCAGUUUGUAGAUGCACGCCAUUGUAAAAACUUUUGCAUUAUAAUUUCUGAAAAUAGAACGUAACAUUAUUAGUAUAGAAUCAGCAAUGUAAAUAACUUAUCAGACAAUAUAACAAGCACUUGGUGAGCAUACAAGAAAAACUAAAACAAGUUAUCUAGAUAAUGAAACUAAAACCCAAGCUCCGCUAUUCAUUGUAGAAGCUUUAAACAUAAAAUUAAAGUAAAUCUAAUAGCAAAACAUUAGAAUGGAUAUUGAAAUUAAAGCUAAAUUCAAUAGUAAUUCAAAUGAAUCCAUUUGAACUUUGUAAAUUCCGCAGAACAAAAUUAAUUUGAGUGAGCAAACUCACCAAAAUUAAAAAGAUAUUGCUGGCGGGAAAAAAAUUGACAAUAACAGCUACAAUACGAAUUUAAAAAAAAAAUCAAAAUCUAUAAUUACAAGCUUAACUCAAAAGAUGAAGGGAGAAUACGAUGAAGAAGAAGAUGGCUGGUGUUUUACGCCGUUCGCCG
This 98670-nucleotide long non-coding RNA is filed under the name Citrus maxima (pomelo). RNAcentral's name for it is "long non-coding RNA (CMAX_LNC000107)". The stretch from base 90223 to 90329 matches the Rfam family "Plant small nucleolar RNA R71". Lineage: Eukaryota; Viridiplantae; Streptophyta; Magnoliopsida; Sapindales; Rutaceae. The record is from RNAcentral.